GAGGGGUUCUCAAAGGAAAAAAAACUCAAAAAUCUUUUACGGAUGGAGUACCAACAUAUACAGUAUACAAAUAAAUAGCUAGUGCAUGUAUUAACCGCAAAGAGACGAAAACAGCCUCCAAAGCCAGUGACCCCAUGACAUCACUGACAGUGGGACCCGGAACGCCACUGACACAUUAUUGAAGCCAACUGAGAACGACACACAUACGACUGCUAGCUAGACCAUGUACGCAGCUACGUGACGUACAUUGCGCACCCACGCGACGACGAUCAACCACUCACGAAAUACGCCCACACAUACGGAUCCAAUAAUAAACGAACUAAGGUACCGUGCCAUGGCAAUGCCACGGCACGCGCACGGCGAAGCCAGGCAAAGGCUAGCUCAGGAGCACGAUCGCACCCGCGCGCAUCAACUCACUCGGCGGCCUUGUCGGCGGCGGCGGCAGCCUGAGCAGCUGGUGCCUCUGCCGGCACCGCCUCGGCNNNNNNNNNNNNNNNNNNNNNNNNNNNNNNNNNNNNNNNNNNNNNNNNNNNNNNNNNNNNNNNNNNNNNNNNNNNNNNNNNNNNNNNNNNNNNNNNNNNNNNNNNNNNNNNNNNNNNNNNNNNNNNNNNNNNNNNNNNNNNNNNNNNNNNNNNNNNNNNNNNNNNNNNNNNNNNNNNNNNNNNNNNNNNNNNNNNNNNNNNNNNNNNNNNNNNNNNNNNNNNNNNNNNNNNNNNNNNNNNNNNNNNNNNNNNNNNNNNNNNNNNNNNNNNNNNNNNNNNNNNNNNNNNNNNNNNNNNNNNNNNNNNNNNNNNNNNNNNNNNNNNNNNNNNNNNNNNNNNNNNNNNNNNNNNNNNNNNNNNNNNNNNNNNNNNNNNNNNNNNNNNNNNNNNNNNNNNNNNNNNNNNNNNNNNNNNNNNNNNNNNNNNNNNNNNNNNNNNNNNNNNNNNNNNNNNNNNNNNNNNNNNNNNNNNNNNNNNNNNNNNNNNNNNNNNNNNNNNNNNNNNNNNNNNNNNNNNNNNNNNNNNNNNNNNNNNNNNNNNNNNNNNNNNNNNNNNNNNNNNNNNNNNNNNNNNNNNNNNNNNNNNNNNNNNNNNNNNNNNNNNNNNNNNNNNNNNNNNNNNNNNNNNNNNNNNNNNNNNNNNNNNNNNNNNNNNNNNNNNNNNNNNNNNNNNNNNNNNNNNNNNNNNNNNNNNNNNNNNNNNNNNNNNNNNNNNNNNNNNNNNNNNNNNNNNNNNNNNNNNNNNNNNNNNNNNNNNNNNNNNNNNNNNNNNNNNNNNNNNNNNNNNNNNNNNNNNNNNNNNNNNNNNNNNNNNNNNNNNNNNNNNNNNNNNNNNNNNNNNNNNNNNNNNNNNNNNNNNNNNNNNNNNNNNNNNNNNNNNNNNNNNNNNNNNNNNNNNNNNNNNNNNNNNNNNNNNNNNNNNNNNNNNNNNNNNNNNNNNNNNNNNNNNNNNNNNNNNNNNNNNNNNNNNNNNNNNNNNNNNNNNNNNNNNNNNNNNNNNNNNNNNNNNNNNNNNNNNNNNNNNNNNNNNNNNNNNNNNNNNNNNNNNNNNNNNNNNNNNNNNNNNNNNNNNNNNNNNNNNNNNNNNNNNNNNNNNNNNNNNNNNNNNNNNNNNNNNNNNNNNNNNNNNNNNNNNNNNNNNNNNNNNNNNNNNNNNNNNNNNNNNNNNNNNNNNNNNNNNNNNNNNNNNNNNNNNNNNNNNNNNNNNNNNNNNNNNNNNNNNNNNNNNNNNNNNNNNNNNNNNNNNNNNNNNNNNNNNNNNNNCCGGCGCUUUGGCCUCGACGUCGGCAGCAGCAGCUGGUGCUUCUGUCUCUUCCACGGCUGCUUCGGCUGCCACGGCAGCCUCCACAGGUGCCUCCGUAGUUGCUGCUUCCUCCUGCACUGCCACAGCGGCCUCCUCCUUGGCCGGUGUCUCCUCUGCCACCGGCUCUUUGGCCUCGGCCUCGGCAGCGGCUGGCUCUGCCUCUUUGGUCUCGGUCUCGGCCGGAGCAGCUUCUUGCUCUGGUUCCUUGGUCUCGGUCUCGGCCGGAGCAGCUUCUUUCUCUGGUUCCUUGGUCUCGGCCUCAGCCGGUGCUGCCUCACGCUCCACCACUUCGGUCUCUGUUCCCUCGGCAGGGGCAGCUUCCGGCUCUUUGGUCUCGGUCACUGUCGGCGUGACAGGGGCCUCCUCAGCGGCGGCGGCCGGCUGGACAACCUCUGUCUCGGCCUCCUUGGUCUCCGCUGGAGCUGCCUCGGGCUCUUUCGCCAGCUCGGUCACGGCCGGCGCAGCAACUUCCUCCUUCACGGCCUCCUCGGCAGCGACAACGGCCGGCUCGACAGCCUCAGCCGUUGCCACCUCGACUGUGUCGACGGCCGGCUCGACAAUCUCCACUGCUGCCACCGUAGCCUCCUCGACCGCGACGACGGCCGGCUCGACGACCUCCACCGCCACGGUAGUAUCCUCGACAACGACGACGGCCGGCUCGACAGCCUCCACCACCGCCGGCGCCGGAGCCUCCUCGACGGGCAUGGCGUGGGUUGCGGCGUGGACCUGCGUUUACAUUGAUGCACGCCUUCAUGUCAGAGAAGUACCAGUACGCAGCGUACGUGUGAUCAGGUUGCUCGUGCCAGAAGAGAUCGAGGUGGCAUGGCACCGUGGCAGCAGGUCAAAAGCUACAUGAUCGAAACGCAACGAAGCAGUAUUGAGCAGUCUACCUGGACGGCGGCCAUUGAUGACGAGUUCCGAGUCGACCGGUCCGAACUCCGACGAGCUGAUGCUAUAGCUCGGUUUGGUGCGACUGAUCAGAUCAGAGUAUGCGAUCGGCUGUGUUGUGUGAAGCAAAUGUGCUGCGGUAGAGGGGCUUAUAUAGUGGCUCUGGAGGGCAAAACGGUCACAAGAUUCACAGCUAGGACGCAAAAGCGAGCAGCCCUUUUGCGUCACGCAGGAAAAUAAAAUGAAAUCGAGGAAUCAAAACACUGAUCUGCAUCAUUCUGAUCUUGGUUGGGAAUAUACUAUUGCAAAACUAUAGUACUGGUACGUACUGUAGAUGCAAGCAAGUUGCGUACGGUGAUCGCUGUAUCGAAAUUAGGGUGGUGGCCACGCAUGCACGGAGGCUAAGGUCCAAACUGCUAUGUUUACGGGUUUGGUUUUCUUUGAUAUGUUUGGGGAAAAGGGCCAAGGGAGAGGGCUGGCAAGGCCACGAGGGCAAGCGUACCUUUGGCGUUGUAAAGAGGGGGCCAUCGCGCUGAGUCACACGCAUGCAUGCACCGACCUGAUCAGUACAUGUGUACAUCGCGUCACGUCCAUGCACGUUCUAUAGUGCCAGCCUUGUAUCCUAGUACCACUAUCCUGCUGUCUGCCCUUGGUCCAGAUCGGUGCAAAAAUAAAUGCUGGGCUAGAAUCUAUUAGUACUGUUAUUUUAUUUCCCCCCCCCCCCCCCCCCCAUUUUAGUUUGGUUCUUGGAAUGGCUAGAGACAUGACCAAACAUUUUAUCUAAUAAAACCUGUUGGAAAAAUCAUCAUUCGAUUUGCCUCUUGAUUAAUCUCAUCAUUUCUCAGCUGAUCACAUCUCUUAUUCUUCUACGCAAAUUAAACUACUCCCUUUAAUUCAUUUUACUUGCCGUCAUGGUCUGAGCUCUCCAGUCUGUGAAUUAUAGCUAACCCUAGUCCCACUGAUAGUGCUGUUUUCUUUCUUUCUUUUCACUGAUGGCGAGGCCUUCUAAUGAUAAUACACACCAUUUCUUUUUCUUUUCUCAUUUGUUCUUGUUUUUAUUUGUAUGCUUAAUUUUUUUUUCAUUUUCCUCUUCUUGCCCGUAAAAUACUGGAAAUCUAAACCGUGAUCAAUGUGUCUUCUAAACCGUAACGGAGGUAGUAUUGUUAAUUCAUCUCAUGUGUGCCCUUUUUCCAAUUGAGACACUGAUAGUCACAACAUCGUCCCCGUCUCCAACGAGGUCCUCAUCCGGAGUCAACGCUUGUCACUGCGGCGUUGUGUGGUUGUGUUGUCCUCACCUUCAGACUUAGAGGAAGUAGAAUUGAUUAUACUCCAUUUACUUUCACCGUUUCUAAAUAUAAGUCUUUUAAGCGAUUUCACUAAAGGUCUACAUACAGAGCAAAAUGAUUCAAUGUACACUCUAAAGUAUGUCUAUAUACAUCCGUAUAUACUCUAUUAGUGAAAUCUUUAAAAAAACUUAUAUUUAAGAACGAAGGGAGUAUAUCAUAAUAAUUAUUGUUAAGGAAAAACAUAAUAAUUAUAGUUGAAAGAACUAGUUUACUAGUUUUCUUGCACUAUAAUUAUUAUGAUAUGCAGGAAGUAAAAAUUGCAGGCACUUCAUCAUUCGCAAACAUGAAUUAUUAUUUAUUUAUGGGGAUUGCAAAAGCGGAGAUAUCAGGGAGAUCGCUAUAUCUCGGUUUUCUACGGCGCACUCGAUGGUGGCGUAGAGACAAUGCAACUUGAGCCGAAGAAUGUGCGCUCGAAUGCCGCCAUUGAAGGCCGUGACAUGAUCCCUAUAGAUCGAGUGGUGCAUAUCUUCUUGGUAGAUGAUCGAUAUGCAGUAGAAAGGGGCGCAGCCACCUAGAGCUAUGUGUAAAAAAGGCCGUGCGUGUUUGUCAAAGUGUGAUGGCACGGCAGUAUAUUUGGAAUUUAGUUAACAUUUUCUUCCUCAUCUGAAGUAGUACCACUAGCUACUUAGGUGUAUUCUCUGCCUUAGAGCAUCUCCGGACUCCUCAAAUCCGAUCUUUCAAACGUCCGCAGACGAACUACUACGUCGACGCACACACAUUGUCCAGUUACUCCAUCAUUGUUAAACAUGUCAUCGGACUAUCAAAAUUUUACAUGUUUGGCUAUGGUGAAGAUCAUCUACGGCUGCCUCUGUUCUUCCCGACACCCUUGCCGUCUUGUCGUGGAAGUACCGGUUGAAGACGCAGUACGGAUCGAGCCGGAUCUUCUCGUCGCCACAACUGUCCUCAUCGCCGCUCACCUCUUUCUCCACCUUUGGUGGUAGUCCGGCCAUUCCCCAAAGGAGCCGAGCACCCUUUGUGCAGAUGCUACAGAGUCGCGGCGGACAAAUCCUUCUGUCGGUCAGGCGCUGUCCUCGCGCGAGCGGCGGAGUGCAACGCGAACCGCUAUUGCCUCCUCCACUCUGCACGGGACGACCCCCCAGUCGACGGAUCCGGACUGGUGAAGACAUUGUUGGGAUUGACUGGAAGCAAAGAAACCACUCAAGAUGAGGCUCGUCAUAGUAGAAAAUAACUUGCAUUAGUAGCAUCCAUAUGUUAUUAGUCCAUAUUAAUAACUUCAUAUUAAAUAAUAUUAUAUGUAUGAUAUUAUGCAAGUAUUUUUUUUGACCGGCUACUGUAGGGAANNNNNNNNNNNNNNNNNNNNNNNNNNNNNNNNNNNNNNNNNNNNNNNNNNNNNNNNNNNNNNNNNNNNNNNNNNNNNNNNNNNNNNNNNNNNNNNNNNNNGCAAGUAACAUACCGAAGGACAAAGGGAAUGACAUACGGGAUUAUACGAAUCCUUGGUACUGAGGUUCAAACAAUAAGAUCUUCGUAGAAUAUGUAGGAUCCAAUAUGGGCAUCCAGGUCCCGCUAUUGGAUAUUGACCGAGGAGUCUCUCGGGUCAUGUCUACAUAGUUCUCGAACCCGCAGGGUCUGCACACUUAAGGUUCGACGUUGUUUUAUGCGUAUAUGAGUUAUAUGGUUGGUUACCGAAUGUUGUUCGGAGUCCCGGAUGAGAUCACGGACAUCACGAGGGUUUCCGGAAUGGUCCGGAAACGAAGAUUGAUAUAUAGGAUGACCUCAUUUGAUUACCGGAAGGUUUUCGGAGUUACCGGGAAUGUACCGGGAAUGACGAAUGGGUUCCGGGGGUUCACCGGGGGGGGGGGCAACCCACCCCGGGGAAGCCCAUAGGACAUAAGGGUGGCGCACCAGCCCUUAGUGGGCUGGUGGGACAGCCCAAAAGGGCUCUAUGCGCCAAGGAUAAGAAAUCAAAGGNNNNNNNNNNNNNNNNNNNNNNNNNNNNNNNNNNNNNNNNNNNNNNNNNNNNNNNNNNNNNNNNNNNNNNNNNNNNNNNNNNNNNNNNNNNNNNNNNNNNGACGUUGUUGGGCCUCCAAGUGCAGAGGGUUGUAGGACAGUAGCAAUUUUCCCUCAAGUGGGUGACCUAAGGUUUAUCAAUCCGUGGGAGGCGUAGGAUGAAGAUGGUCUCUCUCAAGCAACCCUGCAACCAAAUAACAAAGAGUCUCUUGUGUCCCCAACACACCCAAUACAAUGGUAAGUUGUAUAGGUGCACUAGUUCGGUGAAGAGAUGGUGAUACAAGUGCAAUAUGGAUGGUAGAUAUAGCUUUUUGUAAUCUGAAAUUACAAAAACAGCAACGUAACAAAUGGUAAAAGUGAGCACGAACGGUAUUGCAAUGCGUGGAAACAAGGCCUAGGGUUCAUACUUUCACUAGUGAAGUUCUCUCAACAAUGAUAACAUAAUUGGAUCAUAUAACUAGCCCUCAACAUGCAACAAAGAGUCACUCCAAAGUCACUAAUAGCGGGGAACAAACGAAGAGAUUAUUGUCGGUUACGAAACCACCACAAAGUUAUUCUUUCUGAUCUAUCUAUUCAAGAGUCCGUAGUAAAAUAACACGAAGCUAUUCUUUCUGUUCGAUCCAUCAUAGAGUUCGUACUAGAAUAACACCUUAAGAUCCAUAUCAACUAAGACCCUAAUGUCACCUAGAUACUCCAUUGUCACCUCAAGUAUCCAUGGGCAUGAUUAUACGAUAUGCAUCACAUAAUCUCAGAAUCAUCUAUUCAACCAACACAUAGUACUUCAAAGAGUGCCCCAAAGUUUCUACCAGAGAGUCAAAACGUGUGCCAACCCCUGUGCAUAGGUUCCCAAUGUCACGAACCCGCAAGUUGGUCACCAAAAAAUACAUCAAGUACUCACAUGAAUCCACGUGUGCCAACCCAUAUGCAUAGGUUCCCAAUUGUCACAAACCCGCAAGUUGAUCACAGCAGAUAGACACGUGCAAGACAUACAUCAAGUGUUCUCAAAGACUCAAUCCGAUAAGAUAACUCCAAAGGAUAAACUCAAUUCAUUACAAGAAGGAGAGGGGGAAGAACAUCAUAAGAUCCAACUAUAGUAGCAAAGCCCAUGGUACAUUGAGACCAAGACAUCUCAAGAACACGAGAGAGAGAGAUCAAACACAUAGCUACUGGUACAUACCCUCAGCCCCGAGGGAGAACUACUCCCUCCUCGUCAUGGAGAUCGCCGAGAUGAUGAAGAUGGCCACCGAAGAUGGAUUGCCCCUCCGACAGGGUGCCAGAACAGGCUCCAGAUUGGUUUUUGGUGGCUACAGAGGCUUGCGGCGGCGCAACUCCUGAUCUAGGUUUCUUUUGGGGGGUUUCUGAAUUUAUAGGAAUUUAUGGCGGUGGAAUUACGUCGGUUGGGCCCACGAGGAGGUUACAAGCCUGGUCGGCACCACCUAGGGGGGUGGUGGCGGCGUCAGGGCUUGUGACUCCCUCGUGGCUCUUCUGGCCUUCUUCCAAAGCUUCGGGGGUCUCUUUCGGUCCAAAAAAAAGCAUCGUAAAGUUUCAUUCCAUUUGGAGUUCGUCUGAAAAUGGGCCAAAAACACGGAAACAACAGAAACUGGCACUCUGCAUUGAGUUAAUAGGUUAGUCCCAAAAAAGAUAUAAAAUAGCAUAUUCAUGCAUAUAAAACAUCCAAAGUUGACAAGAUAAUAGCAUGGAACCAUCAAAAAUUGUAGAUACGUUGGAGACGUAUCAGCCAUCACCUGUUCCCAGACGCUGCCGACGCCCUGAUAAUCCCCAAGUGCAAGGAAUCAUCGUAGCAAUUUCAAAAGGUGGAAAUGAUAAGUAUGGAGCGUCGAACCCACAAGGAGCUAAAGGUAAGAGCAAUAUUCUCUCAAGUUCUAUCUGCCACUGAUAUAACUCUACGUACGCCGAACGUUUGCUUCCAACUUGGAACGAGAAAUAAAACUACAUUGUGGGUAUGAAGAGAAUAGCUUUGCAUGACAUCGGAGAAAUAAAAUAUAAAAAUAGGUGUUGUUAUCAUAAAGUUAGAAUAUAUUACAAAUAGCGAGUGUGGAAUAGUGAUGGGUCGGUGUGCGGAAUUGUCCUAGGCAAUUGUUAACAAGAUCAGUAAUCAUUAUUGCAAUUUUAUAUGAGGGAGAGUUAUAAGCUAACAUACCUUCUCUACUUCGAUCAUAUGCACUUAUGAUUGGAACUCUAGCAAGCAUCCGCAACUACUAAAGAUCAUUAAGGUAAAACCGAACCAUAGCAUUAAAGCAUCAAGUCCCCUUUAUCGCAUUCGCAACAACCCACCUACUCGGGUUUAUGCUUCUGUCACUCAAACAACCCACUAUAAGCGAAUCAUGAACGUAUUACAACACCCUACAAAGGGAAUCCCUCAUGCUUGCUAGACACGGAGAGAACCAUAGGACAACACCAAUAAUAAAGCAUGCAAGUCAAACCAAUCUAGAUCAUCAAUCAACCCAUAAGACAAAGGGAAUCUACUCAAAACAUCAUAGGAUGGCAACACAUCAUUGGAUCAUAAUAUGUGGCAUAGAGAACCGUGUUCAAGUAGGUGAUUACAGCGGGGCGCGGGGGAGUGGAACGCUAAAAGAAGAUGGGGUUGGUGAUGAAGAAGGUGAUGUUGAUGAAUACGAUCACCGCGGCGAUGGUUCCCCCGGUGGCACUCCGGCACCACCGGGAGAGAGGGGGAGAGGGUCUCCGCCUUGUUCCUCCUCCUCCAUGGCCUCCCCCAAGGUGGGGAGAGGUUCUUCCUCUAGUCCUUGGCCUCCAUGGUGAUGAUGGCCCCUCCAUCUUCCUCCUCAAUGGUCUCCGGUGAUGGUGACCCUCUCCGACAGGGUGCCGAAGAGGGCCAAGACUGGGUUUUCAUGGCUCUGGAGGCUUGCGGCAGAGGAACUCCCGAUCUAAGUUUCUUUUCGGGGGUUUCUGUUUUUAUAAGAAUAUUUGGCGUUCGAACCACGUCAGGGGAGUGCUUGAGGGGCCCACAAGCCAAGGAGCGCACCCUAGGGGGGUGCCCUGGUGGCUUGUGGUUGCCUCGGGACUCCUCUCUGGUAUCCUUUUGCUCCAGUAUUUUUCAUAUUUACCAACAAUAUUCUCCGUAAUUUUUCAGCCCAUUCCGAGAACUUUUAUUUGGGCACAAAAACAACAACACGGUAGUUGUGCUGAAAAAAGCAUCAGUCCGGGUUAGUUAUAAUAAAAUCAUACAAAAACCAUAUAGAAUUAUUGUAAACAUGGCAUGAAUACUUCAUAAAUUAUAGAUACGUUGGAUACGUAUCAGCAUCCCCGACCUUUAUUCCUGCUCGUCCUCGAGUAGGUAAAUAAUAAAAGAAAUCAUUUAUGAAGUGUGAAUGCUAGCAUAGUGCAUAAAUUUGAUCAAUGAUAUAUCCAAACACUUUUUCUAGCAUCAUUACAUAUCAUACACAGUAGCUCAUCUCAUAAAACUUCUCAUGAUGAAGUAACAAGCUAUUCACGUGUUAAAAUGUAGACCAUAAAGUUUCUUGAAAACUAACAAAUUAUGCUUUCAGUCACCAAACAAUUGCAAUUCAUCUUAUUUUUGGGAAGGGUCUAUGUAAGAGAUUUUAUUUAGAAAAUUCCACAUACUCAACUAUCAUAUAGUCUUCCAUGAUUGUUGACGACACUCAAAGCAUAUUUUUAGAACAAAUAGCAUCCAUCGAACACAAAGAAAGACAGGGGCUUAAAGUUUUGCCUCCUAAUUUAUUUACCAUAUAGAUAAUUGUCAACAAUAAUAAUUCAUGAUCAAAUAUAUUUGUAUGGAUAUAUAUGUUUGCAUCUUUCCCCACCACAUGAUGCUUGCCAACUAAUACUUUGAGGUUGGAAUAAGAAGUUAACUCAACAAGAAUAGUAAAUAACAUGAAAGUAAAUAGAUUGGCCCUUGAUAACCCACAAGUGUAGGGGAUCGCAACAGUUUUCGAGGGUAGAGUAUUCAAUCCAAAUUUAUUGAUUCGACACAAGGGGAAGCAAAAGAAUAUUCUCAAGUAUUAGCAGCUGAGUUUGCCAAUUUCAACCACACCUGAAAGAUUAGUGUUUGCAAGCAAAGUAUAAGUAGCAAAGUGGUAUGAUAGCAACGGUGUCAGAAAAAGAUGUGUUGACGGCAGACUAUUCCUAACUUGUUGUAUCAAUGGCGCCAGUAAAUACCACGUGGAAGGGGGACUAUUCUUCCCCGGCAACGGCUCCAGAAAAGUCUUGCAACAAGUAGCAGCAAAGUAACAGCAGUAGUGACAGCAGUAGCAAGCAACAUCAACAACAUCAGUAGCAAGUAACAACAGAGUAACAGCAGUAGCGACAACAGUAGCAGCAAAGUAACGUAGCAAGGACAAGUAGUAAAAGAAUCGUAGGCAAUGGAUCGGUGAUGGAUGAUUAUACCGGAUGUGAUUCAUCAUGUAAUAGCUAUAACACGGAGAGAUAAGUAACUAGCUCCCGUUCGUCAAUCUAAUGUAGGAAUGUAUUCCGUAUGAAGUCAUACGUGCUUAGGGAAAAGAACUUGCAUGACAUCUAUUGUCCAUCCCUACCGUGGCAGUGGGGUCCUAAUGGAAACUACGGGAUAUUAAGGUUCUCCUUUUAGUAAAGAACCGGACCAACGCAUUAAAACUCGGUGAAUACAUGAACUCCUCAUACUAUGGUCAUCUCCGGGAGUGGUUCCGGCUAUUGUCACUCCAGGGUUGCCGGGUCAUAACACAUAGUAGGUGACUACAACAUGCUAGAUAGGAUCUAAAACACACAUAUAUUGGCGACAACAUAAUAGGUUCAGAUCUGAAAUCAUGGCACUCGGGCCCUAGUGACAAGCAUUAAGCAUGGCAAAGUAGUAGCAACAUCAAUCUCAGAACAUAGUGGAUACNAUCUCAGAACAUAGUGGAUACUAGGGAUCAAUCCCCGUCAAAACUAACUCGAUUACAUGAUAUAUCUCAUCCAACUCAUCACCGUCCAGCAAGCCUACGAUGAGAUUACUCACGAAUGGUGAAGAACAUCAUGGAAUUGUCGAUGGAGGAAGGUUGAUGAUGACGAUGGCGAUGAUUUCCCCUCUUUGGAGCCCCGAACGUACUCCAGAUCUGUCAUCUGGAUGAAGAACAGGAGGUGGCGGCGCCUCCGUAUCGUAGAACGCGAUGAAUCCUUCUCUCUGAUUUUUUCCGAGCGAGACGGAAUAAAUAGAGCUGAGUUUGGGGGCGGUGGUGCCACGUGGGUUCCACAAGGCCUCACGGCGCGGCCUAGGGGGGGGGGGGGGUCGCAGCCCACGGGCUUGUGGCCCACUGGCACACCCCCUCCGUUGGAUCUUUGCGCAGGUAUUUUUCAUUUAUUUUAGAAAAAUUCUCCGUAAAUUUUCAGGACAUUCCGAGAACUUUUAUUUCUGCACAAAAACAACACCAUGGCAAUUUUGUUGAAAACAACGUUAGUCCGGGUUAGUUCCAUUCAAAUCAUGCAAAUUAGAGUCCAAAACAAGGGCAAAAGAGUUCAGAAAAGUAUAUACAACGGAGACGUAUCAACUCCCCCAAGCUUAAAGCCUUGCUUGUCCUCAAGCAAUUCAGUUGACAAACUGAAAGAGACAAAAGAAAAACUUUGACGAACUCUGUUUGAUCUUGUUGUUGCAACUAUGUCUAACUCAUAACCAGAAUUUCAGCAAGAUCACAAGCAAACCACAUAAGCAAAUGACAUCUAGGUCUCACGAUAAACUCAUAUCAAUGGCAUAAUCAGCUAGGGAGCAAAUAAUAAUAAGCCUCAAAUGUCAACACUUCAAUCAAAACAACAUGAAGCAGUACGAAUAGAUGGUAUCUCGCUAGCUCUUUCGGAGACCGCAAAACAUAAAUGCAGAGCACCUUCAAAGACCAAGGGCUGACUAAACAUUGUAAUUCUAGCCAAUGAAGAUCGAGUCACAGUCAUACUCAACACAGUUAAAAGCAAAGCAUAAAAAUGACAAAGGUGCUCUCUAAUUGGGUCUUGUUGUAAGAGGAGGAUGACUCAACAGGAACAUAAAUAGACAUGCCCUUCGCAGAGGGAAGCAUUAAUUUGCACAGGUGCCAGAGCUCAAGCUUUUAAAACAGAGAUAAUAAUUUUGGGUGGCAUGCUUUCAUUGUCAACGCAAUGACUAAGAGUUCUCAACAUCUUCCACGCUACACAUGCUAUAGGCGGUCCCCAAACAGAAAAGUAAAGUUUUGACUCCCCCACCACCAAUCAAUCACACUCCACGGCUAGCCGAAUCCUCGAGUACUGUCCAUACCAACAUCAAUCCUGGGGGAGGUUUGUUUGCAAUUAUCUUUUCGAUUUGAGCAUGGACCUGGGAGUUCCAAUUACCGCCCCCUUUCUCGUGAAUGAUAGUGAAUAAACACAUAUCGAGGAUAACACGCCUAGCAUGGAAGAUACCAAUAGCCCCCUAUCACCACAUGAGCGGUUCGGGCAUGCAAAACAGAUUAUUUCUUGAAGGUUUAGAGAGUGGCACAUGCAAAUUUACUUGGAACAGCAGGUAGAUACCGCACAUAGGUAGGUAUGGUGGACUCAUAUGGAACAACGUUGGGUUUAUGGGGGUGGAUGCACAAGCAGUAUUCCCGCUCAGUACAAGUGAAGGCUAGCAAAAGACUGGGAAGCGACCAACUAGAGAGCGACAACAGUCAUCAAAAUGCAUUGAGAUUAACUAACAUUGAAUGCAAGCAUGAGUAGGACAUAAAUCACCAUGAACAUGAACAUCAUAGAGGCUAUGUUGAUUUUGUUUCAACUACAUGCGUGAACAUGCGCCAAGUCAAGCCACUUGAAACAUUCAAAGGAGGAUACCAUCCUAUCAUACUACAGCACAGUCAUCUCAACAUUCAUGUGGGCAUCCAAGACAAACCAUUAUAAGCUCCUAGCUAAGUAAGCAUGGCAUAAGCAACUAUGAUCUCUAAGUUGUCAUUGCAAACAUGUUUCUCUCACAACAAAGCUGAAUCAGGCAUGAUGGGCUAGUCAUAUUUACAAAAACAAAAUAGAUCGAGUUCAUACCAUCUUUUCCAGGCUCAGUCACUUCAUAUAUCGUCAUUUUUGACUUUCACUUGCACGACCGAAUGUUGUGAACAAUAAUAAGCGUGCUCGUGUAGUGGACUAAAGAUGGAAUCUGCAGGAAAACACAAAUGAGAAACACCUACUCCCCCAAGCUUAGGCUUUUGGCCUAAGUUGGUCUACUCCCAAGGAGGGAAAUAACCAGCUCCGGGGUACUCCGGAGUGGACUGAGGAUGCCACUGCUGUGUGAGCUCCUCUGGCUCCCACUGAUAAACUGGCGUCUGGUACUCGACUGCUAGCUCGGGCACGGGCACCUGUGGUUGGGCUAUGCCCCAAUAUGUGUAGAUGUCCAAGGGCAUAAUAAUGUACCUACCUGCAUGAAGAUUGAACAAAGAAGGAGCAAGCAAAGUAAUAGUCUCACGAGUACCCUGACUAAAUACCAGGUUAUAAAUCAUCCUUCUAUUUAUAUCUCUAUCAAAAAAGUCAUGGCGAACCAUGCUAUUGUAAUAUAGAUAUCUCUCAGGAAGAAGAAUCUCUUCUUCCUCGUCCAGUCUAAUAGGUAUCUCAAAAUGUAUAGCAAGACGAGUAGCAUAGAUACCUCCAUAGAUAACGCCUUUAGAACGGUUCGUGUUCAACCGUUGAGCUACUAUAGCGCCCAAGCUAUAAGUUUUAUCGUUAUAAAGGGCUUCGCGCAAGACCGCAAGAUCUGGGGAACUAAGUGACCCAGCUUUCCCACGGCCAAUCAAACAUUUUCCCACAAAUAAUGAGAAGUACCGAAGCACGGGAAAAUUAAUGCUAGUAGCUCUAGCGCAAGACACUCCUCUCUCCUCUCCUACAACAAUAGUAUCGAUGAAAGCUUCCAAGUCCCGUGGACGAGGUUCAUGAAUAUCCCCAACAUAAGGUAAUUUGCAAACAUUGCAAAAAUCUUGGUGUGACAUGCGCUGGGGGAUAUCAUAAAUUUUGAACUCAACCAUAGGAGGAUUCUUCCUCGGAUAGAAGUUAAAACUUUGUAUGAAGAUAUUAGUGAGGAGGAGGUAUUGCGGACACUUAUCUUCAACGAAGGCGGUAAGGCCUGCGUUAUCCACCAAGUGAUAAAAGUCCUCAUAAAUUCCAGCGGUGCGUAAGAACACAUCGCUUGGCCACUUGCACGCUCGAACUUCUGCGACUCGAGGGACCAGAUACUUGGGCUUCUUCUCACUCCCAUCAUCCUUGGGGUCACGGCUUGAAGAGCCUCUUAAGAACCUCCUCAUCUUUUCCCUUUUCUAUCUUUGAAAUUUUCUGAAAAUUUUAGUGAUUCUAAGGAAAAGUGAACAAGGCUCAAUGAAACUCAUAGCAACUACUCCAACAAAUGCCUAGAGGCCAUAUUACGCAUCAAAACUACUUGGGACCAGCUAGAAUUAGCAUGCAAAGCUCAAGAACAUGGUCACCAAGGCAGAAAAAAUACGCGGAGUAUAAGGCACUAGAGCAAAAAAUAAUUGGACCAAUGGAGGAGUCACUUACCAAGGAGUAAUUUCCCCAAAACAGUUCGGAGAACGGUGAUUUGAGCAAAGAGAUCGAAAAUCCCAACAAGAGGAGCGAGAACACGGGUUUGAGCUGCGGAACAAUUUUUUCUGGAGGUAGGAGAACCAGAUAAGAGCAAGAAUGAGUGGAGGGGGUGCCUGUGGGCCCCACAAGCCUGGGUGGUGCGCUCAGGGGGGGUGCCCGCGCCCCAAGCGCUUGUGGCCCACUCGUGCAGCCCCCCGACAAGCUCUUUGUCUCAGAAUUUUUCAAAAAUUCCAAAAAAAAUCAUACUUGAUUUUCAGGACGUUCGGAGUACUUUUAUUUUCAGGGUACUUUUCCACCGAGCGCUAAAACAGAAAACAGGGAAAACUAAACUAAAUCUAUCAUUUUUCUUCUAAGCAAUAGAAGGUGAAAGCUUGGAACAGAGGUUUGUGACUCCUCGAUUCAUCCAUCUCAUUGUCAUCAAAAGAAAUCUGUCAGUGAGGUUGAUCAAGCCUCUUUGACAAACUUUUUCGAAUCACAAAAGAUAAUGGAGAAUUUCCGAAUAAUCACUAGGUCACCUCAAUGGGGAUGUGUAUCUCCCCAACAAGCAAAUCAUACUUCAUCUUGACACGAGGUAUAGGGCAUUCAAAGAUCCCAAUAAAAAUUGAUGAAGUUUUUUCGAUAGCAUUGAUGCAAUGUACUCGAUAUUGUUUCUUCGGAAAGUGCACUGUAUGGUCAUUACCGUUGACAUGGGAAGUGACAUUGCCUUUGUUGCAAUCUAUAACAGCCCCUGCAUUGUUUAAAAACGGUCUUCCGAGGAUGACCGCCAUGGCAUCGUCCUCAGGAAUAUCCAAGAUAACAAAGUCUGUUAAGAUAGUGACGUUAGCAACCACAACAGGCAGAUCCUCGCAAAUGCCGAUAGGGAAAGCAGUUGAUUUGUCGGCCAUUUUGCAGAGAUUUCAGUGGGUGUCAACUUGUCCAGUUCAAGUCUACGAUAAAGAGAGAGAGGCAUAACACUAAUACCGGCUCCAAGGUCGCAUAACACUGGUCUAACGUACCUGCCUUUAAUGGAGCAAGGUAUAGUGGGCACACCGGGAUCACCUAGUUUCUUAGGAGUUCCACCCUUGAAGGUAUAAUUAACAAGCAUGGUGGAAAUCUCAACCUCAGGUAUCCUCCUCUUAUUAGUUACAAUAUCUUUCAUGUACUUAGAAUACGGAGACAUUUUGAGCAUAUCUGUCAAACGCAUUUGCAGAAAGUCAGGUCUGAUCAUUUCAACGAAUCACUCAAAAUCCUCAUCAUCCUUUUUCUUGGAUGGUUUUGGAGGAAAGGGCAUGGGUUUCUGAACCCAUGGCUCCCUUUCUUUACCAUGCUUCCUAGCAGCAAAGUCAUUCUUAUCAUAUCUUCUAUUCUUAGGCCGAGGGUUAUCAAGAUCAAUAGGUUCAAUCUCCACAUCCUUAUCAUUGCUAGGUUGAGCAUCUUCAUGAACAUCACUAUUGAUAUUAUCAUUAGGCUCAUGUUCAUCACCAGAUUGUGUUUCAGUGUCACAGACAGAGGCAUCGUUUGGACUCUCAGGUGUAGCAGCAACAGGGUUGCUAGCGUGCAGGUUCCUAUCAUCUUUCUUCUUCUUUCUAGGAUGACUAGGUGCAUCAGUGCUAACUCCUUGAGAAUCUUGUUCAAUUCUCUUCGGAUGACCCUCGGGAUACAAAGGUUACUGGGUCAUUCUACCGCCUCUAGUAACAACUCUAACGGAAUUUUCAUUCAACUCAUCGAGCAAGUCAUUUUGAGCUUUAAGUACUUGUUCUACUUGAGUAGUAACCAUACAGGCAUGUUUACUCAAAAGCUUAAGAUCAUUGACAUUUCUGUCCACACAAGCACUUAAAUGACUAAGCAUAUGAGCAUUCUGUUCCAAUUGUCUGCUAACAUAAUCAUUNNNNNNNNNNNNNNNNNNNNNNNNNNNNNNNNNNNNNNNNNNNNNNNNNNNNNNNNNNNNNNNNNNNNNNNNNNNNNNNNNNNNNNNNNNNNNNNNNNNNUAGGGCGAAUUCAAUAUCUUUCUUCAUAAAGGAACCAGCACAAGAAGUGUCGAGCAUGGAUUCAUCAUUACGAGAGAGCUGAGCAUAAAAAUUUUGAAUAAUAAUUUCUGUCGAGAGCUCGUAAUUGGGGAAUGAAUAUAAAAUUGGCUUAAGCCUCCCCCAAGNNNNNNNNNNNNNNNNNNNNNNNNNNNNNNNNNNNNNNNNNNNNNNNNNNNNNNNNNNNNNNNNNNNNNNNNNNNNNNNNNNNNNNNNNNNNNNNNNNNNNNNNNNNNNNNNNNNNNNNNNNNNNNNNNNNNNNNNNNNNNNNNNNNNNNNNNNNNNNNNNNNNNNNNNNNNNNNNNNNNNNNNNNNNNNNNNNNNNNCUCCCCCAAGCUUGAGAGAUUCUGUCUCCUUCACGAGGCCAAAAAUUAUAAAUAUAAUUUCGAUCAUCAUGAACCAGAUGCAUAGGAUAAAACUUCUGAUGAAAUUCCAAUUUCAAUCGGUGGUAAUUCCAUGAUCCAAUAUCAUCACAUAGCCUAUACCAUGUCAACACCCUUUCCUUAAAAAAUAAAGGAAAGACCUUCUUCUUGACGUCAUCCUCGGGCGGACCUGCAAGCUUUAAUAAUCCACAAACUUCAUCCACGUAGGUUAGAUGCAAAUCAGGAUGUAGUGUUCCAUCUCAUGCAUAAGGAUUAGCUAGUAUUUUUUCUAUCAUACCCGAAGGAAUUUCAUAAUAAAUAUGUUCAAUAUGUGCAGCAGGUUGAGGAGCAUCUCUUUUUGCUUCCGGUCGGGGUGAAGAUACCCCAAACAAGCCCCUCAAAGGAUUAUUUUCCAUAGCGACAAGUGAUAGUAAAUUUCAGCAGAAUAUAUAAUUUUUUCCUUACCAAGUUCCACUUACCAAAGGCGCUUCACUCCCCGGCAACGGCGCUAGAAAAGAGUCUUGAUGACCUACAAGUGUAGGGGAUCUAUCGUAAUCCUUUCUAUAAGUAAGAGUGUCGAACCCAACGAGGAGCAGAAGGAAAUGAAAAACAGUUUUCAGUAAGGUAUUCCCUGCAAGCAUUGAAAUUAUCGGUAAAAGAUAGUUUUGUGAUAAGGUAAUUCGUAAUGGGUAGCAAGUAAAAAAUGUAACAAUGGUGCAGCAAGGUGGUCCACUCCUUUUUGUAGCAAAGGACAAGCCUGAACAAACUCUUAUAUAAAGAAAACCGCUCCCGAGGACACAUGGGCAUUUAUGUCAAGCUAGUUUUCAUCAUGCUCAUAUGAUUCGCGUUCAUUACUUUUAUAAUUUGAUAUGUGGGUGGACCGGUGCUUGGAUGCUACAGCCCACUUUUGAUUAACCUCUCUCACAAGCAUACGCAACUACGAAAGAAGAAUUAAGAUAAAUCUAACCAUAAAAUGAAACAUAUGGAUCCAAAUCAGCCUCUUACGAAGCAGCACAUAAACUAGGGUUUAAGCUUCUGUCACUCUAGCAACCCAUCAUCUACUUUUUACUUCCCAAUGCCUUUACCUAGGCCCAAAUAAUGGUGAAGUGUCAUGUAGUCGAAGUUCACAUGACACCACUAGAGGAGAUACAAUAUACAUCUUAUCAAAAUAUCAAACGAAUACCAAAUUCACAUGAUUACUUAUAACAAGACUUAUCCCAUGUCCUCAGGAACAAAUGUAACUACUCACAAAGAAUAUUCAUGUUCAUAAUCAGAGGAGUAUUAAUAAUAAUUAAGGAUAUGAACAUAUAAUCUUCCACCAAAUAAGGCAACUGGCAUCAACUACAAAGAGUAAUCAACACUAUUAGCAACCCACAGGUACCAACCUGAGGUUUUGAGACAAAGAUCGAAUACAAGAGAUGAACUAGGGUUUGGAGAGGAGAUGGUGCUCAUGAAGAUGUUGAUGUACAUUGACCCUCUCUCGAUGAGAGGAUCGUUGGUGAUGACGCUGGCUUCGAUUUCCCCCUCCGUGAGGGAAGUUUUCUCGGUGGAAUAGCUCGGCUGGAGCUCUAGAUUGGUUCUAUUGCAAUUCUGCCUCGAGAUGGUGGCGCCUCGUCCCAAAAGCUCUGAUAUGAUUUUUUUUUCAUGUCAAAACCCUUCAUAUAGCAUAAGAUGGGCACAGGAGGUCUGCCAGGGGGGCCACAAGCCUGCAGGGCGCGACGAGGGGGUGCUAGGCUACGCCCCCUGGUUUGUGACCUCCUACUGGGUCCCCUCUGGUAUUUCUUUCGCCCAACAUUUUUAUAUCUUCCAAAACAAUUGUCCGUGACUUUUCAUGACUUUUGGAGGUGUGCAGAAUAGGUCUCUUAGAUUUGCUCCUUUUCCAGUCUGGAAUUCCAUCUGCCGGCAUUCUCCCUCUUCAUGUAAACCUUGUAAAAUAAGAGAGAAAAGGCAUAAGUAUUGUACCAUAAUGUGUAUUAACAGCCCAUAAUGCAAUAAAUAUUGAUAUAAACAUGAUGCAAAAUGGACGUUGAUACGUCUCAAACAUAUUGACAUUUCCAAACACUUUUGCUAUUGUUUUGGCCUCAUUCUUGCAUGAUUUGAAUGAAACUAACCCGGACUGACGUUGUUUUCAACAGAGCUGCUUGUACGGUUUUCUUGUGCGCAGGAAAAUGGAUAUUUAGACGUCAUGGAAAAUUCCUAUAAAAAUAGAGAAAAUCCACACACCGGGAAGAACCAUGGGCCGGAAGAUGGGCCAGAGGGGAGAUACACGCCCCCCAGGCGACUUGUGGGCGCGACCUGCCCCCUCGCCGCACCGGAAGGCCGGCUGGGUGGGGCCCACCCCCUCUGGUGCCCUACUUUGGCUCCUAUUUUUACCCAUGAUGCAGAUAUCCCAGAACAGAAGUCAUCUCGUAAGUUCUCGACGCGGAGCCGCCGCCACCCUCGGUCUUCUUCGGGAGAGCUAAUCUGGAGGUUGUUUUGGCCUUCGGAGAGGGGAAAUCGUCGCCAUCGUCAUCACCAUCACCACUCCCUCAUCCUCCCAUGGCUUCCCCCAUCAUGUGCGAGUAAUUCUCUGCUGUAGGUGAAGGGGAUGGUACGGAUUGGAUGAGUUAUAUCAUGUAAUAGUUCGCCGGAUUGUUGGGGGCAUGUUGCCUAUCAUCUACUAUGGUGUUUAUCAUCUUUUCUACUACUUGUUACUCUUAAUGCUUGUCACUUUGGGACCGAGUGCCAUGAUUUCAUAUCUUAAUUCAUUAUGUUUUCAUGAAUAUAUUUGUGUUCUAGAUCCUAUCUAUGAGUAGUAUGCACCUAUUAUAGUCCGGAAUCGGCGAUCCCAAUGGUGACAGCUUGGGACACCAAAGGGGAUAGACUAUAGUAUGAGGAUUCAAUGUAUUCACUGAUUGUUAAUGCUUUGUUCCGGUGCUCUUUGACAGGAGCACCUUAAUCUCCAUAAGUUCCUUUUGGCCCCGUUGAUAGCGGGAUGGUAGGACAAAAUAUGUUCUGCAAGUUCUUAUUGCAAGCACACACGACUACCUAAGGAUACAUGCCUAAUGUUUGAUAUAUGCCUAGAUGAUCAUUACUUUUCUAUGUGCCUUGCCCCCAAGUUAAAUACAUGAUAUCUCUCAUCCAUGACCAACCAUCCAUCUCCCUAUCCUACAGUGUUUUAAUCCCGCUGGUCACAAGUCACUUUACUUUCCCUGUUUUACUUUCGUUGCUUUAUCACUAUUAUUUCCGUUGCCACCAUCACUUCCAUAUCACCGUUGCUAUUAAUAUUUCAUUGUCAAGCGAGUAUCUUUCAGGUGCGGUUGAAUUGACAACUCAACUAUUAAAGCUUAUAAAUAUUUUUGGCUCCCCUUGUGUCAAAUCAAUAAAUUUGCUUAUCUUACCCGUGAAGACUGUUGUGAUCCCCUACACUUGUGGGUUAUCAAGACCAUUUUCUGGCGUCGUUGCCAGGGAGCAUAGCUUUAUUUACAAGUCUACUUCGAGUUAUUUUGCUUGCUGCGAUUUAUUCACUAUGGGUAAGAAACGAGACCCCAAGGUUCCAAUUUUACCAUCCACUACGAGAAAAGGUAUUGUUCUUAGCACUAGCGCUACGAUUGAUUCACCUUCCGUUAUGAGUAAGUUUGCUUCACCACCACCACAUGUUGCUUCUACCGAGUCUGUCACUAUGCCUGGUACAUUUGACGAUGCUGCUACUACUAUUGAUGAGCCUAGUUUACUUGGUUAUUUUAUUGAGUCUCAGAUUGCUAAGGCUGCAAAGCAGUCUGGAAUUGAACUUCCUGUUACACGCUACCCCAUUGGUAGAUCUUUAGGUUACCCACACUUGAGUGGUCUCAAGGAAAAAAUUCUUGAUCAUGAUUAUAUUGAACUUGAUGAUGAUUUAUGCAGGGAACUUACCGAGUGUGCUCACUCUGACCCUACUUCUGUUAAGAAGUUGCUUGAAAAGCAUUCUAUGAAGAACAAAUUUACUCCUGAUCCUAAAUUUUCGUCAUCUCCUAUUUGCAUUGAGGAUGCUGAUUUUGAUUUCUCUAUUGAUCUUUCACUUAUCUCCAGAGUUGAAGCUAACCCCUUCUAUGGCAGAGAAAAUGACGAUGCUAUUGCACACCUUACCAAACUCACUGAGUUGGGUGGCUUAUUCACUAUAGAGGACAAGAAGAGAAACUAUUAUGUUACUAAGCUACUUCCUUUCUCUUUGAAGGAAGAUGCUAAAGCAUGGUAUGAUUCACUACCAUGUGGGUCCAUUACGAGUCCUCAAGAUUUAGCUCAAUCUUUUGUUGCUAAAUAUUUUCCUGCCCAUAAGGAACAUGCUGCUUUACAAAGAAUAUAUAACUUUAAACAGUUGCAGGAUGAGCACCUCCCUAAAGCUUGGGGGAGGUACUGCACUUUACUCAAGGCUAGACCGGGACAUGGAGUCCCGAAGAAUGAAUUGCUUGAUAUAUUUUAUCCUGGUCUAACCGAUGAAUCUAGAACCUAUCUGGAUAGUUGUGCUGGUUGUGUUUUCAGGGAAAGAACACCUGAGAUGCUGAAGAAUUAAUGGGUAAGAUAGCUAAGAAUCAUGAUGAUUGGUACAUUAUUGAACCACCUCCAUCACCAAAGAAGAGGGGUAUGCUUUUCUCGAGCCCCGAAGUUAUGCAAGAAGCCAAGAAGUCUAUGAAUGAGAGAGGUAUUCAAACUGAAGAUGUGAAGAAUCUACCUCCUAUUAAGAAAUUAUGUGAGCCUACCACUCACCGACCUAUGGUAGAGGUACACUCUAUUUUAGAAUUCAAUGCAAGUGACAUCCCUCAUGGUAAGCCCCUUGAUCAAUGUUUAGAUGAGCUUGAUAAUUGUAUUGUCAAGCAAAAUCACUUUAAUGAGAGGAUUCAAAGCCAAUUUCAUGAUAAUUCCCUUGCUAUCAAAAGUUUGCUUGAUGUUUUAAGUAGAACUGUUAAUGAUGUUAAACGUCAUGUUAAGCAUUUUUCAUAUGGUUCAAACUCAGCUUGAACAAAUUUCUAAUGUGCAAAAAGAUUUGCUUGCUAACAAUAUCAAACAAGUUGAUGCGCAAGCAUAUGGUAUAAAGACCCGAGGUGGUACACACACCCAUGACCCCCUCUAUCCGGAGGGGCAUCCAAAGAGGAUCGAGCAAGAUUCUCAAUUGCAAGAAGAAGACAUUGUCAGCUCCCCGAAGAAGAAGAAGAAACACAAGGAAGCUGACAACUCCAAUGAUCCCAUAAUUGAUGAAGAACCUAUUAUUGACCCUAAUAGUAUAUCUAUUUCCGAUGCUAAAACUAAAGAUGGUGCUAAACCUGAUAAAGAUAAUGAGAAGAUUGAUCCUCCUGAGAUACGAGAAUAAGAAGCACCCGACAAGCGCAAGAGAUAUACUCGAGAAGAUUUUGGUGCAAGAAAACAUGGGAAGGAAAGAGAACCGUGGGUACAGAAAUCAAUGCCCUUCCCAGGUAAGUCUUUCAAAACCAAAAAGAAGAGCAUUACAAUAAAUUUUGUGAAUGGAUGAAACCUCUUUUUCUUCAAAUUCCUUUGACCGAUGCUAUUAAGUUGCCUCCGUACUCGAGGUAUAUGAAAGAUAUUGUUACUAACAAAACAAAAGUUCCUAAUGAGGCAAUAUCCACUAUGGUUGCUAAUUUCUUUCAGUGGCAAGAUUUCCGAGAAGCUUGGUGAUCCAGGUAUACCCACCAUUCCUUGCUCCAUAAAAAUAAUUAUGUCAGAAUUGCUUUAUGUGAUCUUGGUGCAGGAGUGAGUGUUAUGCCUUUCUCUCUUUACAAAAGGCUUUGUCUAGAUAAACUAAUCCCUAGAGAUAUCUCUCUUCAAAUGGCUGAUAAGUCAACAAACGUUCCCGUAGGUAUUUGUGAGGAUGUUCCCGUUGAAGUUGCUAAUUGCUUGAUCCUUACUAACUUUGUUGUGCUUGACAUGCCUGAGGAUGGGAGCAUGUCUAUUAUUCUUGGUAGACCUUUUCUUAACACCGCAGGUGCUAUUAUUGAUUGCAAUAAAGGAUAGGUGACCUUCAGUGUUAAUGAGAAGGAGCAUACGGUAUAUUUUCCGAAGAAGAUUGAUAAAAGGCAUGGCCUUAAUUCUAUUGAGAAUAUUGAGACCGUGAAGGUUGGAGAGUGGGAUUGUCCUCUACAUAUGCACCAAAAAUACAAAACCAUUAUGGUGGGGACAAUAUCCAUUGAAAUAAAGGUACCAUGAUUGCUUUAUAAGAAGUGAAACUUUUUGCUCAAAUAUAACACCUGUUUGGUAGUAAGACUUGAUCAACCUUACUAACAAAUAUGAUUUAUAUGAGUAAAAAGAGAAGCUUGUUAUGUUUUCAUUUCCUUUAUCUUUCAUCCUCUUUGUUGUACCAAAGCAUUAUGUUUUUGAAGCCUCAUAUGUUUAACCUUUGUUUUGAGCUUUCUGCAAAUUUUGCAGCUUUCGGUACUUCGAUUUUUUUUCAAAAGUGAAGUUUUCAGAAAAAUUCCAGAAAAAUUAAAUGAAAAAUUUCCAUGAAAAAAGAGACGCAGGGGCACCUGGAGACAGCCAGGGGGGCCACCCUUGGUCCAGGCGGCCAGCAGGCGCGACCUGCCCCCUGGUCGCGCCCACAAGUUGUCUGGGCCCACGUGGUCCCCUUUCCAGGUACUUCUUCUUCCCUUCUCUCUUUCUCACUCCUAAAAUCCCGAUUUUUCUCCUGGAGCUCGAGUUCUUGCUGCUCUUGGUGGCAAAUUUUGAUCUGUCUCUACAGCCCAUCAUUUGCAUUGAGAAUUUGGGCAUUUGAUCCUUGGUAUGUGACUCCUCCACUCCUCCAAUUAAAAUUUUGAUUGGUGGUCUUAUUUGUGAGUAUUUAGUAGUUCUUGGUGCUAUUCAUAUGAGCUUGCAUGCAUGUUUAGAAAUUUAUUUGUGAUGUUUUGAUACAAGUUUAUGCAUCAGGGAAGUGAGUAGAAUAGUUUGAUCCAACUCAUUUUUGCUUAAAUCUCCAUUUUUGUGAUGAACCAAAAAAAUUAGAAAUGAGUUUGUUUGGAAAAGCAAAAGGAUGGCUUGGGAAGAAGAGACCUGAGCCUACUGAUAGACUAACUAGAGCUGCAGCUUCAUCCUCUACUGUGAGGACAAGUUACAAUGACGAUAUCGUGCCACCAGAGUUGUUCCACGAGACGGACACGGCACGUGCCAUGGCAUACCCGUGUUCAGAUUUCCUGAUGGCGGCAGGUAUUAAAGAUGAGUUUGAUAACCUCUGUGCAGCUGUAGGUUUGACACAUCUCGUAACACGACGUGUGCAACAAUAUCCAAAACUCACAUAUUAUUUUGUCAACUGGUUUAGAUAUAAUGAUAAAAUUUCCAUGAUUGAAUUCAUAUUAUAUGAGGAUGUCUUUACCAUGUCUUUGGCAGAAUUUUUUGAUGUUAUAGGUGUGCGGAAUGUCGGGAUGAUGACCAAAAUGAAUGUUCAUCCCUACGAGCUGAAAUCCCUAUUCACUUCCCUUUUGCAGUAAGGACCCGCGAGUAAUUCACUUGGGGGAGAUCUCCAGCAUCUUGUUUCCCCACAUCAAGUAUUUCGCAUACUAUAUUGCUCGAGGGGUGCUAGUUCGUGACAACACGAGUAACAUUUCGGAUCCGUACCUUGCUAUCUUGGCAUCCUCCCUCUUAGGAGAUUACACGUAUAAUAUUGGUGCGUUCAUUGUUCAUUGCCUCAUUGCUAACAGCGACAAAGGGCCUCACUUUGGUGGCAUUUAUGCCAGGCUUAUCCUCGAGCACCUCAGGCGCAAUGUGCGGACGAAUGAUACGCCUUUUUCAUUCAUAAGCUUUGAUAUUACCGCUAUGAAGAGGCAUGAGUUUGUUACUAGGACUUCCGAGUUUGGUAACCUUAUUUAUAUUAUGAGGUUUGGCGAGCUUACUACUCGCGAGAUCCGUCUACAUGCACCACUUUUGUUUGAUUACACUAGAAGGAAUGGAUAGUCCUUCACCUCGAUUGAGCUAGACGAGUUCGUGAUCCAGCAGCAGUUCCACAACCCCAUGGAGGGGAUUGUUCCCGAGGUAGAAGAGCCUUCUAAUUGGGAGGCCAGACGGGCAUCAGUGUAUGCGCCCGAGGCCUCGUAUCAUUCUUGGAGCCACCCAUACCACUCCGGAGCCAGAGGAAGCUCCUGGAGCCCUCAAUAGCCGAGCUCAACUUAGGCGAAAAGCCUAAGCUUGGUGGAGUACGUAUCCUUCUCACCUUUCAUUGUAUCAUCCGUAGUUUCCUUUUUAAUCUUUUCGGAGUUUUUGCCCGUUCUUCUUUGUUCUUUCUUUGCAAAAACAACAAAAAGAUUUCUCUUUUCUUUUGCUUUCGCUUAACCUUUGGAAAACCCAAAAAGAUUUCUUUUCUCUCUUUAGUUUGCUUUGUUUGCAGAGUUCAGCUCACGUCCAUGGUUGCAAUUGCACUUGAUUAUAUCUUUCUACGUUCGAUCGUGCAAGUGACGAUGCAAUAAUGAAGAAGAUCGACAGAAGGAAUGCAACAAGGAAAGUCGGUAUGAACUCUAUUUGUUUCUACUUUUGUACAUAUGCAUGUACUUAUGAUCUAGAGACUAGCUUAUAGCGACAUAGUACUAUGAUUACAAUGAUUCCCAGUAGUUCAUGCUUUCUUUGUGACUAGUCUCAAAUAGUUGGAGUGCAUAAUGUGUUAUUGAAAUGAUUAGCAUGCAUUGCAUUGUUCAUGGUUUGGCAUAUUGGAGUGGUAUUUCCCUUCGGAGAAUUUCUGGAUUGACUUGGCACAUGCUUACACAUGUUUAUGACUAGAAGUCUAUCAAGCCUUGAUGAUCUUUUUAUUUCAGAAUAGUUAAAUCGCUUUCAUGCCCGAUUCAAAGUUGAUUUGUCGCUCUACAUGAUUAUGACCAUUAUUGCUCUCUAGUUGGGCGCUUCCCCAUCUUUCGCUAGCCUUCACCUGUACUAAGCAGAUUGACUGCUUGUGCAUCCAAAAUGCUUGAAACCAGUUGCGCCAUAUGACUCCGCCAUACCUACCUAUAUGCGGUACUUAUGUGUCGUCCUAAAUAAAUUUGCAUGUGUCAUAUUCUUAACUUUCAAAUAAAUAUUUUGUUUUGUAUGCCCGAAUCACUCAUGUAGUGACUAGGGGCUAUCAGUAUCUUCCAUGCUACGUAGGUUAUUCUCAAGAUAUGUGUUGAUUCACUAUCAUUCACGAGAAAGUGGCUGGUAACCAGGAUGCCCAUUUCCAUGCUCAAAAGUCAAAUCAAAUUUAAUGAAACAAAACUCCCCCAAGAUUGUUGUUUGUAUGGACGGUACCCGUCGAUUCGUCCCGCCGUGGAGUGUGAUUGAUUGGUGGAGGGGGUAAAAACUUUACCAUUCUGUUUGGGAACCGCCUAUAAUCUAUUUAGCAUGGAAGAUAUUGAGAUCUCUUAGUUGUUAUGUUGACAAUGAAAACAUACCACCCAAAAUUUUGAUUUAUGUUUGUUUUAAAGCUCAAGCUUUGACACCUCUGCAAAUCAAUGCUUCCCUCUGUGAAGGGCCUGUCUAUUUUACUUUAUUGUUGAGUCAUCCUCUUCUCAUAAAAGCACCAACUAAGAGAGCAUAAUUGUCAUUCUCAGUGUAAUGUGCAUUGUCCCAAAGUACCACAUUGUCUUCUGUAUGAUUGUGAUAUUACUUAUUCUGAAAUAUUUAUUUCUAGUCUCCUUUAAGACUCCGGAGGAGCGUUUGCAUUUAUGUUCUGCUUCACUCAUGGGAGCUAGCGAGAUACCACUCUAGUAUAUCCAAGUCAUGUGCAUUGUGAUCUCGUUAUGAUUUUCAGUUACAUAUUAUUCAUUCUUAGUUGUUUGAAACUCUUCACAUGAUCGAAGGAUUGCUUCGUGCAUUGUCUUUGUAGCAUUGCUUCAAUACUUGUUGGGCUUGUUCGUAGUGCAUGCUUAUAUACAUCUGAUGAAGCAAAAGAGUUUGUCAAAGUUUUCUUUGUCGCGUUCAGUUUGUUGAACUGAAUUGCUUGAGGACAAGAAAUAUGCUAAGCUUGGGGGAGUUGAUACGCCUCAAACGUAUCGACUUUUCCAAACACUUUUGCUAUUGUUUUGGUCUCAUUCUUGCUUGAUUUGAAUGAAACUAACCCGGACUGACGUUGUUUUCAGCAGAGCUGCUUGUAUGGUUUACUUGUGCGCGGGAAAAUGGAUAUUUAGACGUCCCGGGAAAUUCCUAUAAAAAAUAGAGAAAAUCCACGCACCAGGAGGAACCAUGGGCCAGAAUAUGGGCUAGAGGGGAGCCACAGGGCCCCCAUGCGACUAUGGGUGCGGCCUGCCCCCUGGCCGCGCGGGAGGCCGCCUGGGUGGGGCUCACCCCCUCUGGUGCCCUACUUUGGCACCUAUUUUUACCCGUGUUGCAGAAAUACGAGAACAGAAGUCAUUUUGCAAAUUCUCGACGCGGAGCCGCCGCCACCCUCAGUUCUUCUUCGGGGGAGCUAAUUUGGAGGCUGUUUCGGCCUCCGGAGAGGGGAAAUCGUCGCCAUCGUCAUCACCAUCACCACUUCAUCAUCCUCCCAUGGCUUCCCCCAUCAUGUGUGAGUAAUUCCCUGCUGUAGGUGAAGGGGGUGGUAGGAAUUGGAUGAGUUAGAUCAUGUAAUAAUUCGUCGGAUUGUUGGGGGCAUGUUGCCUAUCAUCUAUUAUGGUGUUUAUCAUCUUUUCUACUACUUGUUACUCUUAAUGCUUGUCACUUUGGACCCGAGUGCCAUGAUUUCUCAUCUGAAUUUAUUAUGUUUUCAUGAAUAUAUUUUUGUUCUAGAUCCUAUCUCUGAGUAGUAUACACCUAUUAUAGUCCCAAACCGGCGAUCCCAAUGGUGACAGCUUGGGACACCAAAGGGGAUAUACUAUAGUUUGAGGAUUCCAUGUAUCCAUUGAUUGUUAAUGCUUUGUUCCGGUGCUCUUUGACAGGAGCACCUUAAUCUCCAUAAGUUCCUUUUGGCCCCGUUGAUAGUGGGAUGGUAGGACAAAAGAUGUUGUGCAAGUUCGUAUUGCAAGCACGCACGACUACCUCGAGAAACAUGCCUAAUGUUUGAUAUAUCCCUAGAUGAUCAUUACUUUUCUAUGUGCCUUCCCCCAAGUUAAAUACAUGAUAUCUCUCAUCCAUGACCAACCAUCAAUCUCCCUAGCCUAUAGUGUUUUAAUCACGCUGGUCACAAGUCACUUUACUUUCGCUGUUUUACUUUCGUUGAUUUGCCACUAUUAUUUAUGUUGCCACCAUCACUUUAAUAUCACCAUUGCUACUAAUAUUUCGUUGCCAAGCAAGUAUCUUUCAGGUGCGGUUGAAUUGACAACUCAACUGUUAAAGCUUAUAAAUAUUCUUUGGCUCCCCUUGUGUCGAAUCAAUAAAUUGGGUUAUCUUACCUUCGAAGACUGUUGCGAUCCCCUACACUUGUGGGUUAUCAGACGUAUCAAGGGGGGAGUUGUAGGCGUCGGGGAGGCGACGGUGGCAGCCAACACCGCACCCAUGUUGGCUCGGGUGAGUAGGAGGAGGACGGUGGGGCUAGGUGGGCUAGGCCGACAGUGUAACGAGUAGGCUUUAGUGUAGAGUACCGCUUGGACCCUUCCAUUUCUUUUUUUUCUCUUUGUUUUUUAUUUAAUUCCAAUAGUAAAUUACUUUUGUAAAAUAUAGUGUUUGACCCAAUCAUUAACUUGCAUUUUUAGGUUCAGCCACAAAAAUUUUGGGGCGCAUUUGUAAGUUUGGGAAUUUUCAUAAUUCAAAAAGGUAUUUAAGUAAUUGUUCCGGCCUCUCCUAUAAUUAUUUUGAGGCACCAAAUCACUUGAUAAAAUGUUGGUUCAUAUUUUAUAAUUACUAGGUGAAUAUUUGCCAAGCAACCAUGAUUUUAGUUUCAGGUUUGUCAAAAUAUUUAAUCCAUUUAUUAUUUUAAUUUUGAAUUUCAAAAGGGAAUUUCAAAUAAGAUAUGAUUCUAAGAUUGAUCAAGCAGUGUUUAGCAAACGCAUUAGCUUAAUCUUGGCCAUAACUGUAGCCUAAUUAUAGUGAUCACUAUAGCUUAAUCCAGGGGUGUCACGUAUACUUUUUGGGUAUUUAUUUACCAAUUUAUAUUAUUUUAGAGCACUAACCUAUUAACCCAGUGCCCACUGUGAGUUGUUGUUUUUUGUGUGUUUUUGGCUUUUCAGGUUUACGGUAGCAAACGAAGUCCAAUUGCCAUGAAACUUUUUAGUGAUUUUUUCUGGACCCAUUGGGGCGGACGCGCCCACAACUUAAAUUGAUGUAUCUUAUAUUUUGCCAAACAACAAAAUAUACUCUUGUCGCUGGUAUUAACAUGGCAUGAAAUUUCAAUUUUUCUCGAUAUAUCUAUUUAUUUGUACUGCUUUUCUCUACUUCAAUACCUGCUCGAUUUAGAUUGGGAAAAUCGUACAGAUUUUAUGAAACCUUAUCAUUUUUUUACUGAAUAUUUUGCAAACUAUCUCAGUUCCUUAAAGUCUACAGGUGGUCACGUACUGUGACUGAAAGUUUACAAGUAGUCAAGUAAUUUGACCAGCCAAGCCAAAAGAGAUGUGUACCAACCUCAUGAGAAUAAAUAAGUAUGUCAAACGGUGAGCACAUCAUACACCCUCAUUAGAAUAAAAAAGUACUAUGUCAAAGGGCACUCACUAGCUGGCACCGCCCAGCUCGAGGAGGCACGUCAAGGUCGCGUCCCAACACCUAGUUACCAAUACUAGUCGUCGACCCCGUGUAAUUGCACGGUCUAAUUAUUUAGACAAUAGCUUAGUGGACUUUUGUAAAUAUUGGUUAUACUUACAAAAAUAUAAAUGGAGAGGCUUUAUGUUGAGCUCUUCAAAAUGUACUUUUUUUAUGAUGAGGGGCGUUUUGGUAACGAUACAUUCAUAUAUAACAUUUACAAGAAGUUCUUCAUUUGUUAACUCUUCGAAGUAUAUGGAAAUUACAAAUAAAAUCAUGGAACAAACAAUAUUCCAAUAAAACUAAUAAAGAAAACUGCUCUUUACUUUCUUAAAUUUGGUGCAUAAUGAUAGUGCUAGAUAGAGUACGUAGUUUGGUGUAUAUAAUCAUGCCAUCAUUCCAAACAACUAAAAAAACAUGAGCACAUGAUACAUUGAAAAACAUAUGAUUUCUUCAUGUGUACUGAUCAAAAUAAAUUUACUUUUAUACAUCGUAGUACCCUUGAAAGUGGUAACUAUGAUAAGAAAUCAGGAUCGCAAAACUGAUACAGUAUUGUACGAAACCUAAUUCAAUUAUGAAAAGCUUUAGUACAGAAUAAGAAAUGUAAACAAAUCUUCUUGACAUAUGUCCACAUAUAUUACCUCUUCUCUGAAUCCACCAGCCAAUUAAAUUAUUUCUCUUCACUUAGAGAUCAAGUGGACUGUCAGAAUAAUAUAAUUAUUUCUGUAUAAAGGGCAUCUAUAAUGAAGUGAAAUUAGACUAGUAAUUUGAGAAAGAAUUUUGUUUUUUUUUAACAUGCACACGAACACAUCUAAUAUUUUAUUAGGGAAAUAAAAGAAUAUUUGGAUGUACCCAAUAUGUCUGGUAAGGAUAAAUGUCACCUUGCUUUAUAAUUUCAAGAAAGAACCGUCUGAAGUAGAGAUAGAGAAAAAUGUACCCAGAAGCAACUCCUCGAGAGAUAAAACUUGUUAUAUCCAGUUCUAUCAAGUGACUCCUAGUCUAGAUUUGCACUUUCUGGUGUGAUAUUGAUGAUUCCUGCCAAGAAACGUAAUUAGUAUAGUUGUGGAGUAAUUAUGAAGAGUGGAAAAGGUAAUUAGUAUUUAUUGGCUAGGCAUAUAAUUUUAUAUAGUGACGGAGGUGUAGUAAGAUAUUUUUUCGGCGAAAAGAGGUAACAACACAAUCAUAUUAGAACAGAGGUGAGAAAUAGGUAAUGCUGAGAAUGUUGCGAAGAACUGAAAUGUUUUAAUUCUGACAAAAACAUAUACCUCUCUUUGCAUCAAGAAUUAUAUUGCUGAGAUAAUAUAGAACAAUCGAACAUAUGAGAUAAGACGAUUAUCUGGCACAUGCCAGUGUGUCCGUGAUUUGUUUUCCUUUGGUCGAACAUAGAUGGCAUACUUGAGUAGUGCUGAUGAUGGAGACCAAAAGGCCAUAACUUGCGAAUAUAGUUAUACCAAAGGUUAUAAUUAUUAUCAUAUAAACAUUAGAUAAUUUUUCUAGUCUAAAUGACAAUUCUAAUUUUCGAUCUUGAGGAAAUGUAAUACAUGUUGAAGACUACUAUUCCUCAAUUAAUCUACAUCGACACUGAUAAAAUAUUAUAUUUGACAGCCUUUAUAGAGUGGACUCUGGAGACCCCAAAAAGACACACUAGUAGAAAUAAGGGCUUUCGUCCCAGCUCGAAAACACAUUAGUCCCGGUUCCUUUACGAACCGGGACUAAUGUUAGUAUUAGUCCCGGUUCGAGCGGCAAAGGCGCCGGUCGGGCAUUAGUCCCGGUUCAAAUGGGACCUUUAGUUCCGAUUCGUGUCUCGAACCGGGACUAAAGGGUUUGGAGGAUUUAGUCCCGGUUCGUGUCUUGGACCUUUAGUCCCGGUUCGUAUCUCGAACCGGGAGUAAAGGGUUUGGAUGAUUUAGUCCCGGUUGGUGUCUUGAACCGGGACUAAAGGUGUUCAGAUUUUUUUUGUGUUUUUAAAUUCUUGUUUGUAGUUUCUGUUUUAAAUUGCUUAUAUCUUUUAGGAUAUUUGAUGUUUUUUAUUGAUUCUUUUUGCAUUAGAUUCAAAAUUUUGUCUAGUUUCUGUUUGUGCCAUUAGUUUUCAAAUUUGAAUGGUUUAAAUUUGAAUUUGUUUAAAUUUGCUUCAAACCCAGUUUUUGAUUAACUUGAGUUUACAAAUAGUUUUUAAUUUAAUUCUUUUUGCUCCCACUCAUGUGUUAGAUUGUUAUCACAAUAAGAUUUAUUUGGUUAUUUUUAGAAUAAUUUAAAUUAGGAUUUUAAUUAAACAAAUAUUGUUUUGCUUAUAUAGUUGUUUUAGUCAUCUAGUUGUUGUUUUUUAUUAUGUUUAGUUAGUUCUUUCUGUAGAUUUUAACAUGUUGUAGUAUGGUGCAUAUUUAAUGCACAAAAAAAUCUAUAGUUCAAUUAAUUUUAAAAAAAUGCCUUUGUAGCAGAUGGGUUUUCGUCUGAAACCUUGAUACUUUGAGUUUUGUACAAAAUAAACAAAAAUGAUAAAAUCUUCAAAAAAUAAACAAAAAUGAUAAAAUCUUCAAACAAUAAAAUCCUUUGAGAUGUUGUUAGGUUUUAGUGUCUAGUCGGUAUAGAAAUUUUGAGAUAUGAAUUUUGACCAUUUUGGCAAAAAAAGGAAAAAAAUAAACGGCCAUAACUUUUGCAUACGAUGUCAAAACAAAUAAUAUAUCAAAAAAAACUAGAAAAUAUUGGUACUCGAUUUCACCCGGGCUUGCCCGAUGAAGUUUUCUCACAUGCUCAAAAUUCCAAAUGGAAAAAAAGUUAUUUCAAAAAGAAGUUUUUCCAAAAAAAAAAGAAAAAUAGUUUUAUUUAAAAAUAUUAGGUUGUUUUCAUUGAAAUUCACUAUUAUUGUUACUUAUUAAGUGUAUUUUAGUAAUUGUUUUUAAUUCAAAAAAUUAAAUCAUGUGACAUGACAUCAAGACCCAAGUUGUUUAGGAUUGAUAGCUUACUAUUGUCAGGAAAACAACAAGUGCACACUUGGCAACUAGGGGCGAUAGAACCAGAAAGUUAAGGUGCUCGGGCUGAAGCAGUGAAAGUAUGGGUGAUCGGCCGGGAAGUUAGACGAUUUGAAAUGAGUGAUCCACGCUAGAGCAGUGAGGAUGGGUGAUUAGAGAUUAAAUUGUCAAAUAAUUCAAAGAUUAGAAAAUUGGAAUAAAACAUAAAAAAUAUUCAAAAAUAAAAUUUGAAAAAAAUUAAAAAAAACUACAUUUUCGGGUCAAAAAAAACAGACGGAUCCUUUAGUCCCGGUUCGUAAGUAGAACCGGGACUAAGGGUGUGUUUGAUCCUCCCGCGGCGGCCGCCGGCCGCGUCGGCCGCCCAGAGUGGUUGCCACGCCCGCCCAUUGUUGGCGAUUGGCCACAUCCCUUUGUUUGGAGAAUAUUCCCAGCAUCUUGUUGACUCUAUCCCUCCUCGCCCCAGAUCCAAACUCAUGGCAACCACAGAAAAAACUGGUUAUCCCUGUCCGUGGGAGGAUAUCCCUCCAACCAAAUACACCCUAAAGAUACUCCCUCCGAGGCGGCCACGUGGAGCACCUUUGGUCCCGGCUUGGAACAGGGCCGGAACUAAAGGUUAGGCCUUUAGUUCCGCCCCUUUAGUCCCGGUUGAUGAACCGGGACUAAAGCCCCUUACGGGCCGGGACUAAAGGCCCUGUCACCACUAAUGACACUUACUAAACUAUCAAUCUAGCCGUACUUGAUCAAAUAGAAAGGAGCUAUAACUUGCACAUGGAGACAUGGCUAAACAGCAAGAUAGCAAUACACAGUACCCCUCACAGUUUGUACAUCCAGAAGACCUGAUCAAUUUUAACACGUACAUAUGAACAGGAAAUUCUACUAGUCUUGUAUCACACGUGAUAAAAAUCCUUUACUGAUAAUCAAUUUCCCCAUGCGCCUCACACCCUAAUUUUCUGCAAGACCAAGAAACUCAAUUGAUGCGAUACUGAAUAUCCCAAGAUCUACUUUUUAAAUCUUAUUCACAUUGUGCUAGACUCAUCUUGAAGACAUCAAUAGUUUUUUUUUUGCAGUGAUGAAGGCUUGAACAGUUUACUUAUUUACAACAGAUAAAAUAGACGGGCAAGGCUAGCAUUAGCAACGAUCCUGCGUAGCAGUAGCUAUAUACAAUCAAACCUAAACUAACAGCAUGAGUCGACUAAAAAAGUGCCAGUGUCCUCACCUGAGAUUAUGUAUAUUUUGCGUCAUCUCUGAUAAAGAAUUAUGAAUUAUGAUAGACCCGGAGUGUAUGGGGAUGUAUCUGCCUUGCCGAGUAGAAGCCUUCCAUAGACUAUGUAGCUCCACACCUGUAUUUGUAGUACGUCUCAUGUCAUGGCUCAUGGGGCAUGGGCCAUGGGCCAUGGAAUUCGCUUUCUACUGAAAGAUGUCUCUGUCGCUUCUGUCCAAGGCAUCACGACAGCUAUGGGCUCUUGCAUCGUAGCACGGGCCACUGCAUCACCCGCACCUUGAGCAAUGCUACAUCUACGUAAAUGUUUACGUAAGUUUACGGGAUAGUCUUGAUAGAUCCCGUGGAUCUUAGGCCAGAUGUGUUCGGUAUGAUGUGGAGAUUUAUUACCUUUUAGUUUGCUCGAUGAGCUCCCUCCGGUCGUCCAUCGUGAGGUGGUGACGACGGUGGGGAAGGAGAGAGAUGUAGCAGCGGCGGCGGUGGACUUCCCAUCGCUUCAGUGCAUCCCUCUAGAUCGGAUUAGGGUUAGAGAGUGGGGAACCAGUGGCGGCGGCGAACCUCGUGUCUUGUGCCAUGGUCCUCACCUCCUCUUUAUAGCACUGCGCGACAGGGGCCCACCAGCCUUACUUGGGCUGGACGCCCCCGAUCAGGGUGUGAGUCAAGGUCCAAUGGGCCGUUGGGCCCAUUGGGGAAAGAGAUCAACCUAACAUUCUCCCCAUUGAUCUCAUCAUAUACUUUUAACUUUACCCGUUUCGUAACAGAUCAAUACAUAGGGCAUGUUUCAUGUCACGGCUCAAUUGCUGAUGGACUCAGACAGCCACAAUGUACCUCUCUAUUUUGAGACAGAUUCUUUAACCUUGGGCCCUUUAUUGUCCGGAAAUUUUAGACUAUACCAAAAAAAACCAUGUCGAUUGUGUGUUCUCCGAACGCACUGGGCGGUAAGCCUUUGAUAAGAAGAUCUGCAAACACUUGUUUGUCGCUUUUAUGCUUUCAAGCAUUUUUCCAUAAUUCCGGACUUUCUCCUUCACAACACAUAACUCUUUGUCAGUGUGUUUGGCAUCAACACUUGACUCGUUGUGACAGGAGCGAAAGAAUUUAAAAUGGUUAUCGUUGUUGUCAACCAUUAUCAACUCCGGGUACAGGUAGCCUUAACCAUGUUGCCCGUCCCUCAGCCUCAUAUCAAGCUAUGACAUAUCAUUGCAUCAAAUUGAUGACAAUCGUUUUUACUCAUUUGGAGAUUUUCCACACAAAACACCGAGUAUGAAAGUUAGCGACAAUUGUGGAUUUCGCUAUACAUUUCACAAGUCCUCUUUUGUACUCACAAUGUUUUGAGAGCACUUAUUUCUUUCAUCAUGAGGCCGAUAUCUUUGACUCCAUUCCAUUGAUUUAUCUAUGGACUGGACAUUUCCAAAACAACCUGGAUAUAUACGUGAACUGUGUCAGGGUAAUAUCUUGAGCUUCCAACAACUGAAGCAUAUGGUACCAUAUCCGUUUACAAUCUUUCUUAUUAACUUUUGGAACACCAUAGUUUCCACUUCCAUUACCCAUGACUAUAAGAACAGGCAUAGGUUUUCUCGUAUGCAUACUUUAGAGAUCUUUCUUAGCAUGUUCAUGCGACAUUCCUAAUACCCCCUUUUAUUCUUUUGAACUUUGAGGACAAGAACUUCUUUUCUCCUCCUGCAGUAGAUUGACAUCACCACUAGCAAGUAGGACAUCAUCCACAUGCAUAGGAAUUGGGAAACGAAUUUCCCAUUCUAUGACUUUGCAUGAAUGCAAUUGUCCUCUCAUUUUCUUUGCACAAAAUCUUUCGAUUUAAGUCAUGUUUCACACAUUUACAUAUUUCCUUUCGAGUCACAUUUGCCUUGUAGACCCUUCAUAAAGUCUAUGUUAGNNNNNNNNNNNNNNNNNNNNNNNNNNNNNNNNNNNNNNNNNNNNNNNNNNNNNNNNNNNNNNNNNNNNNNNNNNNNNNNNNNNNNNNNNNNNNNNNNNNNNNNNNNNNNNNNNNNNNNNNNNNNNNNNNNNNNNNNNNNNNNNNNNNNNNNNNNNNNNNNNNNNNNNNNNNNNNNNNNNNNNNNNNNNNNNNNNNNNNNNNCUAACAUAGACUUUAUAGUAGUCACAAGUAUCUGAUUUUCACAUACCUAGAGAACAUUAAAAUCUCAGGUACUGGCACUUCUUUCAUAUGGGGUUGUCGUUGCUCUGUCAUUGCCAAGAGGGAAUUAAUUCUAUAGUCACCCAUUUCCAAAAGGCAAUAGGUUUUACAGGAACCUGUAUCACAAGAUCCCUUGUAGAGCUAACAACAGGUGUUGUAUAGGUCAUACAACAUGCUCCCCCAGAAUACUCCAUCUUCACACAAGAAAUGGCGUAUCUUUAAACUUUCUUCUUUAUGGCACUUUAAGCACCACCGUUGUAUUCCUUAGUCUGCUUUCGGAACUAUAAAAGAUCCGAAAAUACAAUUGUUUCUUUUCUUUAGGGGUAUCAUAAUGACGGUACUCCGAUGACUGUCGUACUCCCCUUGACAAUCACAUUCUUCAUUAAUGGAUCACUUUAGAUGCAUAAUGUGCAUCACAUCAUCUGAAGUACAGAGGAGUCAUGAAAUACACUACAAUGUAUUUCAUGUCUCUAUCUCCCCCUCGAAAUGUGGAAAGAACUUUUCUGCCACAAUUUUGAAACCCAUUCAUAGCUCUUUUGAAAUGAGGAAACUUCGAUUAUCUAGCUCAUUCAUCUUAUCACUUCAUGUAAAAUGAAGUUAUAAGUUAACUAGUAUGGGAGUACUUUUUCCUCAUUUCAUUUCGGAAACUCAAUAGAGUUCUUUAUAGUUGUCACUUUUGCAAGUUACACUUGCAUAUCAUUCUUGUCUUUAGGUUCGUCUGUUACUUUUAUCCUUUCUGGAUUUAGUGAUUGCAUAAUGACCGUUACACAUAAAGUGUACGGUCGAUAAUAGGAAAGCUUAAUAGCUACUCCAUACUUUUCUCCCAUAGUGGGACACAUUAACCGCACAUGAGUCAUCAUAACUUUCUCCUGUCAUAUAGGAUAAGACCUUUGCCAAAAUUUCUCCCGCCAUACACGGAUUGUUAACCUAAUACAAUGUCAACUUUACCCGGUGACGCAGGCAUUCUUCCCAGACUUUUCCCACCAUGCAGGUAAUUCCCUUUAAGGGACAUCAUAAAUGCCAUAAUUGGCUCUUUUGACUGCAUCAAAUUCAGAAAUAAAUCUGAAUUAUCUUUGACACACAUGUUUGAUCCGACGUUGGUCAAAUUAAACAUGCAUGUUGCUUGUUUCAUUUCAAUCAUGUUGACUGAAAAAAGGAGACUCCAUCAUAGAGAGUACAUGAAAGACAUUCGUCAACCAAGACUCUCAAUGAUCUAUCUCUUUUCUUUUCUUGAAUUAAUAUCCAAGAGUUCUUUUCUUUUGAAGCCAUUCUUUAGAGAGAAUUUAUUCCCUCAAGUUAUGACCUUUCUUUUCCAUCUUUCAGGUCACUAGUGCCCAAACAUUCGCUUUCAUGAGUGAAAGCUUGAAUAACUUUUAGUCUGAGAAAACAUAGCCAAUAAACAACGGUAAUGAGCAUUAAAAAUAACCCUACGUUGGUCUGAUUAAAAUCAUGCACAUUAAACCUUUUAAAACUUUCUGGAAUAUUCUAAAACACCGUUGUGGCAGAAUUAGAAUAAAACAUCAUUCUUCUGCAUUAAUUCCAUAUCAUCGUUGGGCAGAAAUGGAAAUAAUGCAUAUAACUCAUAAACAAUGUGAUGAUAGUAUUUCUAUUGAACAACUUUGCUAAUAAAUAAUCAUCAUCAUCAUUAACCAUAUUGCAGCAGAAAUAGAAAUAUGCAUUUCUUUAUCUCUACUCCGAAAAAUUGAUCACUUUGAUACAAAAUUUAUCAGAGAUUUAAGCUUUAAACAUAAGAUGACUCAUACAAUUAUGGUAUUGUUAUCAUCAACGUUGGUCACAAAAUAACAAUACCAUAUUUAACUUUAAAACAAACAUCACUCUAUUGUCAUAGCGGAAACUGUUUGAAUCCUAUUUCACCCACAAGGGAAAAACUUUGCUAAUAACAGUUCUUCUAAUUAAAUUUUCCCAUUGGUUUCAAUUUAAUUGGAGGAUUAAACAUUUACCUUGCAGCGGAAAAACGUGAAUAUAAAAUUCAUGCACCUUUACAGAAAAAUAUUCUGUUAAAAUCAAAAUUCAUGAACUUUAUUUUCCUUAUAUAAAAUCCAUGAACUUUUCAUUUUCUGAAAAAACUCUAUUUAUUUCCAGAAACAUCUACUUUUCUUUGGAGAAAUUUUUUGUCUUUUAUUCUGCACACACCUUUUAUUUAAUUUGCAUAAGGAUGCCUUUCCCUUUUCUAUUUUCUAAACAUAAUUUUCCAAGAAAAUUAUGCAUAGAAAAGACUAUUUUUCUACUUUACAGAAACUUUUCUUUUUCUGAAAAUUAUCUUUAAUUUUUCAGAAACUUUUCUGUUUUUCUUAUCAAGAAAAACUGUCAAUACUUUCUGGGCCGAAACGGGCCCAGUUACCCAGCAGCCGAGCGUGCUCCCGUGCAGCUCCUGACCUGGUGGGCCGCCGGCCUCAGCCGCCUCCCUUUUGGCCCCUUUGGCCCGAAAACUGGCCUGGGAGCGUGUCAUGUACCGCUGGCGGCGCUGGCCCGCUCUUUGCGGCCUAGUUGGCCCGGCUGGGCUAGGGUUAGGCACAGGAGCCAUCCUGGCCGCCCAUCUUGAUCCGACGGUCCCCCGUGGAGAUCGGGGAGACCAAAAACGAGACCGAGCCGGCAGGGGGAACCCUAGCGGUUCAUUCCCUCCCCCCAGCGCCGCUCAUCUGUGUCUCCCGAGCGCACAACCCCUUCCUGCCGCCGCGCCGUUUCGUUCGCCGCCGGUGGCCAGGCCACCGCUUCGCGCGCUCGCCUUUUCGUUUCCCUCCUUAUCUUGUGGCACAUCAAGAGUGAGGGACGCACCAUGCCUCAUGUCUUCCCUCGCGCGUUCUGUUACCGAACGGUGACAGCUCGGCCGCUCCGGCCACCAGCAGCGGUUUCCACCGCGCCGAGCGAGCCCUUUUCCCCUUCCUCUAUUCUUUCCUCCGGCGAGCGAGAGUGAGGGCAGCGAGGCGCGGCUGCGCGCCCCCUCUGCCCCCCGUUCCUAUUUUAGAUCCAGUGAUCUUUCUUUCAGCCACCACCGCCCCAGCGAGAAAGAGACGCGAGCAGAGCCUUCGUCUGCUUCUCUUCGCGCCCGACGACGGUUUCCAGAUGUGGCAGUGGCUGCGCCCCUGCCGACCCCUUCGCCGGUCGUGCGUUCCCCUUGCGGUGAGCGCGCCGCCGUCGAAUGGAUCGGUGGUGGUGCUUGUACUUUGCCCCGAAGGGUGGAUUUCUUUGCAUGUUUUUUUUGUUUGCUUUUUUCGGAUCCAAUCUGAUUCCUUUGUUGGUUUUCCUUUUGGAUCUAAUCAGAUCCAUACUUUUCCUCCAAGGAGGUUGGUUCUUCUUCCCCACACCUCGGCUUGCCGAUGCGUGCGGGGAUCGAGAGGAACAGGCGCGGCCGAGGCGGCACUCUUUGCCGGAGAGGACUCCGGUGAAACCUUUCUUUUCUUUGAUCUUUGCCCUUCUCGGGUUCAUAUCGGGGAGGGGGAAACUUUUCUUGUACAUGUUUCAACCGAAACUCAUCUAAAGCCUCGUGGCUCAUGAUACCAUUGAUAGAUCCCGUGGAUCUUAGGCUAGAUGUGUUCGGUAUGAUGUGGAGAUUUAUUACCUUUUAGUGUGCUCGAUGAGCUCCCUCCAGUCGUCCAUCGUGAGGUGGUGACAACGGUGGGGAAGGAGAGAGAUGUAGCAGCGGCGGCGGUGGACUUCCCAUCGCUUCAGUGCAUCCCUCUAGAUCGGAUUAGGGUUAGAGAGUGGGGAACCAGUGGCGGCGGCGAACCUCGUGUCUUGUGCCAUGGUCCCCACCUCCUCUUUAUAGCACUGCGCGACAGGGGACCACCAGGCUUACUUGGGCUGGACGCCCCCGAUCAGGGCGUGAGUCAAGGUCCAAUGGACCGUUGGGCCCAUUGGGGAAAGAGAUCAACCUAACAAGUCUCACUUGACAAUCAUUGAUUGGAUUAUGAGGAGGAUGAGGCCCACCCACCCCUGAAAAUCAGGGGGGCAUAUUUAGAUUAGUUGAAAGGUUUAGUAAACGUAAGUAAGAUUUAGUAGGUCUAGCAUUUUCGCCCGCACCAUACGUGAAGCCAUGCAUAAUCCUGCUUUUGAUCUCAUCUACCGCCAGGGAGAGUGAGGACGUUUCAGGAGGAGAAGAACACACCAUCAGCCACAGUCGGGCUAGUGCAUCUCCUACUCGAGCGAUGCGGACUUCACAUGGGAGAUGUGCUCCGAGAGAAAUGCCCAAUCGUGGGUGUGUGUCCAUGCCGCAUGGCACCUGGAAGCUAGGGCGCUGCUCCUGUAUGACUGGAAGAUGAGGAGGCCGAUGGAUGGAGACAUGCUGAAUAGUAAUCUCGUCCGCACCAGAUCAAGAAGGAAUCAACAAAGAAGUGGUUUGCAUAUGUACCUUGCAUCUGCACAGCACAAACCAAUCAGAGGCAUGGCUAGCUGCUUGGCCGAAUAAUAGGAGAUCGUUUGUUUUCUAGAAGAAAAAGAAGAGAGAUGGGUUUUCUGUAGGGAGAGAAAGGAGAGAGAUGGACGAUAGGAAUCGUGCCGCACAUGGCUACCCAAAUGUACGCGUUCAUGUAUUCAAGAAAAAAUAAAAAAAGGUAUGCGUUUAUCAUACAACUUUAGAUAGAUCAAUGGUUCUGCUAAAAGAAGAUACAUUAUGGGUUAAAAGAAACUAAUCCUAUUGAAAUAUUUGCACCAUAAAAACUUGGUCCCACCCGAGGAAGGGAUCUCCGAUGAAAAACUUUUUUAACCCUGUCGAAAGAUCUCCACCGUAAUAACUUGGUCCCACAAAAUAAACGGCUCCUAAUUUCUGAUUAACAUGAGAAUUUCUAGAGAGUCCAUAAUUAGUAUAAGUAUAAAUAUAGAUUAUGCAUGCCAUAAACUGAUGCUCAAUAAUAAAACCAACUGAUCCUCUUGUAAAAUUUGAAAGAUUUGUAGGCCAAAUCAUAUUAAAUCAAAGCAUAUUUCCACUCACCAAUUUUGCUAUGAAUUGAUCUAUGCGACGUAUUUUGAAUGGCGACAGGCAUAAUGUCUCAACUCCAUGCAAGCAUAAUACAGCUAUACGUAUAAAUUUCCACUAACACAUACCUUGUCUCACUCUCCAGUUGAACUAAGGACAAUGCUAGAAUACUGCACCAUAUUUUUUGAUACAUUCUUAGGGCGAUUGAUAAACAUUGGUGAUUACCAUAAUGUCCAUGUAAACUUCAUCCACCAAAGCCCGUAUAGCCGAAAUAAACAAAUGAAGUGAUAAAUCAAGUAUUUCGGCCCUUUGGAUCAACAACGAACUUAUAGAUAAUCAAAUGUAUAGUGAUUUGGUAAUACCCCUUCAUGAUAUAAGAAAUUAUAUUGCAUCCAUCAAUCUAAAUAAGCCCAUACAGGGUAACCGAUCAUACAUCUGACGUAAUUGUUUUUGCUUCCAUCCUACUAUUUCUUUCCUUUUGUAACACUUGUUGGAAUAGAAGGUUGCACAUCAUUUUUAUUUUUCAAAACCCAAGUCAUGUUGUUGUGUCUCAGCUCUUGUGCACUAAGCUUUUAUAGUUCCUUCAUUUUCCAAUACGUUAAGCCGAGUGGACGCCUCGACUGUGGUUUUUUUUUUCAAGCAAUGGUAACUCUUUUUUGGCCUUGUAUACUCUCAACUUCUUCCCUUCAGAUUUUGCACUUUAAUUUUAACAAUUGAUUGCUUCACUUCUUUACCUUUUGUAGCCAAUACUAACUCUUUAAGUGGUUCCUUAUAUUUUUCGACCAAACCUGAAUUGGCACUCUUGAGACCAUCUUUUUUACUCGAUAUACUUGUUUGAUCACCUUUUCUUUUUUCUUGAGCUCCGAAUUAUUGAAAUGAUUUUGAACAUAUGACUACUCAUUGAAUGUUAGUAUUCUUGGAGCUGUAUAAUAUUGGUGAUAUGGUUAUAAGAAGAUGGAGAAUGUGCCCUUGAAUCAUACCUAUCCCAUGAUGGAUACAGAUUUACGCGAGCAUAGGGAGGCAUCCACGACACUGGCAUUGGCGGCCCAAAUUAAGGAUAUGAAUAUGUUGCAUUGAAAUUCUCGCUUUCUCAAACCGAUCCUUGGUUCUGCGCCUAGGGGGUGAUCUUGAUGCUUUUACAUUAUUUAGUCGAUAAGCCCUUUUUAGCACAUUCAAUUCUUAUAUUUAAAGUUUUGAUUUUUUUUAUCCUUUUGCUUAUUUUGACCUUUUUUCUCCUUUCUUGCAUCAACCUUUGGAUUUUCUUGCUUCCCCCAGAGCUUGACGUCUUCAUUCCAGCUUCGGUGGAAUUCUUGUCGUCAAUAAUAUCUUCAAUGUGAAGUUGAACAAUCUCUUUAGAAAGCUUGAUUCCAUCCCCUGAAGUUUUUGCCUUCUCUUUAAAUGGAUGGUUUGAAGAAACCCAAGAAAAAACUUUUUGCCAUCAUGACCCAUCGGAAUAGACUGGUCAUCCCAUGUUCUUUCAACAAAUUUCAAUUUUCCUUUUUCAAUGGCCGAUUUAGCUAUUUGACGAAACAUGUUGCAAUCCUCAAAACUAUGUUUGAAUGAAUCGUGCAACUUACAAUACAUUUGUCCUUAGAUAGAUGGCUUUACAUGGUGACCAAGAAUUCUAAUAUAAUCAUUUUUAGCAACAAAUCAAAGAUUUGAUCACACAUCCUUGAGUUAAAUGUAAAUCUCUUAUUUUGCCGAUCUUUCUAUGAGAAUGGCUUUGGAAGUAAGAAAAUGAAUGGUUUCGAUUUGGCAUCUCCCCAUUCGCCUAUGAAUUUCUUUCGCAUUCUUUUUCCGAUGUCAUUGUGUAAGAAAUUAUACUAGCAUCGGUUUUCUCAAAAGUAUUUAACCUUGGCUUCAAGUUACUGGAAAGAAAAUAGCUAGAACAUACAUGCCUCAAUUGAGGCCAAGUGUAAGCCAAGUAUGAAACAAGCAAAGCUACCCAUGUAGAUAUAAACUCUAAAUAAAACAAAAGGGAAAGCUUCAAUUGUAAUAAUUUUUCACUAUCCGUCUUUUUGAAUGGUGCGAUAUGUUGACCAAUAUGCUUUGUCAUAAUAUGAUUGCUAACAAUAAAUUACCCUUAUUCAUUGGUCUCUCAGUAUUACUUAUGAAGAUUUUUCUAAUAGAUGCAUCAACAACAAAGUUAUGAACAAAUUGUAAUAGAGGUAAAUUACUUGCUAAACGUACCUCUUCGGUUAGGUUGGGAGAGAAUGAUGGUUGCAUGACAUGAAUAAUAUCAUGCUUUGUUUAUGGAUGGCUUCCCAACACCUCAAAUCCCUGAUUUUCUUGGUUUGUGCAUCAUUACAUUGAAGAUGUUUGUCAACUGAACUUUGUUCAGCUACUUGUUCUUGUCCUUGAAGCUCGUCAAUUUGUAUGGCACUAGACUCAUAGGGCAGGAAGUAGGUUCCAUUAACUUCAAAAUAAUCAAACAUGGUUACUAUUCUAUCGUUGCCAUGACCUUUCUCAAUAAUCCUUUCCUCUUUGGAUUUGAUGGAUUCAUAAUAUAUACUACUUGAUUUGGCUUUUUCAACCGAGCACUUUCAUGUUCAGAAUCAUCCUUAUUUUCAUUGAUUCUACAAACUCGCAAUAAUUAUUGAAAGGAUCGAUAUGGUUGACUAUAGGGGUGGCUAAUAGAUAACUAACAAUUUUUAAGCUUUACUUAAUCAAUUAAACUUUAGCAACAAAUAGGUUUUCUAAAUAUGCAACUAAGAGAAUGACCUAUAUGAUGCUAGCAACAUGAAUAACAAGUAAGUAAAUAAUGCAAGUAAGGGAAAGAAGUAACCACAAGUGGAACUGAUGAAGACGAGGAUGUGUUCCCAAAGUUCCUUCCCACAUGGGUAAGUACGUCUCCGUUGGAGCGGUGUAGUGGCACUAUGCUCCCCAAGAUGCCACUAAGACCACGAUAUUCUCCUCACUCCCUCACACAAUGCGAGGUGCCGUGAUUCCACUAGUGGUGCCCUUGAAGGUGGCGACCGAACCUUUACAAAAAUGGUUGGGACAAUCUCCACAGCUGAAUUGGAGGCUCCCAACGAUACCACGAAGCUUCACCACAAUGGAAUAUGGCUUCGAGGUGACCUCAACCGUCUAGGGUGCUAAAACACCCAUGAGUAACAAGAUCAGCGAGGGAUUAGUGGGGGGAUCAAAAAUUUCUUGGUGGAAGUGUAGAUCAAGGCCCUCUCAACCAGACCCUCGAGUAUCAAGAAGUUUUGUUGACUAGGGAGAGAGAUCGGGUGAAAAUGGAGGAACAAUGGAGCUUAGGGUUAGGAAAGGUGAGGUUGUUUGGGAAGAAGAACCCCUUUAUAUAGUGAGCGAAAGAACCUGCCCGUAACCCACCUGUUCUGCCCGUACAAGAGCGGUGCUACCGAUGAUAAGAGGUAGUAUCGCUCCAAAGUGAGCGGUACUACCGCUCACGCACAGGACAGCCGAUCCGAGUGAGCGGCAGGGGCUAGUAGUACUGCCGGAGUGGUACUACCGUUGCCAGAAGCGGUACUACCGCUCAUAAGAGUUAGUACUGCAUCCUACAUCCGCUCGGGGAUCAGUUGCGGUCCUAGCCCAGAAAAAAAAGGACUCCCGACAUGGUAGUAACAAGCGGUAAUACCGCCCAACGGGCGGUACUACCGCACAGUCCGACACAAAAAGUGUCGAGAUCCGCGGGCAGCAGUACUGGCCAACGGACCAAGCUCGGCAACAUCCGCCCUGGAGCGGUACUACCGCCAGCCUGUGUGGUACUACCGAUGACAAGAGGUAGUAGCGCUACCAGGAACGGUACUGCCGCUUGGGUAUUUAUGGACAUUGUUGGGCAAGGGAAGAAGCUCCAUUGAGGUGGGAAAGAUGUUGCGAGGGAAAGUGUACGUGAUGAUUCCACCCAGACCUUUCCGAGGCGGACCCUCUGUUAAUAGUAUGGCUUUUCGUGCGACUCAAGUCCACCGACAACGAAACGUAAGAGAGAAAGCCGUCUUCAUAUCAAUACACCGAGGGGCAUGCAUCGUCUUUGUGCCAAAUGAGGAAAUACCUGAAAGGCUUAGGGCACAUGAUUAGUCCGCAAAAGUAUUGUCAUCAAUCACCAAAACCACUAGGGUAGAAAUAUGCCCUUACACUUAUUUUAUUUCAUCCAAUUAUUUUCCUUCUUAUUUCUAACGGCGAGCGGCAAUUUUGGUUUUAAGUUUUUUCUCAAUUUCAGCCCGCUCAAGAUAUGAUUGCCUCCAAAUCUUUUAGAUUCUUUCGCAAUGACACACUCGUGUUGUCGAAAGUUGGCAAUUGUGUAGCGCGUGUAUAAUAUGACAUAGGACUAGGUGAAGGUGUAUGUAUUGUUGCAAAACCAUAUUUUUGCUCGCCAAUUUUAUCAUUUGGAAAAGAUUCAUCCUCUUAUAAAACUCUACUUUUAUUGCAUUAUAAUGAGGAACUAGCCCCUUAUCAUGCUCUUCAAGGCAAAGAGCACUUCCCUUGUUGUUUCAGGACGUGUCUCUUUUUAAUAUAGGUACUUCCAUCCCGGCCGUAAGGGAUUGCUCCACAAUACUUUUAGAUCUCGACAAUGCGAUGUUGCCAAAAUUGUGCAAUUGCGUAGAGGAUGCAUUAUAUGCUACAAUAUUAGAUGAUGUCAUGUGCACUCCUGCACAAUUUUCACUUAUUCAACUAUGACCAUGAAGCUUUGAAGUUGAAUUGUGAGCAUCUACAGUUGUGUACGGUGCCAAAAAAUUACUAACACAUGAGGUGUAGCAUAUGACGGUUGACAGUAACUGGUCGAAUAGUUAGUGGUAGCAUGGCCAAUUCUCCCAUCCAUCAGCAAUGGGGUAUUUAUUCCAGGCCGGCGGUAUCAUUGUUGAGCGAUCGCUCGGUUGAACUAGUACAUUGUAAAUUAGCUGUCCAAGAAUAAAAAGGUCAAACACUUUGUUGCAUGCUAUUGGAACUUCCUACACAAUGUGUUUCAAUUUGAUUGACCAAACUCAUCAUGUUGUUCAUCCGCAUAACGAUUUGUGGAGUUGCUGAUGGAUGAGAGUUUAAAUACAUAUGGUGCAUGUUACUAGUAUCAUAAGUUGAAGCACGUAUAUAACCUUGAAUUGGCCUUUGCAUGUGAUUAGAUGCAUGAUUGAAACAACUAGGGAUGGUCGAUAGAGUAUACUCAUUGAACGAUCUAGUAAUACCAUAUGAAUUAUUUGUAUGUACACUAGGGAAUUGGGUAUUCGUAUCACCUUUGUAGAUUUCAAACCCUAGAUGACGGUCUCUUCAUACCAAGAACGGGUUAGGGAUUGUUCGAAGUUUCGUCCCUAGCAGAGUCACCAAAAAGUGUGUUCGCACACGAACACAUUACUGUGCACCCUUACUGUCGAGGGUGACACAUUAAAGGAGACCAGUUUGAAAAAGCGGUUCACAAGUAGUCCGACGAGCACUUUUGUAGAUCCGAAACUCCCACAUGGCCGAAAGGGACCCCGUCAAAGCGCAUGGUGGCUAUGGGCUACAUUAGGUCGACCUGACCGCCCCUAGGGCCUUGUGGUUCGCCCAAUAGGAAGAACGAACAAAAGAACGAGGAAGAAGAAGAACUAGGGUUAAGGAGAAAAGUUAAAGGUAAAAAUUGGUAGAUUGAUUUUGCAGUUGUGUGUUGUUCAAUCGUCUGUCAUCUCUUAUCUAUUUAUGAGGCGAUUGGACUUUCCAUACAAGAAAAGGACAAAAAAAAUCCGUUUCAAAUAUCUAAAAUCCUAACCUAACUCGGACAGGAAUCUUUUGUAAUUUUCCGUCUUAAUUCGGGCCCUCCAAGUGGUUUCGUUCAGUCUCACCGAGUGGACGUUGCCAACUUUCUGUAAUCUUUUGUAUCUCACUCGAAAGUUCCAAAUGGGUUUCACUCGGUCUCACCGAGUGCACUGGAUGCUUCGUGAAUUUUUUUUCCAACACCAACUCGGUCUCACCGAGUCAAAUACACUCGGUCUGUCCAAAGUGACUCUGCGGUUUUUGUUCUUGACCUUAUUUUGACUCCACAGGUCGCAUACGAUCUAAGAUUAAGAUAAUUUUUCUAUCAAAUUCAACCAUUUCGAUGAGCCAGACAACUUUGAUGUUGAACACAUUUUCAUCAGAGUCCAUCUUAAUUAUGUUUCAUGACAUAUUAUAAUCUAAUAUCAACACGAGCAUGUGUAAAAUUUCAUAACUUUUGCAUCUGAACUCCAUUUUGGCCCAUCCUCGUAUCCAUCUUUGAUCUCCUUGAAUAGAACAGAACCAUCCGAAGGUGACUUUCAAUCGUAAGUUUGAAUUAAUUUUGACAUAGCUUAAGUUACUUUUAUGACUGUCACUUUUGAGCGCCGACAAUGGCCUAGUAUUUUCCUGGAGUUGUUGCCACUCUCUUAUACUUCUCCCGGAAGAGUUUUUCUGAUAGCCAUUCUGUCCAAAUCGUUCUCCAGGCUUUCUUCACUGUCUUAUUCUUUAAGAAGGCAAUGAGUUGUAUCUGUGAAAUUCUGUGUCAGCAAUUAGUUAUAUCUGUGAAAUUCUGUGUCAGCAGUGCUAUAUCGGGCUCUAGUGCGCCGCCCAUACUUGACAGCGAACCCAGCCUGUGCCAUGGUAUACCAUGAAGCGGAGACGUGCUCAUGGGCCCUGCGCUGAUCGCCGUCCAUAUCCGAUUCCAGCGAUUUGACACCGAAUCAGCCUACCUAUCUCACUGGGCAUGUUGGACCUCCGGUAGGCACACGUCGACAUUGCUUUCCAUAUAUUGUAUGUUGUCAUCCUCACACCACGAAAUUGUACUCUGCACAUUAGUUGAUGGGUAAUAAAGCAACGAAAAGGACAUGCACAACGCUGCACCCUCGCAGAUUCACCCAAAGGCUAGGUUGUUCACGCAUCAGGUGGACACGCUCUAGCUCUCGAACUUUCAGAAGACCAGAUGGUAUGUCAGUUGGCAAUCCUUUUCCCUUUCUGUCGUUUCUACGGACACUGUAACUUGCAUGGUUAAUUAUCUGCCGCGGUAUACCUUUAUUCUUGAGGUUGGUCCGUAGUAUGGGUUGGAUCAAUGGUGUUCCCAUUGCGUUGGUCAUAUUUCCGUUGUUCCUUUUCCUUCGUAGUACCUGCUCACGAAUAUACACGUCGAACAGAAUGCAUAAAACAGAAGCGCUUACAUCCAAGUUGGCAUAGAUGCACGUACUCCAGACUUAACUAAUCACACCAUCAUCACCAUGCAUAAAAGGGUUAUGCACUACCAGCUUUGAGCGGUGCCCAUGAUCCAUUGUCAUCGGCUUCCGCUUUUCAAAGUAUAAUAGACCAAACGGGAGAUCAGCUCAUAUGCCGUAAUUAUUGUUGCCCACGGAGCUGACAGCACAUCUUAGCUUCAUGUUAUCUGUAAAACUCUAACUCGUCUCGAACGUAGCUGUGAUGUCCUCUGUUUUCACGGCAUGCACGCAUGAAUAAGAAUAGAAUGUACUCCAUACGUGCUAGCUCGUUGUACAUCUAAUUAGUUUAUUACUAGACCACUCUUCGAUUAAAAAGUAACAUUAUCAGGCCCUUCCCGAUUGAUGAUCCUAGGCAGUAGCACUGGCGUAUUCCGCGUUCAUCUCACGCUAUGCACUAUGAUUAUCUCACGGCUCUCAAUCGGUAACAGUUUCCAGUAGUACCAAAUCAAGUCCAAUGUUCUGAACCUAACGCUAUUGUAGCUGCAAUGUUCGUAGCUAGCUAGUGUCCACGCACAUCAUUGCGCUCUUGCACACGAUUUGGUCAUGUGGGAAUCAUCAUCCUUAACCUGUGCACCUCAGUCCACUCAACGUAGCUGCAUUCAUUCAGGCUAAACACAGUAGGAGUAACUUAGAGCAUCUCUAACAAACCUCGUAAAAGGACACCACCCGUAUAAUUCUGACGAGUAUCUGGUUCUGGUGUGUUUUUCUUAUCAGGACAGACUCCAUAUCCCGUGCGCGGCCCCUAAAAAGUUUAGGGUGGCCUGAAAAAAGGCCCUCUCCAUCAUUAUUUAUGUGGUUUCAUUGUUCGGAUACGGGUCAAACCCUAUCCGCCUUCGCCGCCGCUCCACCACGAUUCCCCUCCCCCUUCGCCCCAAUUUCUCGUCAUCGACGAGCCUAAAAAAAGUCCUAGCGACCCUUCCCGACCCAUGAACGACUACGGAAGUGGUGGGGAUGACGCGAAGCGCCGCCGACGCCGCACGCAAACGGAAGGGGGGGAGUGGAUCAACUAUGGGAGCCGGCUACCACCGACGUUCGAACAUCGCGAGGUCGACGAGUACGAGCGAGAUCUCGCGGUCCACGUCCAAGGAGAUCUUCCUCGAGCAGGGUGUCGCGGCGUCGCACGCGCAAGCGUCCAAGGAGACGGACCUGAUCAUCGACCUCAACUCCGACGAGGACUGAGCACAUCUGGCUCCUCCGUCAUAUCAUGGCCGACGCAGGCUCGUGUACACUGCACGGCCCGCAGAUCUCCCCCUAUGUAGCACUAUGAUGUAGUAUGAUAAGCAACUUCUAUGAUGCAGUAUGAUAAUCAACUAUGUAUGAUGAAUGCCAUUGUAAGUUUCUCCCAUUAAUGUUUUUUCCCAAAUUUUAUAGUUUCAUAUACGGGGUCUUUAUCUGCAGCGCAUAAAUUAGCCCCGCAAAUCUGAUCUGUGGCGAACUAUAAACGUGCUUUUCGGGUCCAACUUUUACGGGGUCUGUUAUACAAGUACAUAACACACUUCAAGGCAGGUUUAUUUAUGUGGCAAGCAGUUUAUAAUGCAAGAGGUGAUUCUGCUAUAAUAAUACACUACCAAAAGAGUUGGGCGAGCUUUACUGCACCAUUAGUGUUGUUGGGUUUUCAUGUUUUAUUGUCUCAAUCUGUUUCAAAAUAUAAGGUCUAUUAGUUUUUUAAAAGUCGAACCUCUUUAAGUUUCAUCAAAUCUGCAGAGAAGUAUAUCAAAAUCCAUAAUAUGAAUUUGGUAUCACUAGAUUCAUCAUGAAAUAAAUUUCUAUAUUUUAUUUUAUUUUAUUUUGUAUUGUGGAUGUCGAUAAUUUUGGCUGUGAACUUGAUCAAAGUCAAAGAAAAUUGACUUUUCAAAAAACUAUUACACCUUAUAUUUUGGAAGUGAGGAAAUAUUUGUUUUCGCGAGUGGGAAAGAUGGUGGCGUGUGUUUUAUUUUAAUUUAUAUAAUGUGGUGUUUUGGUGUGUCUUUCGCACUGUGAUUCUUUGUUAUCUGCGAAUCAACUCAUAUUUAUGUGAGGAAUUUUUUUGCGUCACUGAGUGCAUGUACUAAAUUGGUUCUAGUGUAUCACAUGGUGGUGCUUCUUUUGUCUAGGUGAUGAGAGGAAGCGCGGAAUUGAUGUGUUUUAUAGGCUGGUUGUUGCUAAUUGAAUUGAAAAAUCGUUGGCCGGUAAAAUCAUGAAUCAAAUUCAAAACUGAAUACCUCAUUCGAAUGGAAGAGUUUCAAAUUUAGGAAGCAUGGUGAAUUAAUUGGAAUGAGAGAACUCCUUGAGAAAUUGAAUGAAAUCGGAUGACCCAAUUCUAAAUUGGGGACCUCAAUUGAUUAUGAGCGCUUCAAAAUCAGUGAGCCUCGUGUAUUAAAAGAAUUGAAUGAGUGAACUCCUUAAGAAAUUUUUGACCCUAUCAAAAUCGUAUGACCCAAUUUUAUUGAUUGCGAGGCCUUAAAAGUUAGGGAACAUAGUCUAUAGUACUAGAAAGACUGGACGUGAUUUGCUGCAUCGUUGGUGUUGUUGGGUUGUUAAAUAAUUACCCAUUCUGUUUCAAAAUAUAAGAUGUAUAUUAUUACGUUUUUGAAAAAUCAAACCUUUUAAGUUUGAUCAAUUUUGUAGAGAAAUAUGUCAAAUCACAUAAUAUUUAAUCAGUGUGAUUAGAUUCAUCAUGAAAUGAUUUUCUAUUAAAAAAUAAUAUUGUGGAUGUUGAUAUUUUUUGCUCUCGUUGUUGGUGAAAUUUGACUUUUCGAAAAACUAAUACCCCUUAUAAUUUGAAAUUGAUGGAAUUUACUUUGGCCGAUGAAGGAGAUGAUGGACUGAGUUUUAUUUUUAUUUAUAAUGCGUUGAUGUGAUGACCUUUCAUGGUGUGAUUAUGUGUUAUCUCGUAACUGAUACGUCUUCAACGUAUCGGUUAUUUAUGAAGUAUUCAUGUCAUGUUUGUCUAUGUUUACAACACUUUUAUAUGGUUUAGAUGCACUUUAUAUGAUUUAUUUAGAACUAACCCGGACUGACGCUAUUUUCUGCAGAAUUAUCGUGGGUUUUUUUGUGUGUGUUGAAAAUGAAAGUUCUCGGAAUCACCCAAAACAUUUAUAUAUUUUUUCUGGAGGAAAUAAGCAACAUUGGAGCGAAGAACUACCGGAGGGGAGCCACCUGUGGGCUACAAGCCAACAGGCCCCCACCCCCUAGGUCGUGUUGUGAUGGCUUGUGGGACCACAUGGCUCCGUUUGGCGUGAUUCCAACACUGAAAAAUCCUAUAUAUACUAAAACCUCCAGAAAUAAAGAAAGACCUUCUGCUCGGCUGGCACAACUCUCACUACUAGGAAAAACCUUAUAGGCAUUAUGUUGCAUAUUAUCGUUCAAAUUAUGUUGCAUAUUAUCGUUCAAAUCAUGCCUCUUUGUUUUCUUAAGUACAUUAUGUUGCAUAUUAUCGUUCAAAUCAACAACUCACGAUGCAGGUACCUAGAUCAGAGAUGGCGAAGGACUACUACGCCGUGUACGUUGGGAGGGUUCCAAGAGUCUACGACCACUGGCCAGCCGCUCAGGCCCAGGUGCACAGGUACCCGGGUGCUAGCCACAGAGGGUUCGACACCAGAGCCGAAGCGGAAAGUAGUUACUUGAGGUGGGGUACUACAUAGCCGCGCUCUUCAUCAUGCUGAUUGCUCUUCACUUCUACAUCAUGUUGUAGAUAGAGAUGAUGAAACUUGUGGGUGUGUCAUGACCAUGCAGUUGUACUUAUUCGAGACAUGACAUGAUCGCACUUAUGUAUUGCUAUUUUUGAGAUGAUGUGAUGAUAUUUGUGUUGAAUGAUGAUGAUGAUGAUGGUAUGACGAGACUACUGUAUGUCUAUGAUAUGUGAGAAUAGUGUAUGUUUAAUAUGAUGUGAUGAAACUAUUGUAUAGAGCAUGUAUAAAUACACCACAAAUACGUAGAGGGUGCAAAUCUGUGAAAGCAGAAAUACUUACCAGUAGCGCUUAAAAAUACUUACCAGUAGCGCGGCUUAGCAGCAACGCGCCAUAUGAACAAGCGCUACAACUAUAGUUAUCAGUAGCGCUGGACAAGGAAGCGCUACUACUAACACUACUUACCAGUAGCGCUGCCCAUACCAGCGCUACUACUAGGGUUUAGCUGUAGCCGAUAGCAGUAGCGCUUGGCCCAGCGCUACUACUAUGCAUAUUUCAAGCGCUACUACUAGGGUUUUCCCUAGUAGUGUCUGUGUAUCGACGAGAAACCAAUCUGAAUAGAAAAAACAGUAGCGAAAACAGGAGAGAAAUAGAGAGAGGGGUCCAAUCUUGGAGGGGCUUUCGCCCCUCCGGGAGCCAUGGUGGCCAAGGACCAGAGGGGAGAACCUCUCCCCAUCUAGGGAAAGGCCAUGAAGGAGGAAGCCUAAGGGGGAGACACUCUCCCCUCUGUUCCUGCAGCGCUGGACUGCCUUUGGAGGAACCAUCCCCGUGGUGAUCGUCUUCAUUAACAUCACCGUCUACAUCACCUUUGCUCAUCUAUCUAUGGCGGUUCACUCUCCCACAUCCCAUUGUAAUCCCCUACUUGAACCUGGUAUUUCACGCCACAUAUUAUUAAUCAAUGAUGUGUUUCCAUCCUAUGAUGUUUGAGUAGAUUUAUGUUGUCCUUUGGGUUGAUUGAUUUUUGUGUAUGUUUUAUUUUGUGUUGUCCUAUGGUGCCCCUCGUGUAGCACGCACGUGAGGGAAUUCUUGUUGUAGGGUUUGCAAUAUGUUCAUGAUUCGCUUAUAGUGGGUGGCUAGUGUGACAUGAGAUUACAACCGAGUAAGGAAGUUGUUUGCCUACGGGAGUAAAGGAGACUUGAUGUUUAAUAUUAUGGUUGGGUUUACCUUCAUGAUCUCUAGUAGUUGUCGAUGCUUGCUAUAGAUCAAGUCAUAAGUUCAUAUGAUCCAAGUACGGAAAGUAUGUUAGCUCAUGCCUCUCCCUCAUAUAAAAUUGUAAAAAAGAUUAUCGAUCUUUGUUAUCUAUUGCCUAGGAUUAUUCCGCACUCCAUACCAUCAUUCUUCCACACUAACUAUUUGUAAUAUAUUCUAAGUUUAUUUAAUGGAACAACUAUUUUCAUAUUUUUGUUCCCCAAUAUCAUGCAAAGUUACCCUCUUUAUACCCAAAAACAUACUUUUAAAUAGCGAAGAUAGCAUCCGCUAUUGCGUCCGCAACAGCGCUAGCGCCAUAGCGACCGCUAUCACUAAAAUUAAAUGGCAUUAGCUUUUCUUCAUGUUCUAGUGAUAUAAACAAGAAUUUAGUGUUUUUACAAAUCUGUUGCGCAGACAAAGCACCUGCAGUCUCGCGUGCUAUCCUCAUUCCACCAUGCUUAACCCAAUCCGCUACGAGUCCGCUAUCCGCUAUUUAAAACCAUGCCCACAACGCAAUUUUAUUUCUUGUUACUAGAUAGAAGCAAACGUUCGGUGUAUGUAGGGUUUGGUAAAUAGGACUUGAGAUAAUAUUGAUCUUACCUUUAGCUCCUUGUGGGUUCGAUACUUCAUACUUAGAAAUUCCUUGUGUAGAAAAUGCUAUGAUGAUUUCUUGCACUUGGGGAUUAUCAGUAGCCAACAUAUAUUUAUACAGGAAAUUUUAUGUGUCGGCAACUGCAUUGGUAUGUUGAUGUUACAUUAUCACAUGAUGGUGUUUAUUUUUAUGGGUGGUGGGAGGGUGCAUGGAAUUGACAUGUUUUUUAGGCCAGUGGUGCUCACUGAUUUGAAAAUCGAUGGUCCGACGAUAUCGCAAACCGAAUACAAAAUUGAAUACCUCAAUUAAAUGAAAGAUGAUGAGGAUAUGGCUACCUUGGGUACGAUAAAUAAUAUUUUAUAUUUGCAUAUUUAUGUGGUGAUUUAUUAUAAUAAUUAUGUAAUAAUUUAUUUGUGUUAUCCGGAACAAAAAUACUUCACCUAUUUUUACUCCAUGCCUAAAUGUAGAAUUAUCGAACGUUUGCACGAACCACAUGUGAAGAUAAAGAAAGAGGAAAUAAUUAGGUGUUGUUAAAGAAGUCGUUUCACAUCAAAGGAAAUUAUUAUGUGUUGUUCAAGAAGUUCUCUCACAUUACUUUUGGGCCAAGAGAAGAUAAAGUUCAAGUCUCUGACGUUCUUGACUCAGAUUCGGACUGCACACACAUACGUGUCUCAAAACAUCAACAACUUUUUCAUACGGACUCUGAAUUGGGUGAUUCUUUUUUUUGUAAAUUACAUUUUAUGUGCGUUCCAUCCCAAUUAGAAUCGCCUUAAAAUUCUUUCGGACCGUGGAGAUGUCGACGAAACAAUCUGACGUUGCACGAGAAUUCGAGUCAAACUACAAGUCCAAAGGUGUCGCAUCACCUCCACUUGGGCCCAUAGGCCUUGUACGACCUAUGGUUAGUUUUAGGCUGCCUUGGGUUGUCCUCCCACCUCCAUGACCGCCACCCCUUGAUCCUAUAUAAGUAGAUCUACCUAGUAUCUUUUUUAUGGGGAUUUGUUUAGUUAAAUUUAAUGGUAUUUCCGCGGCAGAUGCCAGGAGUGGCUUAGAAUGUGGUUUGGGGUCGAUGGACGCCAGCGACGUCUAGGAACGGGUGAUGGAGCGAGACAUAUGACAUCGAUCUAUCCAGGUUCAGGGUCCUCCGAUGAGGUAAAAAUCCAUAGUCCUGCCGGUUUGACUAUAUGAGAUCACAAUACAAUGGUCCUCCUUGAGCUAUUCGUGAGGAGGGACACGAAGCUCUUGCUGCCUCGGUGGUAUGUGUCUAAGGGUUCGCUAGUUUUCUUCUCCCAUUCUCUUAGGGGAUUGGGGUUCGGAUUUAUAGUGUAGCCAAAUGUAUGCAAUAAUGGGUAGAAAUGGGGUGCGGGGCCCGACUUUCAGCCUCUCUACCUGGCUGUGAGGCUCGCCGGCUGUCGGAUCUUGUCUGGCGCGGGUCCCGUCGGACGUGUGCUGCGGCGAAUAAUGCACCGGCCGCCAGGGAGUUGGUAGGGGUAGGCCCUAGCGGCCACCUCGCUCGGUCAGCCUCGGGCGUAACCGGUGGUGCUGUAGCCACGCCGAGCCUUGCAUGAUGACGCGUGUAGCUGCGCCGGCACUGUCAACAUGCACUGUAGCCAUGUGCGCCCCUGCGCUGAGGGUAUGGUCUUGUUCAUCGUACCUCAAUAUGACCGGAUGGGAUUGGCGCUGACCCACUUGCUGCUGCCAGCCGACCCGUCGUGCGCUGGCCAAACGAGCCGUCUGUGGCCAUCCGGCCAAGGGCGCCCAGCCAAAAGGGUCAAACGCCAAUAUUCGGCCCGUCACACGGUGGCUAGGCGAGCCGCGUGUAUCCAGCCGCCUAGGGGGGCAGACGGCCCGAAUGUCAAGCAGAGGGAUUCCCUCUGCUUUGGUAUACCCAAGGGCCAUAACCCCGUUAGUAGCCCGCAAAACCGUUGGGGUCUGGAGGCCUCCAGGCGAGGGGCCAGUGGUUUAUCCCUCCCCUCCGCCUGAAGGUGUUAUCGAAGUUGAUACGCCCGCCGGAGCCGGCGAGCGGGGACGCGUGUCCCCAGCCGGCUGUGGUGGCAGCCGGUUGUGUCUUAGUCGAACAUUGCGGCGCCUCGGAGGGUCGGAGGUAGAUAAGAGGCCCACCACCACGCGCGCGAUGGGACAUCGCUACAUGCCCGACCUGGCACACCUCAGCCCACGCGCGGUAUCAUUUGUGGCCGUGGACCGACGGUUGUGGUUACCCACGCUGUUUAAUGCGCGUGGGGAUCAUGUGUUAGUGGGGGACGUGGGCGUAACCGAUCGCACGCCCCCACGUCUCCCCCGAGGCUUUAAAAGGGGGGAGACCCGUUUCGCCAUUGCCUCCCCUCGUCCCACCUUCAUUUUUCCCUUGCGAUGGUGCUCUCCGUCGUCGUCCUUACUACUCACGCCUGGAGCACUCGCCGCUGCCGCCACCCCUCCUCGCGGGCGGAGCGCACACCGCCAUCUUUCCUCCAUCCUUCGCAUGUAGUGCCUCCCUGUGGUCGAUCCUAUCGGGAGUUGCAUCUCUCGCCUCCUUUUCUCCGCUUCAUUGCCGGCGACCGACGAGAUGGUCGGACCACCCGCCGGCUCGUGGGAGGGCUCGAUCAUGACGGAUGAACACAUCGACUACCUCCAGCGGACGCGGAAACUCCCGCCCGCGGAGCUUGAUACGUGUCCAACGUAUCUACAAUUUACGAAGUAUUCAUGACAUGUUUACAAUAAUUCUAUAUGAUUUUGGUAUGAUUUCAUUAGAACUAACCCGGCUCAUGUUGUUUUCAGUAGAGCUACCGUGGUGUUGUUUCUGUGCAAAAAUAAAAGUUCUCAGAAUAGGCUGAAAAUUUACGGAGAAUAUUUUUGGAAAAUAUGAAUAAAAUGGAGCAAAAAGAUAUCAGAGAGGAGUCCCAAGGCAGUGAUAAGCCACCAGGCCCCCCCCCUAGGGCACUCCCCUCGCUUAUAAGCCCCUCGAGCACUCCCCUGACGUGAUUCCAACGCCAAAUAUUCUUAUAAAUACAGAAACCCUCGAAAAGAAACCAAGAUCAGGAAUUCCGCCGUCGCAAGCCUCCACAGCCACGAAAAACCAAUCUUGUCCCUCUCUGGCACCCUGCCGGAGGGUGUCACCAUGACCGGAGACCAUGGACGAGGAAGACGGAGGGGCCAUAAUCACGAUGGAGGCCAAGGACCAGAGGGAGAACCUAUCCCCGCCUUGGGGCGGCCAUGGAGGAGUAGGCACAAGGGGGAGACCCUCUCCCCCUCUAUCAGGGUGGUCCCGGAGUGCCACCAGGACAACAAUCGCCGCAGUGAUCGUCUUCAUCAACAUCACCUUCUUCAUCACCAUCCUCAUGUUCUUUUAGCGGUCCACCCUCCCGCACCCCGUUGUAAUCUCCUACUUGAACAUGGUGCUUUAUGCCACAUAUUAUGAUCCAAUGAUGUGUUUCCGUCCUAUGAUGUUUUAAGUAGAUUCCCUUUGUCUCAUGGGCCGAUUGAUGAUCUAGAUUGGUUUGAGUUGCCUGCUUUAUUAUUGGUGAUGUCCUAUGGUGCUCUCCAUGUCGCGCAAGCGUGAAGGAUUCCCGUUGUACGGUGUUGCAAUACGUUCAUGAUUCACUUAUAGUGGGUUCUUGAGUGACAGAAGCAUAAACCCGAGUAGAUGGGUUAUUGCGUAUGGGAUAAAGGGGACUUGAUGCUUUAAUGAUAUGGUUGGGUUUUACAUUAAUGAUCUUUAGUACGAUUGCUUGCUAGAGUUCCAAUCAUAAGUGCAUAUGAUUCAAGUAGAUAAAACAUGUUAGCUUAUGCUUCUCCCUCAUAUAAAAUCGCAAUAAUAAUUAUCGAUCUUGUUAACAAUUGCCUCAGACAAUUCCGCACACCGACCCAUCCUCAUUCCACACUCACUAUUUGUAAUAUAUUCUAACUAUACGAUAACAGCACCUAUUUUUAUAUUUUAGUUCUUCGAUGUCAUGCAAAGUUAUUCUCUUCAUACCCACAAUGUAUUUUUAUUUCUCGUUCCUAGUUGGAAGCAAAUGUUUGGCAUACGUAGAGUUGUAUCAGUGGCAGAUAGGACUUGAGAGAAUAUUUCUCUUACCUUUAUCUCCUUGUGGGUUCGACACUCCAUACUUAUCACUUCCACCUUUGAAAAUUGCUACGAUGAUUCCUUGCACUUGGGGAUUAUUAAGCUCUUUUCUGGCGCCGUUGCCGGGGAGCAAUAGCGUGGGGUUGAUAUUCUUGUGUGUGCUUGUUUUCUUUCUUCACUAAGUAGGUUUUGUUUUCCAUUUUUUCUUUGUUUAGUUGUGGAUUAAAUAAAAAAUUACUUGCCUCUUAUAACUAAGAAUUUUUCAAAAAGAGAAGUGAUUGGAAGGUUGUGCAUUGGAGAAGUGACGGUCGACCUUGAGCACUUGUGUUCAUGAUCAUGGAAGCAAUGUAGAAUUUUUCAUGGAAGUUUAUCAAAAAUAAUUAUGCCCUUGUAUAUAUCCAUUGUAUUAUAAAAUAAUGUGCCAAGAUUUUCCUUUAGGAUGAUUGGAUUGCUUGUUUGGUGUGUUCAGUGCAAAAACAGAAAUUUUGGCUGUACUGCGUGAAUUUACGUUUUUUACUAGAAGGUCGCAAGUUUCUGAAUUUUUUACACAGUACUCCUAUGCAAAAAAAUUAUUUAUUCCUAAUUAUUCAGAAUUUUUUUAGUUACAUAAGUAUACGAAGUUUCCAGAUUGCUAAAAACUAUCUUGUUUUUGAUAGGUUCUGUAUUCUAUGCAUUGUUCUCUUAUUUUGAUGAAUCUAUGGGUAGUACCAGGGGGUACGAACCAUGGUGAAGUUGGACUACAGUAGAUAUAAUGUUAAUAUGAAUUUGGAAUGAGUUCACAAUAGUACUUAAGUAGUAUUUUUCUUUAUUAUACUAACGGAUCUCGCGAGGGUUUUGUUAAGUUUUGUGUGAAUGAAGUGUUCAAAGAUCGAGGAUGUAUCGAUAAAAGAAGAAUAUAGAGAGACAAUAGUUCAAGCUUGGGGAUGCCCAAGGCACCCCAAGUAAAUAUUUCAAGGAUUUUCAAGAAUAUAAGCUUGCGGAUGCCCCGGAAGGCAUCCCAUCUUUAUUCUUCAACAAUUAUCGGUAUACCUUGGUUUUUGUUUUGUUCACAUAAUAUGCUUCUUUAGUGUUUUUGUUCUCUUUUUAUGGACACUUCUAGUAUGAGAUAGUCCUUCAUUGAUUUAUAAAAUUCUUCAUGCUCUUCACUUAAAUAUUUUGAGUAUUUCUUUGUGGAAUGCUCUUUGUGUUUCACUUAAAUCGUUUGAGUAUGGCUCUGUAGAAUGCUCUUCGUACUUCACUUAAAUCUUUUGAGUAUAGCCUUAUAGAAUGCUUCGUGUGGUUCACUUAUAUAUUUUGAGCUUGGAUAUUGGUUGAUAUAUAUUAAUUGUAUAAUUCCCUAUGAACUUCACUUAUAUCUUUUAGAGUAUGAAUAAAAUCAUCAUCGGAAUUAGGCUUGGAAGGGAAUCAUUGAAAUAACCAUGCCUAACUAAAAGGCAUUAAAGAAAAGCGCUUGUUGGAAGACAACCCAACACUUUUACCUUCUGUUUUAAUGAGUUCACAAGAUUAAGCUACUGUAUUAAUCAUGUUUUGUGUCUUUUGUUGCUAUAAACUGCCAAGUAAAGCCUUUGGGAUGACUCACAAGAUGACUAGAAUUGAUGUUGAACCAAAACAGAAACUUUUGACUCCGGUACAGGAAUUUUUAUUUUUUACCGGAGCAUGAUAAUGAUCUUAAAUUUUUACAAAUUCUUUAUAUAUAAAUUAUUCUGGUUGUCCUAAUUUUUUCAGAAUUUUUAGAGACAGGUACGUAUGGCUAUACUACAGAUCUUCACAGACUGUUCUGUUUUUGACAGAUUCUAUUUUGCAUGCAUAGUAUGGUUAUUUUAGUGUUCCCAUAGCUUAUAUUCAGUAAUAUAAAUUAUGGUAAUGAUAGAAUAAAGUAGGUAUCAUGUGGUAACAAUUAUGAAUCUUGUCUUGACAGUACCUAAGUGAAUGAUCUAUCUUUUUUACACUAACCCUUCUCACGAAGUUCCGUUAAGUUUUGUGUGAUUGAAGUUUUCAAGUUUUGGGUGAGACACCGAUAUGAGGAGAACAAGGAGUGACAAGAACCUAAGAUUAGGGAUUCCCAAGGAACCCCCAAGGUAAUAUCCAUGGAAUACUCAAGUGCCUAAGCUUGAGGAUGCCCCGAAAGCAUCCCCUCUUUCGUCUCCAACGCUAUCGGUAAUCUUACUUAGAGCUAUAUUUUUAUUCAUCACAUAAUAUGAGUUUUUAUUGGAGCAUCAUUUUAUUUUGUUGAUUUAUGUUAGGUGCUAUAUAUAAAAAAAAUCAAUAAAAAAGUUUCAAGAAUUGCAUUAGGAUGCUUGCAUUGCAUGGUUUGAUGUGUGUUAUGUAAAAACAAAAACUCUUUAUGUAGUUUUUGAAUUUGCAUAUUUUACUAGAACAUGGAAAGUUUAUGAAAUUUUUACACAGUGUUAUCAUACAAAGUUUAUAGCAUGUCCUAAAUGUUCAUAAUUUUUUGAGUUACACAAGUACAAUGUUUUCAUAUAUUGCUACACACUGUUCUGUUUGGACAAAUUGUUGUUAUAGUUUUGUUAUCUACUUAUCCUAUAGUUUCCAUAGCCUAUAUUGGUAGAUAUAAAUUGUGGAAAUGAUAGUAAACAGUAGAUGAUGUUUGAAAAUUAUUAUACAACUUGUCUUGGCAGUAAAUGAAGAGUUGAUUUAUUAUUGUGUGGACUAACCUAUCUCACGAGUUCUUUUCGAGUUUUGUGUGGAUGAAGUUUUUGAGAAUAGGUGAAACCAUGAUAUGAGAGGAUUGAACGAGAUACGAAAGCUCAAUCUUGCGGAUGCACAAGGCACCCCAAGUAAAUAUUUCAAGGACUCUCAAGCAUCUAAUCUUGGGUAUGCUACGCAUCCCACCUCUCUUCGUCAACUAUCGGUUAGCCUAUGUUGAGCCUAAAUUUUUAUUCGUUCACAUGACACAUCCUAUUCUUGGAGUGUUAUUUUUCUUUUGCUUGAUGUUUAAAUAAAAUACUCAGAUCUGAAAAUCUUUAUUGAGGGAGAGGGUGAAAGUCCUCACAUAGCUACUUAAUUGUUUGACUACUCAUUCAUCUUCACUUAUAUGUUUUGGAGUAGUUUUGUCAUUUACUCUCGUGCUUCACGUAUAUCCUCUAAGUAAAUAGUUGAGUGAAUUGAAUAUCGUAAAUCUGAAAUUAUAUAUAUUUUAAAUUAUAGGUGGUAAAAUUUAUUGAACGUUAGCAAACAAUGCAUUGGCCACUUGAUCAAUUCAUGAAAUAAUAUUGAAGGAAGAGAGAGUCCACAUAUAAAUAUACUAUCUUGGACAUCUUCUAUGAUUGCGAGCCCCAUUAAUUAUUUUCAAAAUUCAUCAAAUUAGUUGAUGUUCGGCAAGGAAGACAACUUAAUGAGUUAUGUUUGGGUAUAUUUGCAUAGAAAUUAUAUUGUUAUGGAUCCUCCAACAUGUGGUGCUUGUUUAGAACCUUUUGCUAGCCAACACUGCGUACUAAGUAUAGAUACUACUUGUGCAUCCAAAAAUCCUUAAACCUAGUUUCUUGCCAAGAGAGUCCACUAUAUCGACCUAUAUGCCGUAUUUACCUGCCGUUCCAAGUAAAUUUGCAUGUGCCAAACUCUAAACCUUCAAAUAAUAUUAUGUUCUGUAUGCCCGAAUCGCUCAUGUAGUGACUAGGGGUUGUGAGUAUCUUCCAUGCUAGGUGGGUUAUUCUCAAGAUAUGUGUUGAUUCACUAUCAUUCACGAGAAAGUGGCUGGUAUUCGGGAUGCUGAGUUCCAUGCUCAAAAAUCAAAUCAAAAUAUAAGGAAACAAAACUCCCCCAAGAUUGUUGUUUGUAUGGUUGGUACCCGUGGAUUCGGCUCACUAUGGAGUGUGAUUGAUUUGUGAAGGGGGAGUAAAAACUUUACCAUUCUGUUUGGGAACCUCCUAUAAUGUAUCUAGCAUGGCAGAUACCAAUAUCUCUUGGUUGUUAUGUUGACAAUGAAAGCAUACUUCUGAAAAUUAUUAUUCAUCUCUAUUUUAAAAACUCGAGCUCUGGCACAUAUGCAAAUCACUACUUCCCUCUGCGAAGGGUCAAUCUAUUUACUUUCAUGUUAUUUACUAUUCUUGUUGAGUUAACUUAGUUUUCCAACCUCAAAGUAUUAGUUGGCAAGCAUCAUGUGGUGGGGAAAGAUCCACACAUAUAUAUGCGAACAAAUAUAUUUGAUCAUGAAUUAUAAUUGUUGACAAUUAUAAAUAUGAUAAAUAAGUUGUGAGGCGAAACUUUAAGCCCCUAUCUUUCUCCUUGUUAGAUGGAUGUUAUUUGUUCUAAAAAUAUGCUUUGAAUGUCAAUAAUCAUGGAAUCCUUCCUAAAAAUAAGAUGAAUUGCAAUUAUUCGAUGACUGAAAGCAUAGUUUGUUAGUUUUCAAGAAACUUUAUGGUCUACACUUUAACACGUGAAUAGCUUGUUACUUCAUCAUGAUAAGUUUUAUGAUAUGAGCUACUGUUUAUGAUAUAUAAUGAUGCUAGAAAAAGUGUUUGGAACUAUCAUUGAUCAAAUUUAUACACUAUGCUAGCAUUCACACUUCCUAAAUUAUUUCUUUCAUCAUUUACCUACUCGAGGACGAGCAGGAAUUAAGCUGGGGGGUGCUGAUACGUUUCCCAUGUAUCUAUAAUUUAUGAAGUAUUCAUGCCAUGUUUACAAUAAUUCUGUAUGAUUUUCGGUUGAUUUUAUUAGAACUAACCCGGACUAAUGAUGUGUUCAGCACACUAUCACGGUAUUGUUUUUGUGGAGAAAUAAAAGUUCUCGGAAUGUGCUGAAAAUUUACGGAGAAUAUUUUUGGAAAAUAUGAAAAGUAAUGGAGCAAAAAUAUGCUGGAGAGGAGUCCUGAGGCAGCCACCAGGGCGGCCCCGUAGGGUGCGCCCCCUGGCUUGUGGGUCCCUCGAGCACUCCCCUGGCGUGAUUCCAAUGCCAAAUAUUCUUAUAAAUAUAGAGGCCCCCAAAAAGAAACCUAGAUCGGGAGGUCUACCGCUGCAAGCCUAUAGAACCACGAAAAAACAAUCAGGCCCUCUCCGGCACCCUGCUGGAGGGGGUCACCAUCACCGGAGAACAUGGAGGAGGAAGACGGAGGGGCCAUCAUCACCAUGGAGGCGACGAACGAGAGGGAGAACCUCUCCUCACCUUGGGGGCCAUGGAGGAGGAGGCACAAGGCGGAGACCCUCUCCCCCUCUCUCCCGGUAGUGCCGGAGUGCCACAGAGGGAACCAUCGCCGAGGUGAUCGUCUUCAUCAACAUCACCUUCUUCAUCACCAUCCUCAUCUUCUUUUAGCAGUCCACUCUCCUGCACCCCGCUGUAAUACCCUACUUGAACAUGGUGCUUUAUGCCACAUAUUAUGAUCCAAGGAGGUGUUGCCAUCCUAUGAUGUUUUGAGUAGAUUCCCUUUGUCUUAUGGGUUAAUUGAUGAUCUAGAUUGUCUUGAGUUGCAUGCUUUAUUAUUGGUGUUAUCGUAUGGUGCUCUACGUGUCGUGCAAGCGUGAGGGAUUCCUAUUGUAUGGUGUUGCAAUACGUUCAUGAUUCGCUUAUAGUGGGUUGCUUGAGUGACACAAGCAUAAACCAGAGUAGGUGGGUUGUUGCGUAUGGGAUAAAGGGGACUUGAUGCUUUAAUGCUAUGGUAGUUAGCUUAUGCUUCUCCCUUACAUAAAAUUGCAAUAAUGCUUAACAAUCUUGUUAACAAUUGCCUAGGACAAUUCCGUACACCGACCCAUCAUCAUUCCACACUCGCUAUUUGCAAUAUAUUGUAAUAGAUUCUAACUAUAUAAUAACAUCACUUAUUUUCAUAUUUUAGUUCUCUGAUGUCAUGCAAAGCUAUUCUCUUCAUACCCACAACGUAGUUUUAUUUCUCUUUCCUAGUUGGAAGCAAACGUUCGGCGUACGUAGAGUUGUAUCAGUGGCAGAUAGGACUUGGGAGAAUAUUGCUCUUACCUUUAGCUCCUUGUGGGUUCGACACUCCAUACUUAUCAAUUCCACCUUUGGAAAUUGCUAUGAUGAUUCCUUGCACUUGGGAAUUAUAAGAGCUUCUCGAGGCCUGCGCGCUCGGCGGCGAGCAAGUGCCGGAGCCUCGAGUCGGCGAGCGUAUCGUCUUCGGCACACACUUCCUCGUCGGCUUUGGGCUUCCGGGGAGCUGCUUCUUGUGGAAUUUUCUUGAGGUCUAUGGGAUCCAGAUGCAUCAUAUGGGGCCUAACUCCGUUCCGUACCUCGCGUGCUUCGCAUUGCUAUGCAAGGCAUAUAUGGACUUCUGGCCCUUUCCCUCCUUCUUCCGCCACUUCUUCCAUUUAUGUGCCCACGCGCACGAUAGUGUGUCGUACUCCUGUGGUGGCGCGGUGGUGUACAAGAAGCGCGGCAGGCCGUUUCCGCAGAUGAAGUGGAAGGAGUCCUUCAAGAAAUGGCAGCACACCUUCUUCUACGUCCGCAACAUCGGCCUGGGGCGGGACUGGUUAACCUCCCGCCCUUUGCUGACGAGCCAACGACUGGGGAGAACUAAAAUCUCGAGUUGUGCAAUGACUUGCUGGUGUCGAUUGGCGGCCAGCUGCAGGAGCUCAUGGGCUCCCUAGGGCUGGUGGCCCCGGACCUGGUGGCGGCCUUUGUCUCUCGCCGAGUGCUGCCUCUGCAGGCACGGCCGCACCGGAUGUGCGACAUGAGCAUCCGCAAGGAACCGUGCUGGCUGUUAGUGGUGGACCUGCCGUUGAGCAAGGUUGCCGCCAGGGUGAACAGAAUCACCGACUUCCAUCGUGGCAACCAUGGACCGCUGGUAAGAUUUCGUCCAACUGAGGUCAUCCCCUUUUUUCCUUUCCCGUAGUAUGUGACACAUGGUCAUGUAUUUCCUCAGCUUUUUGUUCGGCAGAACACAUCAAACGGACCGAAUCCGGAGCGCUUUUCCCCAUAUUAGGAUGAAUCCGACGCCGAGGACUACGAAUUGAACGGGGACGGUCCUGAAGGCCCUGAAGAUUUGUACGCGACGGAGGCGGCGGAGGAUGAUGAUGGUGUUGAGGAGGACGAGGAGGAGGCGGCCGGUGCCGUGGCUGGCAAGGUGGGGACGUCAAGUACUAAUGACCCACAAGUGUAGGGGAUCUAUCAUAGUCCUUUCAAAAAGUAAGAGUGUCGAACCCAACAAGGAGCGGAAGGAUCUGACGAGUGGUUUUCAGCAAGGUAAUAUCUGCAAGAACUGAAAUUAUCGGUAACAAGUAGUUGUGUGGUGAGAUGAUUCGUAGGAAGUAGCAAGUAAGAAAAGUAACAACGGUGCAGCAAAGUGGCCCAAUCCCUUUUGUAGCAAGGGACAAGCCUGGACAAACUCUUAUAGGAGGUAAAACGCUCCCGAGGACACAUGGGAAUUUCUGUCAAGCUAGUUUUCAUCAUGUUCAUAUGAUUCGCGUUCGCUACUUUGAUAGUUUGAUAUGUGGGUGGACCGGCGCUUGGGUACUUCCCUUACUUGGACAAGCACCCCACUUAUGAUUAACCCCUCUCGCAAGAAUCCGCAACUACGAAAGAAGAAUUAAGACAAAGUCUAACCAUUGCAUUAAACUAGUGGAUCCAAAUCAGCCCCUUACGAAGCAACGCAUAAACUAGGGUUUAAGCUUCUGUCACUCUAGCAACCCAUCAUCUACUUACUACUUCCCAAUGCCUUCCUCUAGGACCAAAUAAUGGUGAAGUGUUAGGUAGUCGACGUUCACAUAACACCACUAGAGGAAAAACAACAUACAACACAUCAAAUUAUCGAACGAAUACCAAAUUCACAUGACUACUUAUAGCAAGACUUAUCACAUGUCCUCAGGAACAAAAGUAACUACUCACGAAGCAUAAUCAUAUUCAUGCCCAGGGAGGUAAUGAGUAGCAUCAAAGAUCUGAACAUAUAAUCUUCCACAAAGUAAUCCAACUAGCAUCAACUACAAAGAGUAAUUAACACUACUAGCAACCUUACAAGUACCAAUCGGAGUCGCGAGACGGAGAUUGGUUACAAGAGAUGAACUAGGGUUUGGAGAUGAGAUGGUGCUGAUGAUGAUGUUGAUGGUGACGAGUCCCCUCCGAUGAGAGGAGUGUUGGUGAUGACGAUGGCGACGAUUUCCCCCUCCGGGAGGGAAGUUUCCUCGGCAGGAUCGGCCUGCCGGAGCUCUAGAUUGGUUCUGCUCACGUUCCUCCUCAUGGCGGCGUUGAACCCUCCGAAAAGCCUCUUGUUGAUUUUUUUUUCUGGAACAAAACCAUUCUUGUAGCAAAAUGGGUGAGCCAGAGGGCUAAGUGGGAGCCCACAAGCCCCCUAGGCGCGGCCAGGGGGAGGUCGCGCCUAGCGGGCUUGUGGCCUCCUGCUGGCGCCCCUCUGGUACUUCUUCGGCCUAGUAUUUUUAAUAAAUCCCAAAAAAAUCCACGUUGAUUUUCAUGACUUUUGGAGUUGUGCAGAAGAGGUAUCUCAAACUUGCUCCUUUUUCAGGCCAGAAUUCCAGCUGCCGGCAUUCUCCCUCUUCAUGUAAACCUUGCAAAAUAAGAGAUAAAAGGCAUAAGUAUUGUACCUUGAAGUGUAAUAACAGACCAAAAAGCGAUAAAUAUAAACAUGAAAGCAUGAUGCAAAAUGGACAUAUCAACUCUCCCAAGCUUAGACCUCGCUUGUCCUCAAGCGAAAGCCGAGAUCAAUAAAUAUGCCCACAUGUUUAGAGAGAGAGGUGUCGACAAAACAAGAUACGGACAUGCAGGCAUCAUGAUCAUAAUCAGAAUAGCAAUACCAACAUAUAAUCUCUCAUGCUAAAGUGAUAAUUCCUUCACAAAGUAAAGCAUGGAUCAAGAACCUUACCGAGAAUUAACAACCGAUAGCCUUUAGUCAUUGAAGCAAUUGCAAUUUAUCACAAUAUCAGAAAGAGUCAAAUAAGAGCUUGUAAAGCAAAUCCAAAUACUCAAUCAUCCUUUCGUUCUCUACAAUUUCUACAACUCACGUGGUACUCAUGAGAUCAAAGUUUCAGCUGGACACAAAGAAAGAUAGGGAUUUAUAGUUUCGCCUCCCAACCAUUUACCUCAAGGGUAAUGUCAACAAUAAUAAUUCAUGAAUACUUACUUCCAAGUUGACAUAUGAAUAUAGAUCUUUCCCAAGCAUAUGACAUUAGCCAAGAUAAAGGCGAAACAAGGAAUUGGUGAAGAUCACCAUGACUCUUUCACGGGAAAAAUUAAAGGUACAAGAUAGGCCCUUUGCAGGGGGAAGCAGAGGUUGUCAUGUGCUUUUGAGGUUUGGAUGUGUGUCCUCUUAGUGUGGAGGAACGUCACUUUAUAUUGCCUCCUGUGAUAAAGAACUUUAUUAUGCAUUCCGUCGCUUUUAUCUAUUCCUCAUCACAGGUUCGUACAAAGCUUAUUUUCCAUGCACUAAUAGAUCAUACAUAUUAGGGGGGCAAUUUUUAUUGCUUGCAUCGAUGACAACUUACUUGAAGGAUCUUAUUCAAUCCAUAGGUAGGUAUGGUGGACUCUCAUGGAAAAACUGGGUCGAAGGUUUAUGGAUGCACAAGUAGUAUCUCUACUUGGUGCGAGUGUUUUGGCUAAUACGAGGUGGAAGCAAUCUUCACAUGCCAAGGGAUCUCUAGUCAUAUAACAUUGUUCGGAACCAAGCAAACACAAUUCAUUAUGUUGUCUUCCUUGUCCAACAUCCACUUCUAAGCAUGUAAUAGUGUAGUGAGUGUUCACAAUCAUAGAUGGUGUCAAAGAUGAUAUAUUUAUAUGUGAACCUCUCCUUCUUUAUCACUUCCUAUUAAUUGCAACAAUGACCAAGGUCUACGUUUGUCUAUCCUCAACAAGUUUCAAUCAACAUUGUUUUCAUAUGUGAAGCCAUCACUUCCCAUAAGAUCAUUACAUGAUCUUUCAUGCUUUUGUUCUUUUCUCAUUCUCUUGAUCAUGGCAUGAGGCAACGCCCUUAACUAAGACACUCUUUAUUAUAUGGCUCACGAGCUCGAAUACAUCGGGGGUGGCACAAAUAAAAACUCAAGCCUAAAACACUAAGACCUUUAAUCUACUAGAGAAAGAGAAAACUGAAAAGGAACAAACUAAAACAAAGGUAAAGGAAAAAGAUGUGAUGGUGAUACGAUAGCGGGGCAACUCCCCCAAGCUUGGCACAAGCCAAGGGGAUUGCCCAUACCCAUGCUUAGUUGUCUUCCUUUGGAGGUGAUGGUGAUGGAGUUGUUGCAGAGGUCUUGAACUUGUUUAAUUUCCACUUGAGCGUAAAAUUCUGCUCCCUCAGAUCAUCAAUUUCCUCUUCAAGCCUCAACAACCUUUUGCAUAAUUCCUGCUUACUCUCCUGCAAGAAAUGAGAAGGGAUAAACAAUGUUUUAGGCUUCUUCCUUGAGUCAGGGAGGCUCGAUUUCUUGAACUCCACAUGCGUGUGUCCAAGUUGAGGUAGAGGAGCCUCCUCCUCAUCGGAACUUGUUCGUUCCUUCCCCUUGGGAUCAUAAUCUUCUUCCUCAUAAGUGGUCCACCGAUAAGGAUACAAGUCCCCAUAGACCUUGGGGUUGGCAAGGUAAUCGGCCACAUAGCUCUCCCCCUCUAAAUCUUGAGAAGACAUCUUGCCCUAAAUCUGCGCCAGAAAAUAGGCUCGAAACGAAAACAGAGGAAAAUUGCAUGAUACGAGGGUCAGACCUUUCGAGAGAAUAUAUAAUGAUUUUUUUCUGACCAGAAGGAGUACUCCGCAAGAAAACGGAGUCCGGGAGGCACACGAGGUGGCCACAAGCCUCCCAGGCCCGGCCAGGGGGGUGGCUCGCGCCUGGCAGGCUUGUCUCCUCCUCGUUCUUUUUCCGGGCUGCUUUAAAUUUUUCUAUUUUUUCAAAAAUUCCAAAACGGAGAAAAAAUCCUACUGGAAAAGUUUUGGAGUCUAUUUACUUACCGAAUCACAUACCUCUUCGUUUUCGGAGUCUGAAAGAGGCUGAUAAAUAUCCGUUAGGUACUCCUCCUUAGUUAUGGUAUUCAUAAUAUUGCUUUCAACAUUUAUGGGAGUACCUGAGAUAUAAUGCUUGAUUCUCUGCCCAUUUACAACUCUCGGACAAUUAUCUUCCGUGUUGUUGAUCUUGAUAGCACCGGAACGAUAUAGUUCCUCAAAAAUGUAAGAAUCUUCCCAUUUAGAGAGAAGCUUCCCUGCAAAAAAUCUUAAACGAGAAUUAUAUUGCAAGACAUAAUCACCUACAUUUAACUCACGCUUUUUUAUCCUUUUAUCAUGCCACCUCUUAACCUUUUCUUUGAACAACUAGGCAUUUUCAUAUGCCUGAGUUCUCCACUCAUCAAGCAAGCUAAUAUCAAAUAACCUCUUCUCACCAGCAAGUUUGAAAUCAAAGUUAAGCUCUUUGAUUUCCCAAUAAGCUUUAUGCUCUAGCUCAAGAGGUAAAUGACAUGCUUUACCGUAUACCAUUUUGUACGGAGACAUGCCCAUGGGAUUCUUAUAGGCAGUUCUAUAAGCCCACAGUGCAUCAUCGAGCUUCUUAGACCAAUUCUUUCUAGACCUGUUGACAGUCUUUUGCAGAAUUAGUUUAAUAUCUCUAUUUCUUAGCUCUACCUGACCAUUGGACUGAGGGUGAUAGGGAGACGCAAUUAUAUGGUUAACAUCGUACUUAGAAAGCAUUUUACGGAAAGCACCAUGAAUGAAAUGUGAACCACCGUCGGUCAAUAGAUAUCUAGGGACUCCAAAUCUAGGGAAAACAACUUCUUUAAGCAUCCUGAUAGAGGUGUUGUGAUCAGCACUACUAGUGGGGAUAGCUUCUACCCACUUAGUGACGUGAUCAACAGCAACUAGGAUAUGAGUAUACCCGUUGGAUUUUGGAAGAGGUCCCAUAUAAUCAAAGCCCCAAACAUCAAAUGGUUCAAUGAAAAGUGAAUAAUUCAUAGGCAUUUCCUGACGUUUACCAAUAUUACCUAUUCUUUGACAUUCGUCACAAGACAAGACAAACUUACGGGCAUCCUUGAAGUGAGUGGGCCAAUAGAAACCUUAUUGCAAUACCUUGUGCGCAGUUCUAUCUCCCGCAUGGUGUCCUCCGUAGGCCUCGGAGUGACACUUCUGUAGCAUCUGUCCCUGUUCAUGUUCAAGUACACAACGUCUAAUAAGACCAUCUACUCCUUCCUUAUAAAGGUGAGGAGCAUCCCAAAAGUAAUGUCUCAAGUCAAAGAAGAAUUUCUUCUUUUGCUGGUAUGUGAAACUAGGUGGUAUAUAUUUGGCAACGAUAUAGUUUGCAUAAUUAGCAUACCAAGGUUCACUAGGUGAAGUAUUGAUGACAUUCAAUUGCUCAUCAGGAAAGCUAUCAGGUUGUGGGUCAUCAAGAACAUUCUCCAACCUAGACAAGUUAUCUGCUACUGGGUUAUCAGCACCCUUCCUAUCGACAACAUGCAAAUCAAAUUCUUGUAGCAAGAGAACCCAUCUGAUAAGUCUAGGUUUAGCGUCUUUCUUCUCCAUUAGGUACUUAAUAGCAAGAUGAUCAGUAUGAAUGGUGACUUUGGAAUCAACUAUGUAAGACCUGAACUUUUCACAUGCAAACACGACUGCUAAAAAUUCAUUUUCUGUAGUAGCAUAGUUUCUUUGGGCAUUGUCUAGAGUUUUACUAGCAUAGUGAAUAACAUUCAACUUCUUAUCAACUCUUUGCCAUAGAAUAGCACCAAUAGCAUAAUCACUAGCAUCACACAUGAUUUCAAAAGGUAAGUUCCAAUCAGGUGGUUGAACAAUAGGCGCAGUUAUCAAGGCCUUCUUAAGUAUUUCGAAGGGUUCCUCACAAUCAUCGUCGAAAACAAAAGGAAUAUCCUUUUGCAAGAGAUUGGUAAGAGGCCUAGAAAUGUUAGAGAAGUCUUUAAUGAACCUUCUAUAGAAACCAGCAUGACCAAGGAACCUUCUAUAGAAACCAGCAUCACCAUCCUAUAGCCAGUAAUAAUCCUCUGUGGGAUCAAUUCAUCCUUAUCAUUAGGGACAACGGUAAUGCCUCCCUUCUUAGCGACGGAAUGCACCAUACUAACCCAAUCACUAUGAGCAACAUGAUAGAUAAUACCUUCUUCCAGGAGCUUUAGUAUUUCUUUUCUUACUACCUCUUUCAUCUUAGGAUUUAAUCUCAUUUGAUGAUUAGCAACUGGUUUGGAAUCAGGAUCGGUUUUAAUCUUGUGCUGGCAUAGAGUGGGACUAAUGCCCUUAAGAUCAUCAAGAGUAUAUCCAAUAGCAGCACGGUGCUUCCUUAGAGUUUUUAGUAACUUCUUUUCUUCAUGCUCUGAGAGGCUAGCACUAAUUAUAACAGGAUAUAUCUCUUUUUCAUCAAGAUAAGCAUACUUAAGAGUAUCAGACAACUGUUUAAGCUCGAACACAGGAUCACCCUUUGGUGGGGGUGGAUCUCCAAGCAGUUCAACAGGCAAGUUAUUCUUAAGGAUAGGAUAUUGUUCUAAGACAACUCUAUCUAUCUCAUCCCUUUCAUCCAUAUGCAUAUCAUUUUCAUGCUCAAGCAAGUAUUGCUCUAAGGGAUCCGUAGGAGGCACGACAAUCGAAGCUAGGGAAAUAAUUUCAUCCUUACUAGGCAACUCUUUUUCAUGAGGUUGUCUACUAAACUUGGAGAAAUUGAACUCAUGUGACACACCUUCAAAGCCAACAGUGACAGUUUGCUUCUCAUAGUCAAUAUGAGCAUUGACGGUAUUGAGGAAGGGUCUGCCAAAUAUGAUGGGACAAAGGCUAUCUUGUGUGGUAGCAAAAACGAGGAAAUGAGGAGGAUACUUCGUUUUACCACACAAGACUUCAACAUCCCUAAUAAUUUCCACAGGGCAGAUAGUAUCUCUAUUGGCAAGCUGAAUAGUGACAUCAAUGGGUUCUAUCUCGACAGGUGCAAUCUCGUCUUUAAUUUCAUCAUAUAGGGAUUGAGGUAUUGCACUAACACUAGCACCCACAUCACAUAAACCAUGAUAACAAUGAUCUCCUAUCUUAACAGAAACAACAGGCGUGCCAACAACAGGCCUAUGUUUGUCUCUAGCAUGGGGUUUAGCAAUUCUUGCAGCAUCUUGAUACGUCUCCAACGUAUCUAUUUUUUUUUAUGGUUUCAUGCUAUUAUCUUGUCAAACUUUGGAUGUUUUGCAUGCCUUUUAUAUAUUUUUUGGGACUAACUUAUUAACUCGGUGCCAAGUGCCAGUUCUUGUUUUUUCCAUGUAUUUGACCGCUUUCAGAGGAGAUUUUGAAACGGAGUCCAAACGGAAGAAAAUCCCCGAAAAGAUUUUUUCUGAAACCGAAGAAGAUCAGGAAGCUUGAGAGCCAAGGCAGGGGGGCCCAGGGGCCCCACAAGCCCUCACCCCGCGACCAGGGGAAAGGUCGUGGCCCACAGGCUUGUGGGCCCCCUGGACGCCCUCUGCCCUAGGGUUUGCACCUAUAUAUCCCCAAAAGUUCCACAAAAAAUCAAGAGAUCAUCGAAAGUACUUUUCCGCCGCCGCAAGCUUCUGUCUCCGCAAGAUCCCAUCUGGGGCACGUUCCGGUGCCCUGUCGGAGGGGGGAUUCAGAUAUGGAGGGCUUCUUCAUCAACACCAUGACCUCUCCGAUGAUGCGUGAGUAGCUCACCAUAGACCUCCGAGUCCAUAGCUAGUAACUAGAUGGCUUCUUCUCUCUCUUGGAUCUUCUAUACAAAGUUCUCCAUGAUCUUCAUGGAGAUCUAUCCGAUGCAAUCUUAUUUUGCGGUGUGUUUGUCGAGAUCCGAUGAAUUGUGGAUUUAUGAUCAGAUUAUCUAUGAAUCUUAUUUGAGUUUCUUCUGAUCUCUCUUAUGCAUGAUUUCAUAUCCUUGUAAUUCUCUUCGAGUUGUGGGUUUUGUUUGGCCAACUAGAUCUAUGAUUCUUGUAAUGGGAGAAUUGCUUGGUUUUGGGUUCAUACCGUGUGGUGACCUCACCCAAUGACAGAAGGGGUAGCGAGGCACGCAUCGUGUUGUUGCCAUCAAGGGUAAAAAGAUGGGGUUUUCAUCAUUGGUUUGAGAUUAUCCCUCUACAUCAUGUCAUCUUUCUUAAGGCGUUACUCUAUUCGUCAUGAACUCAAUACACUAGAUGCAUGCUGGAUAGCGGUCGAUGUGUGGAGUAAUAGUAGUAGAUGCAGAAAGUAUCGGUCUACUUGUCUCGGACGUAAUGCCUAUAUGUAUGGUCAUUGCCUUAGAUAUCGUCAUGAGUUUGUGCGGUUCUAUCAAUUGCUCGACAGUAAUUUGUUCACCCACCGUGAUAUUUGCUAUUUUGAGAGAAGCCUCUAGUGAACACUAUGGCCCCCGGGUCUACUCCACACCAUACUUUCAGCCUUACACUUUUUACUUCGUUGCACUUUCCGCCUUUAGAUCUCACUUUGCAAACAAUCUUGAAGGGAUUGACAACCCCUUUGAAGCGUUGGGUGCAAGAUCGUUUGUGUUUGCGCAGGUACUCUGGACUUGACGAGACCCUCCUUCUGGAUCGAUACCUUGCUUCUCAAAACUGAGGGAAAUACUUACUACUCAUGUGCUGCAUCAUCCUUUCCUCUUCAAGGGAAAAACCGACGCAAACAAGAGAAGUAGCAAGAAGAAGUCCUGUCGUUGCUUGGGAAGGGCUUUUGUUGCUGUAGCAGAAGGAUUUCUGGUGCUGUUGCCGGGGAGGAAGAUCAAGUCAAGAACUCAUCCAAGUAAGUGUCGCAAACUCAUCUCUUGCAUUUACUUUUGUUUGUCAGUUGCCUCUCGUUUUCCUCUCCCCCACUUCACCAAUUUGCCUUUUUCAUUUGCCUUUUUCGUUUGCCUUUUUCGUUCGCCCUUUCUUCCGCUUUCUUUCUGUUUGCUUGUGUUUUAUGUGCCUUCAAUAUGCUUGCAUCUUCGCUUGCUGAAAAUAUAUUGAUAUGGAUCCUCAUCCACUUGCUAAUCUCUUUAAGAGAUCCAAUUAUGUUGAUAAAAUUGCUAUUGAGUUGAGUGCACUUGACUUUCUCUAUGGAGUUUUGCUUGAGAUGCGUGAAUCUGAAAAUUGUGAUGAAGAAAUUCAUGAAGUGAUUCACGAGGGCUCCUUGAAUGAAAAGCAUGAUUGCAAUGAUUUCAUUAUAAAUUCUAUUAAUGACAAUCAUGCUAAAAAUAUGCAAAACCCUAAGCUUGGGGAUGUUAGUUUUGCUAUGUCCACUACUUGUUGCAAUGAUCAUGAGUGGGGCAAUGAUUUUUCUUAUGAUCAUGAAAAUUUGUUUAAGCCUCAUGAUGAAUAUGAUAUUUGCAAUAUUAUUGAAAGUAGGUUUGGAGACGUCAUGACUUUAAUUGAUGAUAAUCCCAGUAUUUUUGAAGAGCAUCAACUUUGCAUGCAUGUGGAUCAUGAAAAGAAUAUCCUAUGUGAUAGUUACAUUGUUGAAUUCAGAUAUGAUCCCACAUGUAAUUAUUAUGAGAGAGGAAAAUAUGGUGGUAGAAACUUUCAUACCACUAAAUCACCUCUCGUUAUGUUGAGAUUGCUCUUGUCUCUUUCUUCUUCCUUGCAUUUGAUAACUAUUGGUUGUCUUGCCAAUUUUUUCCUAUAAAAUGCCUAUGCAUAGGAAGUAUGUUAGACUUAGACGUGAUUUUCACAUGCUUUAUGAUGCUCACGUUGUGCAUCAAUUUCUAUCUUCUAUGUGAGCAUCAUUGAAUUAUCAAUGCCUAGCUAAGGGUGUUAAACAAUAGCGCUUUUUGGGAGGCAACCCAAUGAAUUUAUCUUUUUCUUUCUGUUUUGUUGUGUCCACGCCAUCAUAAUUCUGUUGUGAUUGUGUUUUUUGGGUUUCUUUUUGUGUUUGAGCCAAGCAAAACCUUUAUGACUAGUCUUGGUAAUGGUUAUUUGAUCCUUCUGGAAAAAGACAGAAACUUUUCGCUCACGAGAUGAUUUUUCAUUUUUAUUCAGAAAGAGCUUUUGAGUUGAUUCUUUUUGCUGAUGGUUGAUAUGUAUUUUUCCCAGGCAGUCGUAAUUGUUCAUAUUUUUGUAGGUAACAGAAGUAUACGAAGUAUAUAGAUUGCUACAGACUGGUCUAUUUUUGACAGAUUCUGGUUUUGUUGAGUUGGUUGCUUGUUUUGAUGAAACUAUGGUUAGUAUCGGGGGGUACUAGCCAUGGAAAAGUGAGAAUACAAUAUCCCAACACCAACAUAGAUGGAAUUCAAGUUUCCUACAGUACCAAAAGAGGUGUUAGUUUAUUUUCUUGUGCUAAUGUUAUCACGAGUUUCUGUUUAAAUUUUGUGUUGUGAAGUUUUCAAGUUUUGGGUGAUGUUCUCAAGGACAAAGAGAUAAGGAGUGGAAAGAGCUCAAGCUUGGGUAUGCCCAAGGCAUCCCAAGCCAAAUUCAAGGACACCAAAAAUCCUAAGCUUGGGGAUGCCCUGGGAAGGCAUCCCCUCUUUCGUCUUCAGUUCAUCGGUAACAUUACUUGGAGCUAUAUUUUUAUUCACCACAUGAUAUGUGUUUUGCUUGGAGCGUCUUGUAUCGUAGGAGUCUUUUCUUUUUUUUGUUUCACAAUCAUUCUUGCUGCACACCUUUUUGAGAGAGAGAGAGAUGCACUCAUCGUGAUUUUGCUAGAAUGCUCAUAGUGCUUCACUUAUAUCUUUUGAGCUAGAUACUUUUUCUCUAUGUGCUUCACUUAUAUCUUUUAGAGCACGGUGCUGCGUGACUUGGUAGUUGGCUUAUGCUAUGAAAGUAGUCCCAAAGGUGAUAGGUACCCAAAGAGGAUGCAAAAACCUCCAUCUUGAUGUGCAUUGAGUAGAAAGAGAAGCCUUGAUUCCUCUCAAUUAGUUUUGAGACGUGGAUUUGGUAAUAUUAAGAGCUAUGUUAGUACGGUGUUGUGAAUCUAGAAGUACUUGUGUUGAAGUUAGUGAUUCCCGUAGCAUGCACGUAUGGUGAACCGCUAUGUUAGGAAGUCGGAGCAUAAUUGAUCUAUUGAUUGUCAUCCUUUGUGUUGAGGUCUUGAUCGCGUGAUGGUUAACACCUACCAACCCUUCCCCUAGGAGUAUGUGUUUAGCACUUUGUUUCGGUUACUAAUAAAAACUUUCGCAACAAGUAUGUGAGUUCAUCAUGACUAAUGUGAGUCCAUGGUAUAGAUGCACUUUCACCUUCCACCAUUGCUAGCCUCUUUAGCGCCGCGCAAUUCUCGCCGAUGCAAAAACCCACCAUAUGCCUUCCUCAAAACAGCCACCAUACCUACCUACUAUGGCAUUUUCAUAGCCAUUCCGAGAUAUAUUGCCAUGCAACUCCCACCGUUCCAUCUCAUGACUUGUGCCGUCACUCUCAUAUUGCCAUUGCAUCAUCGUAAGAUAGCUAGCGAGAUGUUUCCAACGUCAUACGCCAUGCUAGAUCGUUGCACAUCCCAGUACACUGCCGGAGGCAUUUCCUAUAGAGUCAUCAUCGUUCUAAGCUUUGAGCUGUGAGUAAAUAAAAGUGUGAUGAUCACCAUUAUUAGAGCAUUGUCCCAUGUGAGGAAAAAAAGAGAAGAAGAGGCCAAAGAGAGGGAAAAAAAGAGAAAAAAAGAGGCCUAAGAGCCCAAAUGAAAAAAAGAGAGAGAAAAAGAGAGAAGGGACAAUGCUACUAUCUUUUUCCACACUUGUGCUUCAUAAUAGCACCAUGUUCUUCAUGAUUGAGAGCUUUUUGCUUUGUGACUACCAUAUACUAGUGGGAAUCUUCAUUACAUAACUUGGUUUGUAUAUUCCAAUGAUGGGCUUCCUCAAAAUUGCCCUAGGUCUUUGUGAGCAAGCAAGUUGGAUGCACACCCACUAGGUUUCCUUUUGAGCUUUCACAUACUUAUAGCUCUAGUGCAUCUCUUGUAUGGCAAUCCCUACUCAUUCACAUUGAUAUCUAUUAAUGGGCAUCUCCAUAGCCCUUUGAUACGCCAAGUCAAUGUGACCAUCUCCUCCUUUUUGUCUCACAACCACCACCACACUCUAUUCCACCUAUAGUGCUAUAUCCAUGUCUCAUGCUCAUGUAUUGCGUGAUAGUUAUAAAAAGUUUGAGAAAGUAAGAGUGUGAAAACAAUUACUUGGCCAAUACCGGGGUUGUGCAUGAUUUACAUUGGUUGUGUGAGGAUGAUGGAGCAUAGCCAGACUAUAUGAUUUUGUAGGGAUAACUUUCUUUGGCCUUGUUAUUUUGAAAGUUCAUGAUUACCUUGCUAGUUUGCUUGAAGUAUUAUUCUUUUCAUGUCAAUAGCAAACUAUUGUUUUGAAUCUUACGGAUCUGAACAUUCAUGUCACGUGAAAUAAGUUGCAAAGGACAACUAUGCUAGGUAGCAUUCCACAUCAAAAAUUCAUUCUUUAUCACUUCCCUACUCGAAGACGAGCAGGAGUUAAGCUUGGGGAUGCUUGAUACGUCUCCACAUAUCUAUAAUUUUUAAUGGUUUCAUGCUAUUAUCUUGUCAAACUUUGGAUGUUUUGCAUGCCUUUUAUAUAUUUUUUGGGACUAACUUAUUAACUCGGUGCCAAGUGCCAGAUCCUGUUUUUUCCAUGUUUUUGACCCCUUUUAGAGGAGAUUUUGAAACGGACUCCAAACGGAAGAAAAUCCCCGAAAAGAUUUUUUCUGUAACGGAAGAAGAUCAGGAAGCUUGAGAGCCAAGGCAGGGGGGCCCAGGCGCCCCACAAGCCCUCACCUUGCGGCCAGGGGGGAGGCCGCAGCCCACAGGAUUUUGGGCCCCCGGGACGCCCUCUGCCCUAGGGUUUGCGCCUAUAUAUCCCCAAAAAUUCCACAAAAAAUCAAGAGAUCAUCGAAAUUACUUUUCCGCCACCGCAAGCUUCUGUCUCCGCAAGAUCCCAUCUGGGGCACGUUCCGGUGCCCUAUCGGAGGGGGGAUUCGGAUACGGAGGGCUUCUUCAUCAACACCAUGACCUCUCCGAUGAUGCGUGAGUAGUUCACCAUAGACCUACGGGUCCAUAGCUAGUAACUAGAUGGCUUCUUCUCUCUCUUGGAUCUUCAAUACAAAGUUCUCCAUGAUCUUCAUGGAGAUCUAUCCAAUGUAAUCUUCUUUUGCGGUGUGUUUGUCGAGAUCCGAUAAAUUGUGGAUUUAUUAUCAGAUUAUCUAUGAAUCUUAUUUGAGUUUCUUCUGAUCAUGUCAUCUUGCUUAAGGCAUUACUAUGUUCGUCAUGAACUCAAUACACUAGAUGCAUGUUAGAUAGCGGUCGAUGUGUGGAGUAAUAAUAGUAGAUGCAUAAAGUGUCGGUCUACUUGUCUCGUAUGUGAUGCCUAUAUGUAUGAUCAUUGCCUUAGAUAUCGUCAUGAAUUUGCGCGGUUCUAUCAAUUGCUCGACGGUAAUUUGUUCACCCACCGUGAUAUUUGCUAUUAUGAGAGAAGCCUCUAGUGAACACUAUGGCCCCCGGGUCUACUCCACACCAUCUUUUCAGCCUUACACUUUUUACUUAGUUGCACUUUCCGCCUUCAUAUCUCACUUUGCAAACAAUCUCGAAGGGAUUGACAACCCCUUUGAAGCGUUGGGUGCAAGCUCGUUUUUGUUUGCGCAGGUACUCUGGACUUGACGAGACCCUCCUUCUGGAUCGAUACCUUGGUUCUCAAAACUGAGGGAAAUACUUACUGCUCUUGUGCUGCAUCACCCUUUCCUCUUCAAGGGAAAAACCGACGCAAACAAGAGAAGUAGCAAGAAGAAUUCCUGGCGUUGCUUGGGAAGGACUUUUGUUGCCGUAGCACAUCUUCACAGAAGUGAAUAUCAUGGCCAUCAACAUUGUCGGACAAGAGAUAUUUGAUAAUAGCAAUGCUAGGUUCAACUCUAAUUUGCUCAGGGGGUGUAGGUGUUCUAAUGUAACCUCUACGUCUCACAUUUGAAGCUUUAGAAUGAUCUUUUAUCCUAACAGGGAAAGGUGGUUGCUCAAUGUAAGCACUAGGAACAAUAGGAUAAUUAUAGGCAAUGACUUUCUCUUCAACUGGAUUGGGUUUAACUACAUUGACUUCUAAGGGAGGAUGAUAUUUAAACCACUUCUCUUUGGGGAGAUCAAUAUGAGCAGAAAAUGAUUCACACAAUGAGGCUACUAUCUCUGAGUCAAGUCCAUAUUUAACGCUAAACUCACAAAAGGUAUUUGUUUCAACAAAGGAUUUAACGCAAUCAACCUUGAAAUUCAUACCUAACUCCUUACCUUCAUCAAGCUCCCAAUCUUCAGAGUUGCGUUUAAUUCUUUCCAAUAAAUUCCAUCUGAAGUCAAUAUCUCUCUUCAUAAAAGAACGGGUACAAGAAGUGUCAAGCAUGUUGCGAUCAUCAUGAGAAAGCCGAGCAUAGAAGUUCUGAAUGAUAAUUUCUCUCGAGAGCUCAUGGUUGGGUCAUGAAUAUAACAUUGAUUUAAGCCUCCCCCAAGCUUGAGUGAUGCUUUCUAUGUCAUGAGGCCAACAAUUAUAAUUAUAAUUCCGAUCACGAUGUACUAGAUGCAUAGGAUAAAUUUUUUGAUGAAAUUCCAAUUUCAACCGAUUGUAGUUCCAUGAUCCAGUAUCAUCACAUAGCCUAUACCAUGUCAACGCCUUAUCCCUCAAAGAUAAGGGAAAUACCUUCUUCUUGACCUCAUCCUCGGGCAAACCUGCAAGCUUAAAUAAACCACAAACUUCAUCUACAUAGAUUAGAUGCAAGUCUGGAUGUGAUGUUCCAUCUCCUACAAAAGCAUUAGCCAGCAGUUUCUCAAGCAUACCCGAAGGAAAUUCAUAGCAAAUAUUUUUAGUAGGUGCGGCAGGUUGAGGAGAAACUCUUUGUGCUUCCGUUCGAGGUGAAGAUACCCCGAACAAGCUCCUCAAAGGAUUAGUUUCCAUAGUAACAAGUGACAGUAAAUUUCAGCACACUAUAUAAAUGUUUCCUUUCCAAAUUCCACUUACGAAAGGCCCUUCACUCCCCGGCAACGGCGCCAGAAAAGAGUCUUUAUGACCCACAAGUAUAGGGGAUCUAUCAUAGUCCUUUCGAUAAGUAAGAGUGUCGAACCCAACGAGGAGCAGAAGGAUCUGACAAGUGGUUUUCAGCAAGGUAAUAUCUGCAAGCACUCAAAUUAUCGAUAACAAGUAGUUGUGUGGUGAGAUGAUUCAUAGCAAGUAGCAAGUAAAAAAGUAACAACAGUGCAACAAAGUGGACCAAUCCCUUUUGUAGCAAGGGACAAGCCUGGACAAACUCUUAUAGGAGGUAAAACGCUCCCGAGGACACAUGGGAAUUUCUAUCAAGCUAGUUUUCAUCAUGUUCAUCUGAUUCGCGUUCACUACUUUGAUAGGUUGAUAUGUGGGUGGACCGGCGCUUGGGUACUGCCCUUACUUGGACAAGCAUCCCACUUAUGAUUAACCCCUCUCGCAAGCAUCCGCAACUACGAAAGAAGAAUUAAGACAAAGUCUAACCAUAGCAUUAAACUAGUGGAUCCAAAUCAGCCCCUUACGAAGCAACGCAUAAACUAGGGUUUAAGCUUGUGUCACUCUAGCAACCCAUCAUCUACUUAAUACUUCCCAAUGCCUUCCUCUAGGCCCAAAUAAUGGUGAAGUGUUAUGUAGUUGAUGUUUACAUAACACCACUAGAGGAAAAACAACAUACAACACAUCAAAUUAUCGAACGAAUACCAAAUUCACAUGACUACUUAUAGCAAGACUUAUCCCAUGUCCUCAGGAACAAAAGUAACUACUCACAAAGCAUAAUCAUAUUCAUGACCAGAUACGUAAUGAGUAGCAUCAAAGAUCUGAACAUAUAAUCUUCCACCAAGUAAUCCAACUAGCGUCAACUACAAAGAGUAAUUAACACUACUAGCAACCUUACAAGUACCAAUCGGAGUCGCGAGACGGAGAUUGGUUACAAGAGAUGAACUAGGGUUUGGAGAUGAGAUGGUGCUGAUGAAGAUGUUGAUGGUGAUGAGUCCCCUCCAGUGAGAGGAGUGUUGGUGAUAACGAUGGCGACGAUUUCCCCCUCCGGAGGGAAGUUUCCCCCGCAGGAUCGUCCUGCCGGAGCUCUAGAUUGGUUCUGCUCAAGUUCCGCCUCAUGGCGGCGGCGAAUCCUCCGAAAAGCCUCUUGUUGAUUUUUUUUCUAGAAUGAAACCCUUCUUGUAGAAAAAGGGGGGAGCCAGAGGGCCAAGUGGGAGCCCACAAGCCCACUAGGCGCGACCAGGGGGGAGGCCGCGCCUAGCAGGCUUGUGGACUCCUACUGGCGCCCCUCUCGUACUUCUUCGACCCAUUAUUUUUUAUAAAUACCAAAAAAAAAUCCACAUUGAUUUUCACGGCUUUUGAAGUUGCGCAGAAUAGGUAUCGCAAACUUGCUCCUUUUUCAGGCCAGAAUUCCAGCUGCCGGCAUUCUCCCUCUUCAUGUAAACCUUGCAAAAUAAGAGAGAAAAGGCAUAAGUAUUGUACCUUGAAGUGUAAUAAUAGCCCAAAAAGCGAUAAUUAUCAACAUGAAAGCAUGAUGCAAAAUGGACGUAUCACGUACCCCUCCCGACGGGUCCGUGACAGACUGGAUAGAUGAUGAUGGUGACGACAACGUGUAGGUGCUUGAGGCGAUGCCACGUGUGACGGGGCCGCCUCGGGGCCAUCGUCGUGGAAAGAGCGAGGAGCUGUCGGCCGGGGGCCAGCUGGCCGUCAGCCAACUAGCCAGUUGCCACACGGAAGAGGAACGCCGUAGGGACACGCGGUCGGCCGAGGACUCGAUCGACACCCCAGCCACCAAGAAGGUUCAGUCGGCGGCGCUGCCGGCGGGCGCCCCUUGGUGCUGGGUAAGGUUUCUUUAAGGCUCAUGCCCCUUCUUUUCUUGCUUUCUUUGUCGUGUGGCAUUUGAGCUCGUGCUCUCUUGUCUUGUUUUGCUUUCUCAGUGAGGCUAUUCAGCUACCGGCGCCGGAUGCAUCGGCCCUUGGGGCCGAACAAGUAACGCCGCUUGCCAUGGAGCAUGCGACGAGGGCGCGGCUUGAACGGGAGUGUGUCGUUCAGCUUCGUGCGGCCAAGCCGAAGGCCUCGUAGGCUAUGACGACCGGAAUAAGCGUCCCCGUGGCUGGGGCAACAAGUGAUGCCACUGCUCCACAACACCGCCGGUCAGUUUUAUCGGUACUUUUGCUUGUCUUAGUCAUUUUUCCUGUGCACCCUGCUCCUUUGUCAUUUCUCCUGCCGGCCAGCCAGCUUGCGGAUUGUGACUGGGCGAAGAGUGGGCUGGUGGAGCCGAGGUGUUUGGUACUUUGGCUUUUGCAAGGCGGGUGUUGAAAAAACCGAGUAGCGUAGCCGGACCUGGCCCGCCCCUUGUCGAUAUUUCCUAUUCGCUCUGACCCUUUGCUUGUGCUCCUGCCAAACGGGCAACUAGGUUGUGGUCUGUAGCCAGCGAGGGUUGGGCUGCCGGUGCGGAGGUAUAGUACUUUGCCGAGCUGGGGUGGGAGUUGGGCGUCUCGUAGUCCCCGGGCCGGCUGGACCGAUCCGGGGAUGACCAAGAAAGUAAAAACAAUUGAAACAUGAGUAGGAUGGAAAAGGCAGUCUCUGAGUCCUGCUCUAGGGUGCCGGCUAUUCAUUGAUUUUCUUGAAAAGGGAACAUACAUAUGUUCACUUGCCUAACUGUAAAACGGGCGGAGGAGUUCCACGUUUCGUGGUCGCUCCGUCUCGGAGCCGGAUGCGUCCUUCUUGUUCUUUCUUGCCUUUUGAGCAUCGAUUAUAAAGUAGGCGUUAUUGCUCACUGACGGAUGUCCGUUGGAUCAGCAAGAGAACAAGGUCACCCUCUCGGAAUGAGAGAGGGCUUGACCCGCUGGCUACGGUAGCGGCGUAGGCCUUGCUGAUAGAUGGUUGUUCUGGACAGUGCCAGCUCGCAUGCCUCUUCGAGGAGGUCGACGUCGUCUUCUCUGGCCUCUUUGGCGUCAGCCUCGGUGUGCAGGGUGACCCGAGGCGAAUCGAACUCGACGUCGUUGAGGAUGAUCGCCUCGGCCCCGUACACCAAGAAGAAUGGGGUGAAGCCGGUCGACCGGUUGAGCGUGGUUUGCAGGCUCCACAACACCGCCGGCAGUUCCUCGACCCAGGCACCGGCCGAGCGCUUGAGUGGCUCGACAAGCCUGGGUUUCAGGACGACCAGGAUGAGGCCGAUUGCCCGCUCUAGCUGGCCGUUUGACUGCGGCUGGGCCACGGACGAGAGGUCCAGCCGGAUUCCGUGCUCGCUGCAGUAGCGGGCGAGCGCAGGCUUGGCGAAGUUGGUCCCAUUGUCGAUGAUGAUGAUGCUGGGGAGGCCAUAGUGAACGGCUAUGUCCUUGAUGAACGUGACGACCGUUGGGCCAUCGAGCUUCUCUAUUGGCUUGGCCUUGAUCCACUUUGUGAACUUGUCGACUGCCACCAGGAGAUGUGUCACACCGCCUCGGGCGGUUUUGAACAGGCCCAUCAUGUCCAACCCCCAGAAGGCAAAGGGCCGCGUGAGGGGGAUGGUUUGCAGGGCCGCGGCCGUCUGGUGGAUGCGCGCUUUGAAAUGCUAGCAGCCAUUGCACUUGUCAAUUAAUGCCUUGGCGUCCUUCAGGGCGGACGACCAAUAGAAACUGUGGCGGAAUGCCUUGGCCGCCAGGGAGCGUGAGGAGGCAUGGUGGCCACACUCGCCCUGGUGGAUGCCGAGGAGGAUAUCGUGGCCUUUGUCUGCCUCGAUGCAGUGCUGGAACACGCCAGUCACGCUGCGCUUGACGAGCUCGUUGUUGAUGAUGGUGUAGGUGGCAGAGCGUCUUUGGAUUAUCCGGGCCACGACUUCAUCGGCAGGCAGGGUGCCAUUCUCGAUGUAGUCGAGGAAGGGUUGCGCUCAGGAUAGGGCUGUGACCACCGUGAGCAUGGCCACCAUGAUUGGGUUUGCUGCGGCGGGGACGGCACGCGGUUGGCCGCCUGCCGCAGUCCCCGAGUCGGGCUGGAGGGAUCCCAGGGGAGGGUCGGCAGCCCUCGGGCCGGCUAGAGUAGUCGAUGCGGUGGCGGUAGUCGGCUGACCAGCUGCCGUAGUCCCCGAGUGGGACGGGGCAGUUCCCGCGUCAGCGCCGGCAGCCCCCAGGGCCGGCGGGGCAGCCCCCGGGUCUGCCGGGAUGAAUAUGUACUCGGAUUCCGGAGAGAGCGUGAUGGAGGGCUUCCGCAGGUUCUCAAGAGAUACGUCGACUGGGAUUGGUUGCCGGGUGGAGACGAUUUGUUGAGUGUGUCGGCGGCCUCGUUGCCGGAUCGGAGGAUGUGGUGGAACUCGCGGCCUUUGAAACCGCCGGUCAGUUGUUGCACCAGAAAGCGGUAGCUGCCCAUGUUUGCGUCUCUCGCGUCCCACUCACGAGUGACUUGCUGCACCACCAGGUCGAAGUCACCUAAGAAAAGGAUUCGUCGGACGCCGAUUUCCCUAGCCAACCGGAGGCCAUGGGUGAGCGCUUCAUACUCCGCCACGUUGUUGGACGCAACAAAGUGGAUCUUCAUGACGUACUGGAGCUGGUUACCCUUAGGGGACGAGAGGAUGAUGCCAGCCCCAAGGCCGGUGCGCAUCUUCGAGCCAUCGAAGUGCAUGCGCCAAUGGGUUGAGUCUGGAGGCGGCCGUAGGUACUCCGUUUCGGCCUAGUCGACGAGGAAAUCCACCAAGGCCUAUGACUUUACGACGGUGCGGGACUCGUAGGCGAUGUGGUGGUCGGCCAGCUGGAGAGCCCACUUGGCGAUUCGGCCGGCUACGUUCCUGUUGCCCACGAUCUCUCCGAGGGUAGCGGUGCUCACCAAAGUGAUCGAGUGCUCCUCGAAGUAAGGCUUGAGCUUCUUGGCAGCCAGGAACACGACGUAGCACAUCUUCUGAUAGUGCAGCUAGUUCUACUUGGAGGCGGAGAGCACCUCGCUCAGGUAGUAGACAGGUCGUUCGACCAGCUGCGCCCGGCCCGGCUCGGAGCGCUCGACGGUCAUGACUAUACUGACCACUCGGAUGGUCGCGGCGAUGUAGAGCAAUAUCGGCUCCUUAUCCACUGGCGAGGCCAGCAUGGGCACGAUGGUGAGUGCACGCUUGAGGUCGCGCACGGCCUCAUCCGCCCGGUCGCUCCAGACAAACUCGUCCGCCUUCUUGAGCAGACGAUAGAGAGGGAGGGCCUCCUCCCCUGGUCGGCUGAUGAAGCAGCUGAGCGAGGCGAGGCAGCCAGUGAUCUUUUGGAUGUCAGCCAAGUUGGCCCGGAUCUUCUCGGGGAUGGCCUCUAUCCCUUGUUCCAAAAUGACGAAACCGAGGAGCUGGCCGGAUGGUAAGCCGAACACGCACUUUGCCGGCUUCAGCCGGAUUUUGAACUCGCGUAGAUUCACAAAUGUCUCCUUGAGAUCAUCCAGGGGGUGCGAUUUUCCUUGGUUUUGACCACAACGUCGUCCAUGUAGACGUGUACAUUGCGGCCGAGAUGCCUAUAGAGGCAUUGCUGCAUGCAACGCUGAAACGUGGCGCCAACAUUUUUCAGCUCGAAUGCCAUCGUAACAUAGCAGAAUGCCCCGAAUGGGGUUAUGAAAGUUGUCUUGAUCCGGUCGGUCGGAUUCAGCUUGAUCUGGUGAUAGCCUGAAUAGGCGUCUAAGUAGGACAGUAGCUCGAAGCCAGCCAUCGAGUCGAUCACUUGAUCCAUACGGGGCAGAGCAAAAGGAUCCUUGGGGCAUGCCUUGUUUAGGCUCGUGUAGUCGAUACUCAUGCGCCAAGUCUUGUUCUUCUUCAGCACCAGGAAUGGGUUCGCCACCCAAUCCGGGUGGAAGACUUCCAUGAUGAAUUCAAAUGCCAGUAGCCGGGUGAUUUAUUCACCGAUGGUUUUUUGCUUCUCCUCUGAGAAGCGGCGCAACGGUUGAUUAACCAGUUUUGCGUCUGACCGGACGUGCAAGAAGUGCUCGGCGUACUUCCUCGGGACUCGUGGCAUGUCCUUUGGGGCCAUGCGAACAUAUCCCGAUUCUCACGGAGGAAGUCGACGAGCUCAAUUUCCUAUUUGCUGCUGAGACCAGCCCCACCACGACGUACUUGCCGGUGGGGUCGGCCGGGUCCUCGGGCCCCUCUUGGUGUCCUUGCCGGAGGCCGGCUGGAACUGGGCCUGUGUGGCGGGCUGCUUAAGCUUCGGCUCUGAGAGGGGCGCCGUCUCACAGGCUAGUGCCACGAAACGAUCGAUCUGUCACUGCUCCUCGAUGAUAACGAAGGAUUCGGCCAACUUGGAGACGGCCAUGGUGCACUCGGUCGAGUUCUUCUAGUCACCGGAGACGGUGACAAUGUCGUGUGGACCCGGCAGCUUCAUCUUGAGAUAAGCAUAGUGGGAGACAACCAUGAACUUGGCCAGGGGGACGGAACGAGAGCGCAUGGUAGCGGCUAGUGAGGUCGACCACCUCGAACCAUAUGGUCUCGCGACGGAAGUUCUUCGGAUAGGCCGAACAACACGUACAGUCGGACCUUGCUGGUCCGGGAGUGAUAAUCCCCAAGUGCAAGGAAUCAUUGUAGCAAUUUCAAAAGGUGGAAGUGAUAAGUAUGGAGUGUUGCACCCACAAGGAGCUAAAGGUAAGAGCAAUAUUCUCUCAAGAGCUAUCUUCCACUCAUACAACACUAUGUACGCUGAACGUUUGCUUCCAACUAGGAACGAGAAAUGAAACUACGUUGUGGGUAUGAAAAGAAUAGCUUUGCAUGACAUCGGACAACUAAAAUAUAAAAAUAGGUGUUGUUAUCAUAAAGUUAGAAUAUAUUACAAUAUAUUAGAAAUAGUGAGUGUGGAAUAAUGAUGGGUCGGUGUGCGGAAUUGUCCUAGGCAAUUGUUAACAAGAUCGGUAAUCAUUCUUGCAAUUUUAUAUGAGGGAGAGGCAUAAGCUAACAUAAUUUCUCUACUUUGAUCAUAUGCACUUAUGGUUGGAACUCUAGCAAACAUCUGCAACUAUUAAAGAUCAUUAAGGUGAAACCCAACCUUAUCAUUAAAGCAUCUCAACAACCCAGCUACUCGGGUUUAUGCUUGUGUCACUCAAGCAACCCACUAUAAGUGAAUCAUGAACGUAUUGGAACACCAUACAACAAGAGUCCCUCAUGCUUGCGCGACACGGAGAGCACCAUAGGACAACACCAAUAAUAAAGCAUACAACUUAAACCAAUCUAGAUCAUCAAUCGACCCAUAAUACCAAGGGAAUCUACUCAAAACAUCAUAGGAUGGCAACACAUCAUUGGAUCAUAAUAUGUGGCAUGGACCACCUGUUGGAGAACGUCGCAUGGGAAACAAAAAAUUUCCUACGCGCACGAAGACCUAUCAUGGUGAUGUCCAUCUACGAGAGGGGAUGAGUGAUCUACGUACCCUUGUAGACCGUACAGCAGAAGCGUUAGAGAACGCGGUUGAUGUAGUGGAACGUCCUCACGUCCCUCGAUCCGCCCCGCGAACAAUCUCGCGAUCAGUCCCACCAUCUAGUACCGAACGGACGGCACCUCCGCGUUCAGCACACGUACAGCUCGACGAUGAUCUCGGCCUUCUUGAUCCAGCAAGAGAGACGGAGAGGUAGAAGAGUUCUCCGGCAGCGUGACGGCGCUCCGGAGGUUGGUGAUGACCUUGUUUCAGCAGGGCUCCGCCCGAGCUCCGCAGAAACGCGAUCUAGAGGAAAAACCGUGGAGGUAUGUGGUCGGGCUGCCGUGGAAAAGUCGUCUCAAAUCAGCCCUAAAACCUCCGUAUAUAUAGGUGGGAGGGAGGGGGCCUUGCCUUGGGGCUCAAGGAGCCCCAAGGGGGUCGGCCGAGUCCAAGGGGGAGGACUCUCCACCCCCAAACCGAGUUGGACUAGGUUUGGUGGGAGGGAGUCCCCCUCCCUUCCCACCUCCUCCUUUUUUUUUUUUUUUNCCGAGAUUCGAUCGUCAGUAUCCGCAUACCUAUUUCAAUCUCGUUUACCGGCAAGUCUCUUUACUCGUUCCGUAAUACAAGAUCCCGAACUUACACUAAGUUACAUUGCUUGCAAGGCUUGUGUGUGAUGUUGUAUUACCGAGUGGGCCCCGAGAUACCUCUCCGUCACACGGAGUGACAAAUCCCAGUCUUGAUCCAUACUAACUCAACUAACACCUUCGGAGAUACCUGUAGAGCAUCUUUAUAGUCACCCAGUUACGUUGCGACGUUUGAUACACACAAAGCAUUCCUCCGGUGUCAGUGAGUUAUAUGAUCUCAUGGUCAUAGGAAUAAAUACUUGACACGCAGAAAACAGUAGCAACAAAAUGACACGAUCAACAUGCUACGUCUAUUAGUUUGGGUCUAGUCCAUCACAUGAUUCUCCCAAUGACUUGAUCCAGUUAUCAAGCAACAACACCUUGUUCAUAAUCAGAAGACACUGACUAUCAUUGACUAACUGGCUAGCCAACUAGAGGCAUGCUAGGGACGGUGUUUUGUCUAUGUAUCCACACAUGUAAAUGAGUCUUCAUUCAAUACAAUUAUAGCAUGGAUAAUAAACUAUUAUCUUGAUACAUGAAUUAUAAUAAUAACCAUAUUUAUUAUUGCCUCUAGGGCAUAAUUCCAACACCACCAUGUUCAAUUAGGGGAUCACAACGGGUGCGGGAGAGUGGACCGCUCAAAAAAGACGAGGAUGGUGAUGAAGAAGGUGAUGUUGAUGAAGACGGUCACCGCAGCGAUGGUUCCCCCGGUGGCACUCUGGCACCACCGGGAGAGCGGGAGAGAGGGUCUCCACCUUUUGCCUCCUCCUCCAUGGCCUCCCCCAAGGUGGGGAGAGGUUCUCCCUCUGGUUCUUUGCCUCCAUGGUGAUGGUGGCCCCUCCGUCUUCCUCCUCCAUGGUGUCCGGUGAUGGUGACCCCCUCCGGCAGGGUGCCAAAGAGGGCCAAGAUUGGUUUUUCGUGGCUCUGGAGGCUUGCGGUGGCGGAACUCCCGAUCUAGGUUUCUUUCUGGGGGUUUUGGGAUUUAUAUGAUUUUUUGGCAUCGGUCUCACAUCAAGGGGACUCUCGAGGGAUCCACAAGCCACGGGUGUGCCCUAGGGGGUGCCCUAGGCUUGUGACUGCCUCGGGACUCCUCUCUGGUAUCUUUUUGCUCCACUAUUUUUUAUAUUUUCCAAAAAUAUUUUCCGUAAAUUUUCAGCCCAUUCGGAGAACUUUUAUUUCUGCACAAAAACAUCAUCACGGUAGUUCUGCUGAAAACAGCGUGAGUUAGGGUUAGUUCUAAUAAAAUCAUAUAAAAUUAUUGUGAACAUGGCAUGUAUACUUCAUAAAUUAUAGAUACGUUGGAGAUGUAUCAGCAUCCCCAAGCUUAAUUCUUGCUCGUCCUCGAAUAGGGAAAUGAUAAAAGAAACAAUUUAUGAAGUGUGAAUGCUAGCAUAGUGCAUAAAUUUGAUCAAUGAUAGUUCCAAAGACUUGUGCUAGCAUCACUAUAUAUCAUAAACAGUAGCUCAUCUCAUAAAACUUCUCAUGAUGAAGUAACAAGCUAUUCACAUGUUAAAGUAUAGACCAUAAAGUUUCUUGAAAACUAACAAACUAUGCUUUCGGUGACCAAACAUUUGCAAUUCAUCUUAUUUUCGGGAAGGGUCUAUGUAAGAGCUUUUGAUUUAGCAAAUUCCACAUACUCAACUAUCAUAUAGUCUUCCAUGAUUCCUAACACUCAAAUCAUAUUUUUAGAGCAAAUGGCAUUCGUCGAACAGAGAGAAAGAUAGGGGCUUAAAGUGUCGCCUUCCAACUUAUUUAUCAUAUAGAUAGUUGUGAACAAUACUAAUUCAUGAACAAAUAUAUUUGAAUGGACAUAUAUGCUUGGAUCUUUCCCCAGCACAUGAUGUUUGCCAAGAGGAAAAGGCGAAAUAUAGGAAGUGCUGAAGAUCACCAUGAAUCUUGUAUAAAGGUAAGUACUGUAAAGUAAAAGAUAGGCCCUUCGCAGAGGGAAGCAUUGAUUUGCAGAGGUGCCAGAGCUCGAGCUUUUAGAACAGAGAUGAGUAAUAAUUUUGAGUGGUAUGAUCUCAUUGUCAACAUAACAACCGAGAGAUCUCGGUAUCUUCCAUGAUAGAUACAUUAUAGGCAGUUCCCAAACAGAAUGUUAAAUUUUUUACUCCCCCUCCACCAAUCAAUCACACUCCACGGCGAUCCAAAUCCACAAGUACCGUCCAUACAAACAACAAUCUUGGGGUGUUUUGUUUCAUUAUAUUUUGAUUUGAUUUUUGAGCAUGGAACUAGGCAUCCAGAAUACCAGCCACUCUCUCGUGAAUGAUAGUGAAUCAACACAUAUCGUGAGAAUAACCCACCUAGCAUGGAAGAUAUCGAUAGCCUCUACUCACUACAUGAGCGAUUCAGGCAUACAAAACAAAAUAUUAUUUGAAGGUUUAGAGUUUGGCACAUGCAAAUUUACUUGGAAUGGCACAUAAAUACCGCAUAUAGGUAGAUAUAGUGGACUAUCAUGGCAAGAAACUGAGUUUAAGGGUUUUUGGAUGCACAAGUAGUAUCCCUACUUAGUACGAAGUGUUGGCUAGCAAAAGGUUCUAAACAAGCACCACAUGUUGGAGGAUCCAUAACAAUAUAACUUCUAUGAAAAUAUACCCAAACAUAACUCAUUAAGUUGUCUUCCUUGUCCAACUUCAACUAAUUUUGUGAAGUUUGAAAAUAAUUAAUGGGGCUCACAAUCAUAGGAGAUGUCCAAGAUAGAAUAUUUAUAUGUGGAAUCUCUCUUCCUUCAAUAUUCUUUCAUGAAUUGUUCAAGGGACCAAUGCGGUGUUUGCUAACUUUUAAUAAAUUUUAGCACCUAUACUUCUUAUAUGUGAAGUCAUUACUACCCAUGGGAUAAGAAUUCAAAACAUAUAUAAUUUUAAAUUUAUGAUAUCAAAUUUAAUCAACUAUUUACUCAUAGGAUAUAAGUGAAGCACGAGAUUAAAUGACAAAGCUACUCCCAAACAUAUAAGUGGAGAUCAAUGAGUAGUCAAACAAUUAAGUAGCUAUGUGAGGAUUUUCUCCGUCUCUCGCAAUAAAGAUUUUCAGAUCUGAGUAUUUUGUUUAAACAGUAAGCAAAAGAAAAAUAGCACUCCAAGAAUAGGACGUGUCAUGUGAACGAAUAAAAAUUUAGGCUCAACAUAAUCUAACUGAUAGUUCACGAAGAGAGGUGGAUUGCGUAGCCUCCCCAACCUGAGUGUUCUUGAAAUAUUUACUUGGGGUGCCUUGGUCAUCCCCAAGCUUGAGCUUUCGUAUCUUGUUCAAUCCUCUCAUAUCAUGGUUUCACCUAUUCUCAAAAGUUUCAUCCACACAGAUCUCGAAAAUAACUCGUGAGAUAGGUUAGUACACACUAUAAUAAAUCAACUCUUCAUGUACUGCCAAGACAAGUUGUAUAAUAAUUUUCAAACAUCAUCUACUGUUUACUAUCAUUUCCACAAUUUAUAUCUACCAAUAUAUGCUGUGGAAACUAUAGGAUAAGUAGAUAACAAAACUAUGACAGCAAUCUGUCCAAACAGAACAGUCUAUAGCAAUUUAUGAAAACAAUGUACUUCUGUAACUCAAAAUAGUUUGAAAAUUUUGGACAUUCUAUAAAAUUUAUAUGAAAACACUAUGUAAAUAUUUCAGAAACUUUCCACGUUCUAGUAAAAUAUGAAAAUUCCAAUACUAUAAAAAGAGUUUCUGUUUUUACACAGCACACAUCAAACCAUGCAAUGCAAGCAUCCUAAUGCAAUUCUUGGAACUUUUUUAUUGAAAACAAAAUUAUAAAUAACACCUAACAUAAAUAAACAAAACAAAAUGACGCUCCAAGAAAAACUCAUAUUAUGUGACGAAUAAAAAUAUAGCUCUAAGUAAGAUUAUCGAUAGCGUUGGAGACAAAAGAGGAGAUGCUUCCGGAGCAUCCUCAAGCUUAGGCACUCCAGUCUUCCAUGGAUAGGACCUGGGGGGUGCCUUGGGCAUCCCCAAGCUUAGGUUCUUUUCACUCCUUCUUCUCCUCAUAUCGGUGUCUCACCCAAAACUUGAAAACUUCAAUCACACUUAACUUAAUGGAACUUCGUGAGAAGGGUUAGUGUAAUAAAGAUAGAUCAUUCACUUUGGUACUGUGAAGACAAGAUUCAUAAUUGUUACCACAUGAUACCUACUGUAUUCUAUCAUUUCCAUAAUUUAUAUUACUGAAUAUAAGCUGUGGGAACACCAAAAUAAGCAAACUAUGCAUGCAAAACAGAAUCUGUCAAAAAUAGAACAGUCUGUAAAGAUCUGUAGUAUAGCCAUACUUUCCUGCAUCUAAAAAUUCUGACAAAUUAGGACAACCAGAAGUUUUUGGAUAUAAAGACUGUGUCAAAAUUUCAAAUCAUUAUUAUGCUCCAGUAAAAAAUUAAAAUUCAUGUACUAGAGUCAAAAGUUACUGUUUUGGUUCAACAUCAAUUCUACUCAUCUUGUGAGUCAUCCCAAAGGCUUUACUUGGUACUUUAUUGAAAUAAAAGACACAAAACAUGAUUACUACAGUAUCUUAAUCAUGUGAACUCAAAAAAACAGAAGGUAAACGUGUUGGGUUGUCUCCCAACAAGGGCUUUUCUUUAAUGUCUUUUAGCUGGGCAUGGUUAUUUCAAUGAUGCUCUUCCAAGCCUAAAUACGAUGAUGAUUUUAUUCACACUCUAAAAGAUAUAAGUGAAGUUCAUAUAGAAUUCUACAAUUAAUAUAGAUCAACCAAUAUCCAUGCUGAAAAUAUAUAAGUGAAGCACACGAAGCAUUCUAUAAGGCCAUACUCAAAAGAUUUAAGUGAAGCACGAAGAGCAUUCUAUAGAGCCAUACUCAAAAGAUUUAAGUGAAGCACAAAGAGCAUUCUACAAUGCCAUACUCAAAAGAUUUAACUGAAGCACAUGAAGCAUUAUAUAAAUCAAUAAAGGACUAUCUCAUGCUAGACGGGUGCAUAAAAGGAGAAGAAAAACACUAAGGACACAUAUCAUGUGAACAAAACAAAAACCGAGGUAUACCGAUAAUUGUGGAAGAAUAAAGAUGGGAUGCCUUCCAGGGCAUCCCCAAGAUUAGAUGCUUGAGCCUCCUUGGAAUAUUUACUUGGGGUGCCUUGGGCAUCCCCAAGAUUGAACUCUUGUCUCCGUGUAUUCAUCUUUUAUUGAUACCUCCUCGAUCUUCGAAAACUUCAUUCAUACAGAACUUAACAAAACCCUCGUGAGAUCCGUUAGUAAAAUAAAGCAAAAUACUACUUUAAGUACUGUUGUGAACUCAUUCCAAAUUCAUAUUAGAAUUAUAUCUACUGUAGUCCAACUUCACAAUGGUUCAUACCCCCAGUACUACCCAUAUAUUCAUCAAAACAAGAGAACAAUGCAUAGAAAACAAAAUUUGUCAAAAAGAGGAGAGUCUAUAGUAAUCUGGAAACUUUGUAUACUACUGUAAAUCAAACAAUUCCGAAUAAGUUGGAAGAAAUAAAAAAUAUUCAUAGAAGUAGUGUGUAAAAAGUUCAGAAACUUUUUACAUUCCAGUAAAAAACGUAAAUUCACGCACUACAACGAAAGUUUCUGUUUUUGCACUUCACACACCAAACAAGCAAUCUAAUCAUCCUAAUGGCAAAUCUUGGCAUGUUACUUUUAUAAUACAAUGGAUAUAUACAAGGGGAUAAUUAUUUUUGAGAAACUUCCAUCAAAAAUUCUACAUUGCUUACAUGAUCAUGAACACAAGUGUUCAAGGUCGACCCUCACUUCCCCAAUGCACAACCUUCCAAUCACUUCUCUUUUUGAAAACUUCUUAGGCAUAAGAGGCAAGUAAAUAUUUUUGUAUUUUUAAUUAUUUUUUUAGUUUCACCCACAAAUAAAUAAAUCAAAAUGGGAAAAAAUCUACUUAGUGAAGAAAUCAAACAAGCACAUUCGAGAAUAUCAACCCCACGCUAUUGCUCCCCGAAAACGGCGCCAGAAAAGAGCUUGAUAAUCCCCAAGUGCAAGGAAUCAUCGUGGCAAUUUCCAAAGGUGGAAGUGAUAAGUAUGGACUGUCGAACCCACAAGGAGCUAAAGGUAAGAGAAAUAUUAUCCCAAGUCCUAUAUGCCACUGACACUACUCUACGUACGCCGAACAUUUGCUUCCAACUAGGAAGGAGAAAUAAAACUACGUUGUGGGUAUGAAGAGAAUAGCUUUGCAUGACAUCGAAGAACUAAAAUAUAAAAAUAGGUGCUUUUAUCAUAAAGCUAGAAUAUGUUACAAUAUAUUAUAAAUAGCGAGUGUGGAAUAAUGAUGGGUCGGUGUGCGGAAUUGUCCUAGGCAAUUGUUAAGUAGAUUGGUAAUCAUUAUUGCAAUUUUACAUGAGGGAGAGGCAUAAGCUAACAUACUUUCUCUACUUGGAUAAUAUGCAGUUAUGAAUGGAACUCUAGCAAGCAUCCGCAACUACUAAAGAUCAUUGAGGUAAAACCCAACAAUAGCAUCAAGUCCCCUUUCUCCCAUACGCAACAACCCACCUACUCGGGUUUAUGCUUCUGUCACUCUAGCAACCCACUAUAAGAGAUCAUGAACGUAUUGCAACUCCCUACAGCGAGAAUCCCUCACGCUUGCACGACACGGAGAGCGUCAUAAGACAGAACCAAUAAUAAAUCACGCGACUCAAACCAAUCUAGAUCAUCAACCAACCCAUAAGACAAAGGGAAACUACUCAAAACAUCAUACCAUGGCAACACAUCAUUGGAUCAUAAUAUGUGGCAUGAAGCACCAUUUUCAUGUAGGGGAUUAUAGCGGGAUGCGGGAGAGUGGACCGCUAAAAAGAAGAUGAGGAUGGUGAUGAAGAAGGUGAUGUUGAUGAAGACGAUCACCGCGGUGAUGGUUCCCUCGAUGGCACUCGGCACCACCGGGAGAGAGGGGGAGAGGAUCUCCCCCUUGUGGCUCCUCCCCCAUGGUUUUCCCCCCAAGGUGGGGAGAGGUUCCCCCUCUAAUCCUUGGCAUCCAUGGUGACGAUGGCCCCUCCGUCUUCCUCCUCCAUGGUCUCCGGCGAUGGUGACCCCUCCGGCAGCGUGCCGGAGUGGGUCAAGAUUGAUUUUUCGUGGCUCUAGCUUGCGGUGGCGGAACUCCCGAUCUAGGUUUCUUUCUGGGGGUUUUGGGUUUUAUAGGAAUUUUUGGCGUCAGUCUCACGUCAAGGGGACUCCUGAGGGACUCCUCGGGAGUCCUCUCUGGUAUCUUUUUCCUCCAGUAUUUUUUAUAUUCUCCAAAAAUAUUCUUUGUAAAUUUUCAGCCCAUUCCGAGGAUUUUUAUUUAUGCACAAAAACACCACAUUAGUUCUGCCGAAAACAGCGUCACUCCGGGUUAGUUCUAAUAAAAUCAUACCAAAAUCAUAUAAAAUUAAUGUAAACAUGGCAUGAAUACUUUAUAAAUUAUAGAUACGUUGGAGACGUAUCAAGGAGCAAGAGUGGCUGGGGACGAUGUCGUGGAAAACUGUCCGGGUCGGCUGGAGCUCGGACUCCAGGAUGCCGAGCUUGUCCAUGGUGUCGCGGUAGAGGAUGUUGAUGCUGCUACCUCCCUUGAUGAGCAUCGGUGCGAAACCGGGAGGUGCUCCGUGUGGAGACGAAGGUGGGGUCGAGAACCAGCGCGUAUCCGCCUCGCGUGGGCAUCACAGGAGAAUGGUCUUGGCACCGAAGGUGACGGGCUUGUUCAACCAUUGCAUGUACUCUGGGACAGGAGGAACGAUGAUGUUGACCUACAGCGCGUGACGGCGCUCGCUGUGCUUGUCGUCGUCUUCAGUGGUGAAGACACGUACGUCGCGUCUUGCUGGGGGUAGUCGUCCCGAGCGCCGCCGGCUCCCAGAGCGGGUGGUGGUGGUGGCGGCUGCGACACGGGAGGCAAAGCCUCGUCCCGCACGAUCUUGGUGAACCAGCUGCACUGGCGUCCCGUGUGCGCUGCGGGCUUGGCCCCGUUGUCGAACUUGCAGGGUCCGUCGAGCAUGGACUCGAAUUUGUACUUGCUGUGCCAUGGAUGCUUGCCCUCAUUGGUGCACUGACGCCGGCUGGCGCCUUGGCCGUCAUCCAUACAGCCGUCGGCUGGUGCCUUGGCGGGCGUACGGCUGGUCUGCCUUACGCUUGCCCUGGUCUGGCUGGUAUCGGACGGCAGCCGGGGUGGCAGCCGGCUUGGCGGCGGUCGGCUUGGCGGUCAUGUCGACAUGCACUCGGAGCUUCAUGGAAGACUCGGUCAUGGCGUAUUGGUCGACGAUGGACAUUAGUUGCACCAGGGUCGCCGGCUCCCGGCGCACGAGUUUGCUUGAGGAGGGUGUCGUCCCGGCAGCCGUAGAUGAAGUACUGCAUCGCUUGCAACUCGUGGAUGCCAUCGCAGGAAUUUCGGAGCUCGUCCCAUCGCGUUACGUAGUCGUGGAGAAGCUCGUCCGGCCCGUGCACGCACAACGUGAGCUGGUGAGGCCGGCCCGGACGCUUGUAGGUGCCGAUGAAGUUGCACACAAACGUCUCCUAGAAGUCCAGCCAGCCGUUGACGCUGUCGGCCGGAAGGCUGUUAAGCCAGGUCCGAACCGAGCUCAGUAGCAUGUGGGGCGCGUAGCACACUGCCACACGCUUGUUGCCGCUGGCGAUGCCGACAGCGGUGGUGUAGUCGAUCAACCAUUCUUCCUGCUUGGUCAAACCGUUGUACUUGGGAGUGUCGCGCGCCAAGGUUAAGCCCUUAGAAAACGACUCCUUUAGGAAGCGCGGCCCGAAGCAGGACCGGCCAGCUGUGCCUUCCUCCUCGGCGGCUUGGGACCCGGCGAUGCACGCCAUAUGGAAGCGGGCAUCCUGGUCGUCCAGCUGACGCACGUCGACACGCUUGGAUACGGGGUGACGGGAAGGCGGAUGCUCGGCCUCCCGGUCGCGGUCCUCGCAUUGAUUCCUCCGUGUGGGCUGGUGGUCGCCCUGGCCAGUCGGCUCCCUCACACGGCUGUCGACAACUGAUGGGUUGUGGUCUCGCCGACCGUGUCUGCCCGCGCCAACUGUCAUGGUGCUGGUCGGUGUUGGCAGGUAAAGAUGCGUGAUUCGGGUCCCGCCGACUGGCCGCAAGCUAGUAGGGGCCAAUGAGGUCGUUGUUGGUCCUCGAGCGGGAGCCAGUCGUGCCGCGGAGCGACUGGCUUGCCUGCUCGUGGUGCGCGUUGGCAGCCUCCAUGAGAGCGCGGAUGUGCUCCUGCUAUGCCUCAAGGGUCGGGCCGUCGAGCCCCCUAGCUAGCCGAGGGCGGCCUCUGCGGCCCUCAUGUUCUUGACGGGGGUAUCGUAGACGGGGCAGCCGCCUACCAGCUACUGGCCAACGGCACCGCCGCAGCGCCGCACUUCCGCCACCCGGCUGGGUGCGAUGUCAGCCAGCGUGAGGCCAUGGGCCACAUUGAAAUCGUGCUGAGCAGCCUCGAACUUGCUUUGGGUCGCCUCCAACGCUUCCGCCUCCGCGAGAAGGCGCUCGCGGUGGUUGUCCAGUUCCGCGGUUGCGGCCGCAGGGUCAGCCACAACCAGGAUGGGCACGCGUAGUGUGUCUAGUGAAGCGCAAAGAGGGGUGCGGUACGCGGACGUACCACCCAGGGAGAUGGCAAUCAUUACCUCCACACGGAUGCAUAGGACGUCGAUGUCGCUAGAGAGGUCGUCGUCGGACGACGACAUGACAUCACCACAUGACGGCAGACGACGGGUUACUCGUCGGAGAUGACGGCGACAUAGAAGCGGUGGGACCCGAAGGCGACGAAGGAGCCGUUGUCGGGGAAGUCUGCAUCCUCGAGGCGAUGGGCGUUGUCCUUGACACAGUUGAGUGCGUCGUAGCACAGGAGCAAGCCAUGCGCCACGCGCUCGCCAGAAAGGGUUACGGGUCCCGCCCAGAACGUCACUCCGGCCUGCAUCGCUGCCGGCCCUACGGUGGGCACCAACUAUCAUAGUAUUUCCGCGGCAGAUGCCAGGGGGUGGCUUAGAACAUGGUUUGGGGCCGAUGGGUGUGAUACAUCUCCACCGUAUCUAUAAUUUAUGAACUAUUCAUGCCAUGUUUACAAUAAUUCUAUAUGAUAUUGGUAUGAUAUUAUUAGAACUAACCCGGAGUGACGCUGUUUUCAACAAAGCUACCGUGUUGUUAUUUUUGUGCAGAAAUAAAAGUUCUCAGAAUGGGCUGAAAAUUUACGGAGAAUAUUUUUGGAAAAUAUGAAAAAUAAUGGAGCAAAAAGAUACCGGAGAGGAGUCCCGAGGCAGUCACCAGGGCGCGACCCCCCCUAGGUCGUGCCCCUGGCUUGUGGGCCCGUCGAGCACUCCCGUGACAUGGUUCCAACGCCAAAUAUUCUUAUAAAUAUAGAAACCCUCGAAAAGAAACUUUGAUCAGGAGUUCCCCCGCAGCAAGCCUCCAGAGCCAUGAAAAACCAAUCUUGGCCCGCUCUCGCACCCUGCCGGAGAGGGCCACCAUCACCGGAGACCAUGGAGGAGGAAUACGGAGGGGCCAUCAUCACCAUGGAGGCGAAGGACCAUAGGGAGAACCUCUCCCCACCUUUGGGGGAGGCCACGAAGGAGGAGGCACAAGGGGGAGAACCUCUCCACCUCUCUCCUGGUGGUGCCAGACGGCCACAUGGGGAACCAUCGCCGCGGUGAUCGUCUUCAUCAACAUCACCUUCUUCAUCACCAUCCUCAUCUUCUUUUAGCAGUCCACUCUCCCGCACCCCAAUGCCAUCCCCUACUUGAACAUGGUGCUCUAUGCCACAUAUUACGAUCCAAUGAUGUGUUGCCAACCUAUGAUGUUUUGAGUAGAUUCCCUUUGUCUUAUGGGUUGAUUGAUGAUCUAGAUUGGUUUGAGUUGCAUGCUUUAUUAUUGGUGUUGUCCUAUGGUGCUCUCCGUGUCGCGCAAGCAUGAGGGAUUCCCUUUGUAGGGUGUUGUAAUACGUUCAUGAUUCNNNNNNNNNNNNNNNNNNNNNNNNNNNNNNNNNNNNNNNNNNNNNNNNNNNNNNNNNNNNNNNNNNNNNNNNNNNNNNNNNNNNNNNNNNNNNNNNNNNNNNNNNNNNNNNNNNNNNNNNNNNNNNNNNNNNNNNNNNNNNNNNNNNNNNNNNNNNNNNNNNNNNNNNNNNNNNNGGUUGCUUGAGUGACAGAAGCAUAAACCCGAGUAGGUGGGUUGUUGCGUAUGGGAUAAAGCGGACUUGAUGCUUUAAUGCUAUGGUUGGGUUUUACCUUAAUGAUCUUUAGUAGUUGUGAUGCCUACUAGAGUUCCAACCAUAAGUGCAUAUGAUCAAAGUAGAUAAAGUAUGUUAGCUUAUGCCUCUCCCUCAUAUAAAAUUGCAAUAAUGAUUACCCAUCUUGUUAACAAUUGCCUAGGACAAUUGCGCACGCCGACCCAUCAUUAUUCCACACUCUCUAUUUGUAACACAUUAUAAUAUAUUCUAACUUUAUGAUAAUAGCACCAAUUUUCAUAUUUUAGUUCUCCAAUUUCAUGCAAAACUAUUCUCUUCAUACCCACAACGUAAUUUUAUUACUCGUUCCUAGUUGGAAGCAAACGUUCGGCGUAUGUAGAGUUGUAUCAGUGGCAGAUAGGAGAGAAUAUUGCUCUUACCUUUAGCUCCUUGUGGGUUCGACACUCCAUACUUAUCAUUUCCACCUUUGGAAAUUGCUACGAUUAUUCCUUGCACUUGGGGAUUAUCAAGCUCUUUUCUCGCGCCGUUGCCGGGGAGCAAUAGUGUGGGGUUGAUAUUCUCAUGUGUGCUUGUUUGCUUUCUUCACUAAGUAUAUUUUGUUUUCCCUUUUUGAUCUAUUUAGUUGUGGUUGAAACAAACAAAAAAAUUGAAUAAUGAAAAAUACAAAAAGAAUUACUUGCCUCUUAUGCCUAAGAAGUUUUCAAAAAGGGAAGUGAUUGGAAGGUUGUGCAAUGGAGAAGUGAGGAUCGACCUUGAACACUUGUGUUCAUGAUCAUGGAAGCAAUGUAGAUUUUUUUUCAUGGAAGUUUCUCAAAAAUAAUUAUCCCCUUAUAUAUAUAUCCAUUGUAUUAUAAAAAUAAUGUGCCAAGAUUUGCCUCUAGGAUGAUUAGAUUGCUUGUUUGGUGUGUGGUGUGCAAAAUAGAAACUUUGGCUCCACUCCGCGAGUUUACGUUUUUUACUGGAAUGUCAAAAGUGUCUGAAAUUUUUACAAAAAAAUUAUUUCGUGCUAAUUAGUCAGAAUAUUUUGAGUUACAGAAGUAUACGAAGUUUUCAGAUUGCUACAAAUUGUACUGUUUUGACAGAUUCUGUUUUCUUACGAUUGUUCUCUUGUUUUCAUGAAUCUAUGGGUAGUACCGGGGGGUAUGAACCAUGGUGAACUUGGACUACAUUAGAUAUAAUUCUAAUAUGAAUUUGGAAUGAGUUCACAACAGUACUUAAAGUAGUAUUUUUCUUUAUUAUACUAACGGAUCUCACGAGAGUUUUAUUAAGUUUUGUAUGAAUGAAGUGUCCGAAGAUCGAGGAGGUAUCGUUAAAAGAUGAAUACAGGGAGACAAGAGUUCACGAUUGGGGAUACCCAAGGCACGCCAAGUAAAUAUUUCAACGAGGCUCAAGCAUCUAAUCUUGGGGAUGCCCUCGAAGGCAUCCCAUCUUUAUUCUUCAACAAUUAUCGGUAUACCUUGGUUUUUGUUUUGUUCACAUGAUAUGCGUCCUUAGUGUUUUUCUUAUCCUUUUAUGCACCUUUCUAGUAUGAUAUAGUCCUUCAUUGAUUUAUAGAAUGCUUCAUGCGCUUCACUUAAAUCUUUUGAGUAUGGCUUUGUAGAAAGCUCUUGGUGCUUCACUUAAAUCUUUUGAGUACGGCUCUAUAGAGUGCUCUUCGUGCUUCACUUAAAUCUUUUGAGUAUGGCCUUAUAGAACGCUUCGUGUGCUUCACUUAUAUAUUUUCAGCUUAGAUAUUGGUUGAUCUAUAUUAAUUGUAGAAUGCUCUAUGAACUUCACUUAUAUCUUUUAGAGUAUGAAUAAAAUUAUCAUCGCAAUUAGGCUUGGACGAGCAUCAUUGAAAUGAUCAUGCCUAGCUAAAAGGCAUUAAAGAAAAUCGUUUAUUGGGAGAUGAUGUCCCACAAGCGUAUGGGAUCACAGCAGUUUUCGAGGGUAGAGUAUUAGACCCAAAUUUAUUGAUUCGCUCACAAGGUGAAGCUAAAGGAUAUUCUCAAGUAUUGGCAGCUGAGUUGUCAAUUCAACCACACCUGAAAAAUUAGUGUCUGCGAGCAAAGUAUCAGUAGCAAGGUAGUAUGAUAGCAACGGCACCAGAAAAAGCUUUGGCAAUGAUACGUCUCCAUCGUAUCUACUUUUCCAAACUCUUUUGCCCUUGGUUUGGACUCUAAUUUGCAUGAUUUGAAUGGAACUAACCUGGACUGACGUUGUUUUCAGCAGAAUUGCCUUGGUGUUAUUUUUGGGCAGAAAUCAAAGUUCUGAGAACGUCCUGAAAAUUUACGGGGAACAUUUUUGGAAAAUAUGAAAAAUACCUGCGCAAAGAUCCACCUCAGGGGGUGGGCGAGUGGGCCACAAGCCCUGCCUCCACCACCCCCCUGGUGGCGGUGGAUAAGCUUGUGGGGCCCACACGACUCUGCCGCCCCCAAUCUCAGGUCUAUAAGUUCACUUUCGUCCCAGAAAAAAAUAAAAAGAGAAGAUUUCGUCGCAUUUGCGAUAUGGAGGCGCCGCCACAACCUGUUCUUCAUCUGGAGGGCAGAUGUGGAGUCCGUCUUGGGCUCCGGAGAGGGGAAAUCGUCACCAUCAUCAUCAUCAACCUUCUUCCCUCUCCAAUUCCAUGAAGCUCUUCGUCGUUCGUGAGUAAUCUAUUCGUAGGCUCGCUGGGCGGUGAUGGGUAGGAUGAGAUCUAUCAUGUAAUCGAGUUAGUUUUGAUGGGGAUUGAUCCCUAGUAUCCACUAUGUUCUGAGAUUGAUGUUGCUACUACUUUGCCAUGCUUAAUGCUUGUCACUAGGGCCCGAGUGCCAUGAUUUCAGAUCUGAAAUUAUUAUGUUGCCACCAAUAGAUGUGUGUUUUAGAUCCGAUCUUGCAAGUUGUAGUUACCUACUAUGUGUUAUGAUCCGGCAACCCCGGAGUGACAAUAACCGGAACCACUCCCGGUGAUGACCAUAGUAUGAGGAGUUCAUGUGUUCACCAAGUGCUAAUGCGUUGGUCCGGUUCUUUAUUAAAAGGAGAACCUUAAUAUCCCAUAGUUUCCUUUUGGACCCCGCUGCCACGGGAGGGAUGGACAAUAGAUGUCAUGCAAGUUCUUUUCCCUAAGCAUGUAUGACGACACACGGAAUGCAUGCCUACAUCACAUUGACGAACGGGAGCUAGCCACAUAUCUCUCCGUGUUAUAAUUGUUGCAUGAUGAAUAUCACCCAAACAAAUCACCGACCCAUUGCCUACGAGUUUGUCCUACUGUUGAUGUUACUUGUCUUGCUCUGCUGCUGUUACUUGUCUUGCUCUGCUGCUACUGUUGCUACUACUGUCGCUUACCACUGGGUUACUUGCUACUUUGCUGUUACUACUUUGCUUGCAGAUACUAAUCUUUCAGGUGUGGUUGAAUCUGACGCAUUCAGCUGCUAAUACACGAGAGUAUUCUCUCACCUCCUGUCUGGCGAAUCAACAAAUUUGGGUCGAAUACUCUACCCUAGAAAACUGCUGCGAACCCACGCGCUGGUGGGCCGUCAACAACAUUCUUCUAGUUUCAUUGCCAGGGAGUGCUGGUAGCAUUCUUCUGGUUCCGUUGCAGGAGAAGGUUUGUUGUCACAGAAUCCGCAUUCGUCUAGCUAUUGCCAGAGAGUGCCAGUCAGCAUUUUUCUGGCGCCGUUGCCGGGGAGGUAUUGCUAUAUUCUCUGAGUCACUUGGGAUUUAUAUCUAAAGAUCACUAUGAAGAAUCUGAAGGAUCCAAAAACCAAAGUCUUGCCCUCAACUACGAGGGGAGGUAAGGAACUGCCAUCUAGCUCUGCACUUGAUUCACCUUCUGUUAUGAGUAAGUUUGCGACAUCACCUCCUUCUAGAAAUCUUGAUAUGUCGCCUGUGCUUGAUGAUGCUACUACUAGAGAUGCUAUGCUUGAUACUAUGCCUGAUACUGCUUUGUCUGAUGAUGUUAGAGAUACUAUGCAUGAUACUGCUUUGCCUGAUAUUGCUAGAGAUACUAUGCUUGAUAUUGCUAGAGAUGCUAUGCUUGAUACUGCUUUGCCUGAUGAUGCUAUGCUUGAUACUGCUAGAGAUACUACUUUGCCUGAUGUUCCACUAGGGGUAUUCCUUGAUGCUCAUAUUGCUAGAGUUACUUCCAAUGAUCGUGAUGCUUCUGAAACUGCCGAUACUAUUGAGAUAGAACCUGCUUUUGCUCCUGCUAGAUCUAGCUUUCCUAGAUAUGAAUUGCCUGAUAUACCUGAGGGUUACGUUAUGGAGGGAGAGAUAGCUGAGGAUUUUCUUGCAUGUAAGGAUGCCUAUGACACUGAGAAAUUACUUCUCAAGUGGAAGGAAAAAUCUCUGAAAGCUAGGAUGAAAUACGACCCGAAGUUUGCCACUUCACCUAUCUUUAUCACCCAUAAGGAUUAUGAAUUCUCUGUCGACCCCGAGAUAAUCUCUCCAGUCGAAUCUGAUCCUUUCCACGGUUAUGAGUCUGAGACGGUCGUAGCCCAUCUUGCCAAACUACACGAUAUAGCCACCCUUUUCACUAAUGAGGAGAAGAUCCGCCACUACUAUAUCCUUAAGUUGUUUCCUUUUUCCCUGAAGGAUGAUGCUAAAGCCUGGUUCACCUCUCUUGCUCCUGGAUGUGUGAGUAGUCCCCAGGAUAUGGUCUAUUACUUCUGUGAGAAAUAUUUUCCUGCCCAUAAGAGGCAAGCUGCCUUGCAGGAAAUAUACAACUUUGCUCAACUCCAAGAAGAGAGUCUUCCACAAGCUUGGGGGAGGCUCGUCCAGCUACAGAAUGCUUUGCCUGAUCACCCUCUUAAGAAGAACGAGAUACUUGAUAUCCUCUAUAACGGACUUAUCGAUGCCUCUAGAGACCAUCUAGAUAGUUGUGCCGGUUGUGUUUUUAGGGAACAAACUGCAGAACAAGCUGAGACCCUACUGAAUAACAUCUUGAUCAACGAUAAUGUUUCGACUAUUCCCGAACCACGUCCUAAGCCAACUCCUAAGAAAUAAGGUAUUCUAUUCCUCAGUCCCGAAGAUAUGCAAGAAGCCAAGAAAUCUAUGCAAGAGAAAGGCAUUAGAUCUGAAGAUGUCAAAAAUCUACCACCUAUCGAAGAGAUCCAUGGUCUCAAUAACCCGAUACAGGUAGUAGAAGUAAAUUCUCUGCGUAGGUUUGAUGAGAGUGAUAUUCGUUUUGACGAACCUGCUAGCCUAUGCUUUGAUGAAUUUGACAACUUUGUUGCCAAACAACAGAGUUUCAGUGAUUAUGUUAGCAGACAUUUGGAACAAAGUACUCGUAUGCUUAGCCAUUUAAGUGCUUGUGUAGACAGAAAUGUCAAUGAUCUGAAGCUUCUGACUAAAAAUGCCUCUAUGAUUACUACUCAGGUAGAAAAAGUACUUAAAGCUUAGAAUGACUUGCUCAAUGAAUUAAAUGACAACUCUGUCAGAGUCAUUACUAGAGGAGGCAAAAUGACUCAGGAACCUUUGUAUCCUGAAGGUCAUCCUAAGAGAAUUGAUCAAGAUUCUCAAGGAAUCAAUGCUGAUACACCCAGUCAUCCUAAGGAGAAGAAGAAGGAUGAUAGACACCUACAUGCCAGUUCACCAAAUACUGGCACACCUGAAGAACCUAAUGAUAUUUCUGCGUCUGAUGCAGAAACACAAUGUGGUGAUGAACAUGAACCUGGUGACAAUAUGGAUAGCGAUGUUCAUAAUAAUGCUCAACCUAGCAAUGAUGAGGAUGUGGAGAUUGAACCUACGGUUAAUCAUGAUAAACCACAACCUAAGAGAUACGAUAAGAAUGACUUCACUGCUAGGAAGCAUGGUAAAGAAUGGGAGCCAUGGGUUCAGAGAUCUAUGCCCUUUCCUCCUAAGCCAUCCAAGAAAAAGGAUGAUGAGGAUUUUGAGCGCUUCGUUGAGAUGAUAAGACCCAUCUUUCUGCAGAUGCGGUUAACUAAUAUGCUCAAGAUGUCUCCGCAUGCCAAGUACAUGAAAGAUAUCGUGACUAAUAAACGGAAGAUACCAGAUCUUGAGAUCUCCACCAUGCUUGCCAAUUACACUUUCAAAGGUGGAACUCCUAAGAAACUUGGUGAUCCCGGAGUGCCCACUAUACCUUGUUCCAUUAAAGGAAACUACGUAAGAACUGCCUUAUGUGACCUUGGAGCCGGUGUUAGUGUUAUGCCGCUCUCUCUUUAUCGUAGACUUGAGUUGGAUAAGUUGACACCCACUAAAAUUUCUCUGCAAAUGGCCGACAAAUCAACUGCUUUUCCUAUCGGCAUUUGCGAGGAUGUGCCUGUUGUGGUUGCUAAUACCACUAUCUUAACAGACUUUGUUAUCUUGGAUAUUCCCGAGGAUGAUGCCAUGGCUGUCAUCCUCGGAAGACCCUUUUUAAACACUGCAGGGGCUGUUAUAGAUUGCAACAAAGGCAAUGUCACUUUCCAUGUCAACGGUAAUGAGCACACAGUGCACUUUCCGAAGAAACGAUAUCAACUACAUUGCAUCAAUGCUAUUGAAAAGACUUCAUCGAUUCUUAUUGGGAGCUUUGAAUGCCCUAUUCCUCGUGUCAAGAUGAAGUAUGAUUUGCUUGUUGGGGAGAUACAUAUCCCCAUUGAGGUGACUUAGUGGCUAUUCGAAAAUUCUCCGUUCUCUCUUGCGAUUCGAGAAGGUUUUUUCAUGAGGACUUGAUCAACCCAUUGACGGAUUUCUUUCGAUGACCAUGAAAUGGAUGAAUCAAAGAGUCACAUACCUCUGUUUUGAGCUUUCAUUUUCUGUUGCUUAGAAGAAAAAUGAUGGAAUUAGUUUAGCUUUUCCUGUUUUCUCUUUUAGCGUCCCGGAGAAAAAUACCUCGAAAAUAAAAGUUCUCCGAUGGUCUUGAAAAUUUAGUUUGAUUUUUUCUGGAAUUUUUGAAAAUUACUGGGCCUGAGAGAUGGCCUGGGGGCGAGACCAGUGGGCCACAAGCCCUGCCACCGCCACCCCCCUGGUGGCGGAGAGAAAGCUUGUGGGGCCCACACGGACCCCCUCCACUCAUUCCAGCUCCCAGCCUCUUCUUCCACCUCCAGAAAAAAAUUGUUUCGCAGCUCAAACCCGUGUUCUUGCUCAUUUGGCUGUGAUUUUGGAUCUCCUUGCUCAAAGCACCAUUCUCCGAACCGUUCUGGGGAAAUUACUCCUUGGUAAGUGACUCCUCCAUUGGUCCAAUUAGUUUUUGCUCUAGUGCUUUAUCCUUCGCGUAUUCUUGCUACCUUGGUGACCCUGUUCUUGAGCUAGAAAAGUUUAUUUUAGCUAGACCCAAGUAGUUUUAGCGCGUGAUACGGUCUCUAGGCACUAGUAGGAGUAGUUGCUACAAGUUGGGUUAAUCUUUUUUCACUUUUCUUUCGAAGUCUCUAAACAUUUCAGAAUUUUUCAGAGCUAGAAAAAGGAAAAGAUGAAGAGGUUCUUGAGAGGCUCUUCAAGCCGUAACCCCAAGGAGGAUGAGAAGAACCACCCCAAGUAUGUAGUCCCUCGAGUCACAGAAGUUCGAGCGUGCGAGUGGCCAAGUGAUGAAUUUUUGCGCGCCACCGGACUUUAUGAAGACUUUUACUACUUGGUGGAGAACGCGGGUCUUACCGCGUUCGUUGAAGAUAAGUGCUCACAAUACCUCUUCCUCACCAAUAUUUUUGUUCAAAGCUUCAACUUUUAUCCGAGGAAGAAUCCUCGCAUGGUUGAGUUCAUGAUAUACGACAUCCCCCAGUGCAUGACACUACAGGAUUUUUGGAAUGUAUGCAAAUUACCUUGUGUUGGCGAUAUCCGUGACCCUCGUCCACAGGACUUGGAGGAUUUCAUUGGUUCUACUGCUGUUGGAGAGGAGAGAGGAGUGUCUCGCGCUAGAAUUGUUAGCAUACAUUUUCCUAUGCUCCGGUAGUUCUCACUAUUUGUGGGAAAAUGUUUGAUUGGCCGUGGGGAGGCUGGAUCACUUAGUUCUCCAGACCUUGCAGUUUUACGCGAAGACCUUUAUAACGAUAAGGCUUAUAGCCUAGGUGUUAUAGUGGCCCAGCGGUUGAACACCAACCGUUCCAAGGGUGUCGUCUAUGGAGGUAUCUAUGCUACCCGUCUUGCCAGACACUUUGAGAUACCCAUUAGACUGGGAGAGGAAGGAGAGAUGCUUCUCCCCGAGAAAUAUCUGGAUUAUGACAGCAUGGUUCGCCAUGAUUAUCUGGAUAGAGAUGCUAGUAUAUGGAUGAUUUAUAACCUGGUAUUUAGUCAGGGUACUCGAGAGACUAUUACUUUGCCUGCCCCUUCUUUGUUUGAUCUUCAUGCAGACAGGUACACUAUUAUGCCCUCGGACAUCUACGCAUAUUGGGGCCUGGCCCAACCACACGCGCCCGUGCCCGAGCCGUCAGUCGAGUAUCAGACGCCAGUUUAUCAGUGGGAGCCAGAGGAGCUCACACAGCAGUGGCAUCCACAGUCUGCUCCGGAGUAUCCUGGAGCUGGUGAAUUCCCACCAUGGGAGUAGUCCAAGCUAGGCCAAAAGCCUAAGCUUGGGGGAGUACGUGUUCUCACCGACUUUACAUUCAUGCUUAUGCUUUCACUUUGUUAGCCGGUGUUUACACUUUGCCACUGUAUUAUCCAUGCUAGUUUAUUUUUUUUUCUUGUUUUCUUGUUUUGUGUCCUUUUGAGAAAAUCCAAAAAGAUUUUUCUUUCUUCUUUUGCUUGUUGGGAGCUUUCCCGUGUAAAUAGUGUUCUUUUUCUUUGGGUCAAGGUAGAAGAUAUUGGUUACAAUGUUUAGUGGUUCUUGCAUGCAUACCUGUUUAGCUUUCAAAGAGCCAUAUUACCUUGUCUUCUCCUUUGUGUUUGCCUGCAGAUUCACCUUAGUCCAAUGCGCGAGCACUCUUAUUAUUGUUCACAUCGUUCGGUCAUGCAAAUGAAAGGCAAUAAUGAUGAUAUAUGAUGAAGUGACUAAGACUGAAAAGCUGGUAUGAGCUCUAUCUAUUUUGUUUUUGUAAAUAUGACUAGCUUGUCAUCCCAGAUUCAACUUUGUUGUGAGAGAACCAUGUUUGCAAUGACAACUUUGAGAUCAUAGUUUCUGAUUCCAUGCUUAUUUAGCUAGGAGCUUAUAAUGGUUUGUCUUGAAUGCCAACAUAGAUUUUGAGAUGACUAUGAUGUAGUAUGAUAGGAUGGUAUUCUCCUUUGAAUGUUUCAAGUGGCUUGACUUGGCGCAUGUUCAUGCAUGUAGUUGAAACAAAAUCAACAUAGCCUCUAUGAUGUUCGUUUUCAUGGUGAUUUAUAUCCUAUUCAUGCUUGCAUUCAAUGUUAGUCAAACGCAUUGCAUCUUGAUGACUGUUGUCGCUCUCUAGUUGGUCGCUUCCCAGUCUUUUGCUAGCCUUCACUUGUACUAAGCGGAAUACUGCUUGUGCAUCCACUUCCAUAAACCCAAGAGUUUUUCCAUGAGAGUCCACCAUACCUCCCUAUUUGCGGUAUCUACCUGCCGUUCCAAGUGAAUUUGCAUGUGACAUUCUCUAAACCAUCAAGAAAUAAUCUGUUUUGCAUGUCGGAACCGCUCAUGUGGUGACAGGGGGCUAUUGGUAUCUUCCAUGCUAGGAGUGUUAUCCUCGACAUGUGUUUAUUCACUGUCAUUCACGAGAAAGGGGCCGGUAAUAGGAAUGCCCAGUUCCACGCUUAAAUCAAAAACAUAACUGUAAAACAAGACCCCCCCCCCCCGGGUUGAUGUUAGUAUGGAUGGUACCCGAGGAUUCGGCUAGCCGUGGAUUGUGAUUGAUUGGUGGUGGGGGAGUUAAAACUUUACUUUUUUGUUUGGGAACUGCCUAUAGCAUGAGUAGCAUGGAAGAUAUUGAGAACUCUUGGUCAUUGCGUUGACAAUGAAAGCAUGCCACCCAAAAUUAUUAUCUCUGUUUUCAAAGCUUGAGCUCUGGCACCUCUGCAAAUCAAUGCUUCCCUCUGCGAAGGGCCUCUCUAUUUAUUUUCCUAUUGAGUCAUCCUCCUCUUAUAUAAGCACCAAUUAGAGAGCACUUCUGUCAUUUUUAUGCUUUGCUUUUGAUUGGUAUUGAGUAUGACUAUGACUGGAUCUUCGUUUUUAUGAAUUACAAUGUUUAGUCACCCCUUGAUCUUUGAAAGUGCUCUGCAUUUAUGUUUUGUGGUCUCAGAAAGAGCUAGCGAGAUACCACCUAUUCAUAUUGCUCCAUGCUUGUUUUGAUUGAAGUGUUGGUAUUUGAAACUCAUUAUUAUUUGCUCGUUAGCUGAUUAUGACAUUGAUAUUAGUUUACCGUGAGACCUUUGUGUCACUUGCUUAUGUGGUUAACUUGUGAUAUUGCUGAAAUUGUGGUUAUGAGUUAGACAUAGUUGCAACAACAAGAUCAAACAGAGUUUGUCAAAGUUUUUCUUUCUCUCUCAGUUUGUCAACUGAGUUGCUUGAGGACAAGCAAGGUUUUAAGCUUGGGGGAGUUGAUACGUCUCCAUCGUAUCUACUUUCCAAACUCUUUUGCCCUUGUUUUGGACUCUAAUUUGCAUGAUUGAAUGGAACUAACCUGGACUGACGCUAUUUUCAGCAGAAUUGCCUUGGUUUUAUUUUUGUGCAGAAAUCAAAGUUCUCAGAACGUCCUCAAAAUUUACGGGAACAUUUUUGGAAAAUAUGAAAAAUACCUAUGGAAAGAUCCACCUGAGGGGGUGGGCCAGUGGGCCACAAGCCCUGCCUCCGCCACCCCCUGGUCGCGGUGGGCAAGCUUGUGGGGCCCACACGGCUCUACCGCCCCCAAUCUCAGGUCUAUAAGUUCACUUUCGUCCCAGAAAAAAUAAAAAGAGAAGAUUUCGUCGCGUUUGCGAUACGGGGGCGCUGCCACAACCUAUUCUUCAUCUGGAAGGCAGAUCUGGAGUCCGUCUUGGGCUCCGGAGAGGGGAAAUCGUCGCCAUCGUCAUCAUCAACCUUCUUCCCUCUCCAAUUCCAUGAAGCUCUUCGUCGUUCAUGAGUAAUCUAUUCGUAGGCUCGCUGGGCGGUGAUGAGUAGGAUGAAAUCUAUCAUGUAAUCGAGUUAGUUUUGAUGGGGAUUGAUCCCUAGUAUCCACUAUGUUCUGAGAUUGAUGUUGCUACUACUUUGCCAUGCUUAAUGCCUGUCACUAUGGCCCGAGUGCCAUGAUUUCAGAUCUGAAAUUAUUAUGUUGCGACCAAUAUAUGUGUGUUUUAGAUCCGAUCUUGCAAGUUGUAGUUACCUACUAUGUGUUAUGAUCCGGCAACCCCAGAGUGACAAUAACCGGAACCACUCCCAGUGAUGACCAUAGUUUGAGGAGUUCAUGUGUUCACCAAGUGCUAAUGCAUUGGUCCGGUUCUUUAUUAAAAGGAGAACCUUAAUAUCCCAUAGUUUCCUUUUGGACCCCGCUGCCAAAGGAGCGAUGGACAAUAGAUGUCAUGCAAGUUCUUUUCCCUAAGCACGUAUGACGACACACGGAAUGCAUGUCUACAUUACAUUGACGAACGGGAGCUAGCCACAUAUCUCUCCGUGUUAUAACUAUUGCAUGAUGAAUAUCAUCCAAACAAAUCACCGACCCAUUGCCUACGAGUUUGUCCUACUGCUGUUGUUACUUGUCUUGCUCUGUUGCUGUUACUUGUCUUGCUCUGCUGCUACUGUUGCUACUACAGUCGCUUGCCACUGCCGUUACUCGCUACAUUGCUGUUACUACUUUUCUUGCAGAUAUUAAUCUUUCAGGUGUGGUUGAAUCUGACGCAUUCAGCUGCUAAUACUCGAGAGUAUUCUCUCACCUCCUGUCUGGCGAAUCAACAAAUUUGGGUCGAAUACUCUACCCUCGAAAACUGCUGUGAACCCACGCGUUGGUGGGCCGUCAAUAACAUUCUUCUAGUUUCAUAGUCGGGGAGUGCUAGUAGCAUUCUUCGGGUGCCAUUGCAGGGUAAGUUUUGUUCUCAUAGAAUCAGCAUUCGUCUAGCUAUUGCCAGACAGUGCCGGUCAGGCAAUUCCCAGCAAUGGCGCCAUAAAAAGGCACGUUGACGGGAUGUUAGCGCCAACAAAGUCUUGCAACAAGUAACAGCGGAGUAGGAAGGAACAGUAGUAGCAGCAGCAGCAAAGUAACAAGUAACAGCAGUAGCGACAGCAGCAGCAAAGUGGCCCAAUCCCUCUUGUAGCAAGGGACAAGCCUAGGCAAAGUAACAUAGCGAGGACCAGUAGUAAAAGACUCGUAGGCAGUGGAUCGGUGAUGGAUGAGUAUGACGGAUGUGAUUCAUCAUGUAAUAGCUAUAACACGGAGAGAUAUGUGACUAGCUCCCGUUCAUCAAUCUGAUGUAGGCAUGUAUUCCGUAUGUAGUCAUACGUGCUUAUGGAAAAGAACUUGCAUGCCAUCUAUUGUCCAUCCCUCCCAUGGCAGCGGGAUCCUAAUGGAAGCUACGGGAUAUUAAGGUUCUCCUUUUAAUAAAGAACCGGACCAACGCAUUAACACGCGGUGAACACAUGAACUCCUCAUACCAUGGUCAUCUCCGGGAGUGGUUCCGGCUAUUGUCACUCCGGGGUUGCCGGGUCAUAACACAUAGUAGGUGACUACAACUUGCAAGAUAGGAUCUAAAACACACAUAUAUUGGCGACAACAUAAUAGGUUCAGAUCUGAAAUCAUGGUACUCGGGCCCUAGUGACAAGCAUUAAGCAUAGCCAAGUAGUAGCAACAUCAAUCAAGAACAUAGUGGAUACUAGGGAUCAAUCCCCGUCAAGAACUAACUCGAUUACAUGAUAGAUCUCAUCCAACUCAUCACCGUCCAGCAAGCCUACGAUGAGAUUACUCACGAACGAUGAAGAGCAUCAUGGAAUUGUCGAUGGAGAACGGUUGAUGAUGACGAUGGCGACGAUUGCCCCUCUCCGGAGCUCGAAACGGACUCCAGAUCUGCCCUCCAAAUGAAGAACAAGAUGUGGUGGCGCCUUCGUAUCGCAAAACGCGAUGAAACCUUCUCUCUGAUUUUUUCCGUCGAAACGGAAGAUAUAGAGCUGAGUUUGGGGGCGGUGGAGCCACGUGGGCCCCACAAGACAGCAUGGCGCGGCCUAGGGGGGUGGCCGCAUCGUGUGGGCUUGUGGCCCACUGGCACACCCCCCCCCCCUCACGUGGAUCUUUGCGCAGGUAUUUUUCUUUUAUUCCAGAAAAAAUCUCCGUAAAUUUUCAGGAUGUUCCGAGAACUUUUAUUUCUGCACAAAAACAACACCAUGGCAAUUCUGCUGAAAACACCGUCAGUCCGGGUUAGUUCCAUUCAAAUCAUGCAAGUUAGAGUCCAAAACAANNNNNNNNNNNNNNNNNNNNNNNNNNNNNNNNNNNNNNNNNNNNNNNNNNNNNNNNNNNNNNNNNNNNNNNNNNNNNNNNNNNNNNNNNNNNNNNNNNNNNNNNNNNNNNNNNNNNNNNNNNNNNNNNNNNNNNNNNNNNNNNNNNNNNNNNNNNNNNNNNNNNNNNNNNNNNNAGUCCGGGUUAGUUCCAUUCAAAUCAUGCAAAUUAGAGUCCAAAACAAGGGCAAAAGAGUUCGGAAAAGUAGAUACGAGGGAGACAUAUCAGGAGACAACCCAACACUUUUACCUUCUAUUUUUGUGAGUUCACAUGAUUAAGCUACUGUAGUAAUCAUGUUUUGUGUCUUUUAUUUCAAUAAAGUGUCAAGUAAAGCCUUUGGAAUGACUCACAAGAUGAGUAGAAUUGAUGCCGAACCAAAACAGAAACUUUUCACUCAAGUACAUGAAUUUUCAUUUUUUUACCAAAGCGUGAUAAUGAUUUAAAAUUUUACACAGUAUUUAUAUAUAAAUUCUCCUGGUUUUGCUAAUUUUUUAGAAUUUUGAUAGACAGGGAAGUAUGGCUAUACUACAGAGUUCUAUAAAUUAUGGGAAACAUGGCUACUGUUCUGUUUUCGACAGAUUAUGUUUUGUAUGCAUAGUCUGCUUAUUUUAGUGUUCCCAUAGCUUAUAUUCAGUAAUAUAAAUUAUGGGAAUGAUAGAAUACAGUAGGUAUAAUGUGGUAACUAUUAUGAAUCUUGUCUUGACAGUACCUAAGUGAAUGAUCUAUCUUUAUUACACUAAGCUUUCUCACAAAGUUCCGUUAAGUUUUGUGUGAUUGAAGUUUUCAAGUUUUGGGUGAGACAUCGAUAUGAGGAGAACAAGGACUGACAAGUACCUAAGCUUGGGUAUGCCCAAGUUACCCCAAGGUAAUAUCCGUUGAAGACUCAAGUGUCUAAGCUUGAGGAUGCCCCGGAAGCAUCCCCUCUUUCAUCUCCAACGCUAUACGUAAUCUUACUUAGAGCUAUAUUUUUAUUCGUCUCGUAAUAUGUGUUUUUCUUGGAGCAUCAUUUUAUUCUAUUGAUUUCUGUUAGAUGUUAUUUAUAAUUUUGUUUUCUAUAAAAAUCCAAGAAUUGUAUUAGGAUGCUUGCAUUGCAUGGUUUGAUGUGUGCUGUAUAAAAACAGAAACUCUUGUUGUAGUGUUUGAAUUUUCAUAUUUUACUAGAAUGUGGAAAGUUUGUGAAAUAUUUACACAAAUUUUUCUUAUAAAUUUUAUAGAAUGAACUAAAUUUGCAUAAUUUUUUGAGUUACACAAGUAGACUGUUUUCAUAAAUUGCUACAAACUGUUCUGUUUGGAUAGAUUGUUGUCAUAGUUUUGUUAUCUACUUAUCAUAUAGUUUCCAUAGCCUAUAUUGGUAGAUAUAAAUUGUGGAAACGAUAGUAAACAGUACAUGAUGUUUGAAAGUUAUUAUACAACUUUUCUUGUCAGUACAUGAAGAGUUGAUUUAUUAUUGUGUGUACUAACCUAUCUCAUGAGUUCUUUUCGAGUUCUGUGUGGAUGAAGUUUUUUAGAAAAGGUGAAACCAUGAUAUGAGAGGAUUGAAUGAGAAACAAAAGCUCAAUCUUGGGGAUGCCCAAGGCAUCGCAAGUAAAUAUUUCAAGAACUCUCAAGUAUCUAAGCUUGGGGAUGCUACGCAUCCCACCUCUCUUUGUCAACUAUCGGUUAGCCUAUCUUGAGCCUAAAUUUUUAUUCGUUCACAUGACGCGUCCUAUUCUUGGACUACUAUUUUUCUUUUGCUUGCUAUUUAAAUAAAAUACUCAGAUCUGAGAAUCUUUAUUGAGAGAGAGGAAGAAAGUCCUCACAUAGAUACUUAAUUGUUUGACUACUCAUUGAUCUUCACUUAUAUGUUUUGGAGUAGUUUUGGCAUUUACUCUCGUGCUUCACUUAUAUCCUAUGAGUAAAUAGUUGAAUGAAUUGGAUAUUAUAAAUAUGAAAUUAUAUAUGUUCUAAGUGCUUAUCCCAUGGGGAGUAAUGACUUCACAUAUAAGAAGUAUAGGUGGUAUAAUUUAUUGAAAGUUAGCAAACACCGCAUUGGUCACUUGAACAAUACAUGAAAGAAUAUUGAAGGAAGAGAGAUUCCACAUAUAAAUAUACUAUCUUGGACAUCUUUCAUGAUUAUGAGCCCCAUUAAUUAUUUUCAAACUUGAGCAAAUUAGUUGAAGUUGGACAAGGAAGAGAACUUAAUGAGUUAUGUGUGGAUAUAUUUGCAUAGAAGUUAUAUUGUUAUGGAUCCUCCAACAUGUGGUGCUUGUUUAGAACCUUUUACUAGCCAAUACUUCGUGCUAAGUAGAGAUACUACUUGUGCAUCCAAAAACCCUUAAACCCAGUUUCUUGCCAUGAGAGUCCACUAUAUCUACCUAUAUGCGGUAUUUACCUCCUAUUCCAAGUAAAUUUGCAUGUGCCAAACUCUAAACCUUCAAAUAAUAUUUUGUUUUGUAUGCCCGAAUCACUCAUGUAGUGACUAGGGACUGUAUUGAUUAACGAUGUGUGUUGAUUCACUAUCAUUCACGAGAAAGUGGCCGGUAUUCGGGAUGCCCAGUUCCAUGCUAAAAAAUCAAAUCAAAAUAUAAUGAUACAAACCUCCCCCAAGAUUGUUGUUUGUAUGAACGGUACCCGUGGAUUCGGCUCGUCGUGGAGUGUGGUUGAUUGGUGGAGGGGGAGUUAAAACUUUACAAUUGUGUUUGGGAACCAUCUAUAAUCUAUCUAGCAUGGAAGAUACCGAGAUCUCUCGGUUGUUAGGUUGACAAUGAAAGCAUACCGCUCAAAAUUAUUAUUCAUUUGUGUUUUAAAACCUCGAGCUUUCGCACAUAUGCAAAUCACAGCUUCCCUGUGCGAAAUUUGCAUGACUUGAAUGGAACUAACCGAGACUAACGCUGUUUUCAGCAGAAUUGCCAUGGUGUUGUUUUUGUGCAGAAAUAAAAGUUAUCGGAAUGUCCUGAAAAUUUAAGGAUAUUUUAUCUGGAAUAAAUGAAAAAUACCUGCGCANNNNNNNNNNNNNNNNNNNNNNNNNNNNNNNNNNNNNNNNNNNNNNNNNNNNNNNNNNNNNNNNNNNNNNNNNNNNNNNNNNNNNNNNNNNNNNNNNNNNNNNNNNNNNNNNNNNNNNNNNNNNNNNNNNNNNNNNNNNNNNNNNNNNNNNNNNNNNNNNNNNNNNNNNNNNNNNNNNNCAAAGAUCCACCGGAGGGGGUAUGCCAGUGGGCCACAAGCCCCUCGGCCGCGGCCACCCCCUUAGGCCGCGCCGUGAGGGCUUGUGGGGCCCACGUGGCACCACCGCCCCCAAACUCAGCUCUAUUUAUUCCAUCUCGCCCGGAAAAAAAUCAGAGAGAAGGAUUCAUCGCGUUUUACGAUACGGAGGCGCCACGAGCUCGUGUUCUUUAUCUGGAGGACAGAUCUGGAGUCUGUUCGGGGCUCCGGAGAGGGGAAAUCGUCGCCAUCGUCAUCAUCAACCUUCCUCCAUCGACAAUUCCAUGAUGCUCUUCAUCGUUCGUGAGUAAUCUCAUCGUAGGCUUGCUGGACGGUGAUGAGUUGGAUGAGAUCUAUCAUGUAAUCGAGUUAGUUCUUGACGGGGAUUGAUCCCUAGUAUCCACUAUGUUCUUGAUUGAUGUUGCUACUACUUGGCUAUGCUUAAUGCUUGUCACUAGGGCCCGAGUACCAUGAUUUCAGAUCUGAACCUAUUAUGUUGUCGCCAAUAUAUGUGUGUUUUAGAUCCUAUCUUGCAAGUUGUAGUCACCUACUAUGUGUUAUGACCCGGCAACCCCGGAGUGACAAUAGCCGGAACCACUCCCGGAGAUGACCAUAGUAUGAGGAGUUCAUGUAUUCACCGAGUGUUAAUGCGUUGGUCCGGUUCUUUAUUAAAAGGAGAACCUUAAUAUCCCGUAGUUUCCAUUAGGACCCCGCUGCCAUGGGAGGGAUGGACAAUAGAUGUCAUGCAAGUUCUUGUCCCUAAGCACGUAUGACUACAUACGGAAUACAUGCCUACAUUAGAUUGACGAACGGGAGCUAGUUACUUAUCUCUCUGUGUUAUAGCUGUUACAUGAUGAAUCACAUCCGGUAUACUCAUCCAUCACCGAUCCACUACCUACGAGUCUUUUACUACUGGUCCUCGCUACGUUACUUUGCUGCUACUGUUGUCGCUACUGCUGUUACUUCGUGCUGCUGCUACUGCUGUUCCUUGCUGCUGCUGUCACUACUGCUGUUACUUUGCUGCUACUUGUUGCAAGACUUUUCUGGAGCCGUUGCCGAGGAAGAAUAGUCCCCCGUCCACGUGCCAUUUAUUGGCGCCAUUGAUACAACAAGCUAGGAAAAGUCUGCCGUCAACACAUCUUUUUCUGACACCGUUGCUAUCAUACCACUUUGCUACUGAUACUUUGCUUGCAGACACUAAUCUUUCAAGUGUGGUUGAAAUUGACAAACUCAGCUGCUAAUACUUGAGAAUAUUCUUUCGCUUCCCCUUGUGUCGAAUCAAUAAAUUUGGGUUGAAUACUCUACCCUCGAAAACUGUUGCGAUCCCCUACACUUGUGGGUUAUCAAGACCAUUUUCUGGUGCCGUUGCCGGGGAGGCACAUCUAUAUUCUCUGAGUCACUUGGGAUCGACGUCUGCUGGUCACUAUGAGGAAUCUGAAAGAUCCAAGAACUAAAAUCUUGCCUUCCACUACGAGGAGAGGUAAGCAACUUCCAUCUAGCUCUGCACUUGAUUCACCUUCAGUUUUGAGUAAGUUUGCGACUUCGCCUCCUGCUAGAAAUCUUGAUAUGUCGCCUGUGCAUGAUGAUGCUACUUCUGCUGCCCAUGAUGCUUAUGAUGAUGCUAUGCUNNNNNNNNNNNNNNNNNNNNNNNNNNNNNNNNNNNNNNNNNNNNNNNNNNNNNNNNNNNNNNNNNNNNNNNNNNNNNNNNNNNNNNNNNNNNNNNNNNNNNNNNNNNNNNNNNNNNNNNNNNNNNNNNNNNNNNNNNNNNNNNNNNNNNNNNNNNNNNNNNNNNNNNNNNNNNNNNNNNNNNNNNNNNNNNNNNNNNNNNNNNNNNNNNNNNNNNNNNNNNNNNNNNNNNNNNNNNNNNNNNNNNNNNNNNNNCCUGAUGAUGCUAUGCCUGAUACUCCUUUGCCACUAGGUGCAUUCCUUGAUGCACAAAUUGCUAGAGUUGCUGCUAGAUGUGAUGAUACUUCUGAAACUGCUGAUACUAUUGAAGUAGAACUUGCUAGUAUGCCUGAAUUGCCUGUUAUGCAUGAACGCUAUGUUAUGGAAGGAGAGAUAGCUGAGGACUUUCUUGCGUGUAAGGAUAGCUAUGAUGUUGAGAAAUUACUGCGCAAGUGGAAAGAAAAAUCUCUGAACGCUGGGAUGAAAUACGACCCGAAGUUUGCUACUUCGCCUAUCUUUGUGACCGAUAAGGAUUAUGAAUUCUCUGUCAACCCUGAGUUAAUCACUCUGGUUGAAUCUGAUCCUUUUCACGGUUAUGAGUCUGAAACGGUUGUAGCCCAUCUUACCAAACUGCACGAUAUAGCCACCCUAUUCACUAGUGAGGAAAAGAUCCGCCACUACUAUAUCCUCAAGUUGUUUCCUUUCUCGCUAAAGGAUGAUGCUAAGACCUGGUUCACUUCUCUUGCUCCUGGUUGUGUGCGUAGCCCCCAGGAUAUGGUCUACUACUUCUCUGAAAAAUAUUUCCCUACCCAUAAGAAGCAAGCUGCCUUGCAGGAAAUAUACAACUUUGCUCAAGCUGAGGAAGAGAGUCUCCCACAAGCUUGGGGGAGGCUCGUCCAGCUACUGAAUGCUUUGCCUCAUCACCCUCUUGAGAAGAAUGAAAUACUUGAUAUCUUCUAUAAUGGACUUACCGAUGCUUCCAAAGACCACCUAGAUAGUUGUGUCGGUUGUGUUUUUAGGGAACAAACUGUAGAACAAGCUGAGAUUCUACUGAAUAACAUCUUGUGCAAUGAGAAUGCUUGGACUAUUCCCGAAUCACCUCCUAAGCCAACUCCAAAGAAAAGAGGUAUUCUAUUCCUCAGUCCUGAAGAUAUGCAAGAAGCCAAGAAAUCUAUGCGAGAGAAAGGCAUUAAAUCUGAAGAUGUCAACAAUCUACCACCUAUCGAAGAGAUCCAUGGUCUCGAUAACCCGAUACAGGUAGUAGAAGUAAAUUCUCUCUGUAGGUUUGAUGAGAGUGAUAUUCCUUUUGAUAAACCUGCUAGCUUAUGCCUGGAUGAAUUUGAUAACUUUGUUGACAAACAACAGAGUUUCNNNNNNNNNNNNNNNNNNNNNNNNNNNNNNNNNNNNNNNNNNNNNNNNNNNNNNNNNNNNNNNNNNNNNNNNNNNNNNNNNNNNNNNNNNNNNNNNNNNNNNNNNNNNNNNNNNNNNNNNNNNNNNNNNNNNNNNNNNNNNNNNNNNNNNNNNNNNNNNNNNNNNCAAACAACAGAGUUUCAAUGAUUAUGUUAGCAGACAAUUGGAACAGAAUGCUCAUAUGCUUAGUCAUUUAAGUGCUUGUGUGGACAGAAAUGUCAAUGAUCUUAAGCUUUUGAGUAAACAUGCCUGUAUGGUUACUACUCAAGUAGAACAAGUACUUAAAGCUCAAAAUGACUUGCUCGAUGAGUUGAAUGAAAAUUCCGUUAGAGUUGUUACUAGAGGCGGUAGAAUGACCCAGUAACCUUUGUAUCCCGAGGGUCAUCCGAAGAGAAUUGAACAAGAUUCUCAAGGAGUUAGCACUGAUGCACCUAGUCAUCCUAGAAAGAAGAAGAAAGAUGAUAGGAACCUGCACGCUAGCAACCCUGUUGCUGCUACACCUGAGAGUCCAAACGAUGCCUCUGUCUGUGACACUGAAACACAAUCUGGUGAUGAACAUGAGCCUAAUGAUAAUAUCAAUAGUGAUGUUCAUGAAGAUGCUCAACCUAGCAAUGAUAAGGAUGUGGAGAUUGAACCUAUUGAUCUUGAUAACCCUCGGCCUAAGAAUAGAAGAUAUGAUAAGAAUGACUUUGCUGCUAGGAAGCAUGGUAAAGAAAGGGAGCCAUGGGUUCAGAAACCCAUGCCCUUUCCUCCAAAACCAUCCAAGAAAAAGGAUGAUGAGGAUUUUGAGUGAUUCGUUGAAAUGAUCAGACCUGACUUUCUGCAAAUGCGUUUGACAGAUAUGCUCAAAAUGUCUCCGUAUUCUAAGUACAUGAAAGAUAUUGUAACUAAUAAGAGGAGGAUACCUGAGGUUGAGAUUUCCACCAUGCUUGUUAAUUAUACCUUCAAGGGUGGAACUCCUAAGAAACUAGGUGAUCCCGGUGUGCCCACUAUACCUUGCUCCAUUAAAGGCAGGUACGUUAGACCAGUGUUAUGCGACCUUGGAGCCGGUAUUAGUGUUAUGCCUCUCUCUCUUUAUCGUAGACUUGAACUGGACAAGUUGACACCCACUGAAAUCUCUGCAAAAUGGCCGACAAAUCAACUGCUUUCCCUAUCGGCAUUUGCGAGGAUCUGCCUGUUGUGGUUGCUAACGUCACUAUCUUAACAGACUUUGUUAUCUUGGAUAUUCCUGAGGACGAUGCCAUGGCGGUCAUCCUCGGAAGACCGUUUUUAAACAAUGCAGGGGCUGUUAUAGAUUGCAACAAAGGCAAUGUCACUUCCCAUGUCAACGGUAAUGACCAUACAGUGCACUUUCCGAAGAAACAAUAUCGAGUACAUUGCAUCAAUGCUAUCGAAAAAACUUCAUCAAUUUUUAUUGGGAUCUUUGAAUGCCCUAUACCUCGUGUCAAGAUGAAGUAUGAUUUGCUUGUUGGGGAGAUACACAUCCCCAUUGAGGUGACCUAGUGAUUAUUCGGAAAUUCUCCAUUAUCUUUUGUGAUUCGAAAAAGUUUGUCAAAGAGGCUUGAUCAACCUCACUGACAGAUUUCUUUUGAUGACAAUGAGAUGGAUGAAUCGAGGAGUCACAAACCUCUGUUCCAAGCUUUCACCUUCUAUUGCUUAGAAGAAAAAUGAUAGAUUUAGUUUAGUUUUCCCUGUUUUCUGUUUUAGCGCUCGGUGGAAAAGUACCCUGAAAAUAAAAGUACUCCGAACGUCCUGAAAAUCAAGUAUGAUUUUUUUUGGAAUUUUUGAAAAAUUCUGAGACAAAGAGCUUGUCGGGGGGCUGCACGAGUGGGCCACAAGCGCUUGGGGCGCGGGCACCCCCCCUGAGCGCACCACCCAGGCUUGUGGGGCCCACAGGCACCCCCUCCACUCAUUCUUGCUCUUAUCUGGUUCUCCUACCUCCAGAAAAAAUUGUUCCGCAGCUCAAACCCGUGUUCUCGCUCCUCUUGUUGGGAUUUUCGAUCUCUUUGCUCAAAUCACCGUUCUCCGAACUGUUUUGGGGAAAUUACUCCUUGGUAAGUGACUCCUCCAUUGGUCCAAUUAUUUUUUGCUCUAGUGCCUUAUACUCCGCGUAUUUUUUCUGCCUUGGUGACCAUGUUCUUGAGCUUUGCAUGCUAAUUCUAGCUGGUCCCAAGUAGUUUUGAUGCGUAAUAUGGCCUCUAGGCAUUUGUUGGAGUAGUUGCUAUGAGUUUCAUUGAGCCUUGUUCACUUUUCCUUAGAAUCACUAAAAUUUUCAGAAAAUUUCAAAGAUAGAAAAGGGAAAAGAUGAGGAGGUUCUUAAGAGGCUCUUCAAGCCGUGACCCCAAGGAUGAUGGGAGUGAGAAGAAGCCCAAGUAUCUGGUCCCUCGAGUCGCAGAAGUUCGAGCGUGCAAGUGGCCAAGCGAUGUGUUCUUACGCACCGCUGGAAUUUAUGAGGACUUUUAUCACUUGGUGGAUAACGCAGGCCUUACCGCCUUCGUUGAAGAUAAGUGUCCGCAAUACCUCCUCCUCACUAAUAUCUUCAUACAAAGUUUUAACUUCUAUCCGAGGAAGAAUCCUCCUAUGGUUGAGUUCAAAAUUUAUGAUAUCCCCCAGCGCAUGUCACACCAAGAUUUUUGCAAUGUUUGCAAAUUACCUUAUGUUGGGGAUAUUCAUGAACCUCGUCCACGGGACUUGGAAGCUUUCAUCGAUACUAUUGUUGUAGGAGAGGAGAGAGGAGUGUCUUGCGCUAGAGCUACUAGCAUUAAUUUUCCCGUGCUUCGGUACUUCUCAUUAUUUGUGGGAAAAUGUUUGAUUGGCCGUGGGAAAGCUGGGUCACUUAGUUCCCCAGAUCUUGCGGUCUUGCGCGAAGCCCUUUAUAACGAUAAAACUUAUAGCUUGGGCGCUAUAGUAGCUCAACGGUUGAACACGAACCGUUCUAAAGGCGUUAUCUAUGGAGGUAUCUAUGCUACUCGUCUUGCUAUACAUUUUGAGAUACCUAUUAGACUGGACGAGGAAGAAGAGAUUCUUCUUCCUGAGAGAUAUCUAUAUUACAAUAGCAUGGUUCGCCAUGACUUUUUUGAUAGAGAUAUAAAUAGAAGGAUGAUUUAUAACCUGGUAUUUAGUCAGGGUACUCGUGAGACUAUUACUUUGCUUGCUCCUUCUUUGUUCAAUCUUCAUGCAGGUAGGUACAUUAUUAUGCCCUUGGACAUCUACACAUAUUGGGGCAUAGCCCAACCACAGGUGCCCGUGCCCGAGCUAGCAGUCGAGUACCAGACGCCAGUUUAUCAGUGGGAGCCAGAGGAGCUCACACAGCAGUGGCAUCCUCAGUCCACUCCGGAGUACCCCGGAGCUGGUUAUUUCCCUCCUUGGGAGUAGACCAACUUAGGCCAAAAGCCUAAGCUUGGGGGAGUAGGUGUUUCUCAUUUGUGUUUUCCUGCAGAUUCCAUCUUUAGUCCACUACACGAGCACGCUUAUUAUUGUUCACAACAUUCGGUCGUGCAAGUGAAAGUCAAAAAUGACGAUAUAUGAAGUGACUGAGCCUGGAAAAGAUGGUAUGAACUCGAUCUAUUUUGUUUUUGUAAAUAUGACUAGCCCAUCAUGCCUGAUUCAGCUUUGUUGUGAGAGAAACAUGUUUGCAAUGACAACUUAGAGAUCAUAGUUGCUUAUGCCAUGCUUACUUAGCUAGGAGCUUAUAAUGGUUUGUCUUGGAUGCCCACAUGAAUGUUGAGAUGACUGUGCUGUAGUAUGAUAGGAUGGUAUCCUCCUUUGAAUGUUUCAAGUGGCUUGACUUGGCGCAUGUUCACGCAUGUAGUUGAAACAAAAUCAACAUAGCCUCUAUGAUGUUCAUGUUCAUGGUGAUUUAUGUCCUACUCAUGCUUGCAUUCAAUGUUAGUUAAUCUCAAUGCAUUUUGAUGACUGUUGUCGCUCUCUAGUUGGUCGCUUCCCAGUCUUUUGCUAGCCUUCACUUGUACUGAGCGGGAAUACUGCUUGUGCAUCCACCCCCAUAAACCCAACGUUGUUCCAUAUGAGUCCACCAUACCUACCUAUGUGCGGUAUCUACCUGCUGUUCCAAGUAAAUUUGCAUGUGCCACUCUCUAAACCUUCAAGAAAUAAUCUGUUUUGCAUGCCCGAACCGCUCAUGUGGUGAUAGGGGGCUAUUGGUAUCUUCCAUGCUAGGCGUGUUAUCCUCGAUAUGUGUUUAUUCACUAUCAUUCACGAGAAAGGGGGCGGUAAUUGGAACUCCCAGGUCCAUGCUCAAAUCGAAAAGAUAAUUGCAAACAAACCUCCCCCAGGAUUGAUGUUGGUAUGGACAGUACUCGAGGAUUCGGCUAGCCGUGGAGUGUGAUUGAUUGGUGGUGGGGGAGUCAAAACUUUACUUUUCUGUUUGGGGACCGCCUAUAGCAUGUGUAGCGUGGAAGAUGUUGAGAACUCUUAGUCAUUGCGUUGACAAUGAAAGCAUGCCACCCAAAAUUAUUAUCUCUGUUUUAAAAGCUUGAGCUCUGGCACCUGUGCAAAUUAAUGCUUCCCUCUGCGAAGGGCAUGUCUAUUUAUGUUCCUGUUGAGUCAUCCUCCUCUUACAACAAGACCCAAUUAGAGAGCACCUUUGUCAUUUUUAUGCUUUGCUUUUAACUGUGUUGAGUAUGACUGUGACUCGAUCUUCAUUGGCUAGAAUUACAAUGUUUAGUCAGCCCUUGGUCUUUGAAGGUGCUCUGCAUUUAUGUUUUGCGGUCUCCGAAAGAGCUAGCGAGAUACCAUCUAUUCGUACUGCUUCAUGUUGUUUUGAUUGAAGUGUUGACAUUUGAGGCUUAUUAUUAUUUGCUCCCUAGCUGAUUAUGCCAUUGAUAUGAGUUUAUCGUGAGACCUAGAUGUCAUUUGCUUAUGUGGUUUGCUUGUGAUCUUGCUGAAAUUCUGGUUAUGAGUUAGACAUAGUUGCAACAACAAGAUCAAACAGAGUUCGUCAAAGUUUUUCUUUUGUCUCUUUCAGUUUGUCAACUGAAUUGCUUGAGGACAAGCAAGGCUUUAAGCUUGGGGGAGUUGAUACGUCUCCGUUGUAUAUACUUUUCUGAACUCUUUUGCCCUUGUUUUGGACUCUAAUUUGCAUGAUUUGAAUGGAACUAACCCGGACUAACGUUGUUUUCAACAAAAUUGCCAUGGUGUUGUUUUUGUGCAGAAAUAAAAGUUCUCGGAAUGUCCUGAAAAUUUACGGAGAAUUUUUCUAAAAUAAAUGAAAAAUACCUGCGCAAAGAUCCAACGGAGGGGGUGUGCCAGUGGGCCACAAGCCCGUGGGCUGCGACCACCCCCCCCCCUAGGCCGCGCCGUGAGGCCUUGUGGAACCCACGUGGCACCACCGCCCCCAAACUCAGCUCUAUUUAUUCCGUCUCGCUCGGAAAAAAUCAGAGAGAAGGAUUCAUCGCGUUCUACGAUACGGAGGCGCCGCCACCUCCUGUUCUUCAUCCAGAUGACAGAUCUGGAGUACGUUCGGGGCUCCAAAGAGGGGAAAUCAUCGCCAUCGUCAUCAUCAACCUUCCUCCAUCGACAAUUCCAUGAUGUUCUUCACCAUUCGUGAGUAAUCUCAUCGUAGGCUUGCUGGACGGUGAUGAGUUGGAUGAGAUAUAUCAUGUAAUCGAGUUAGUUUUGACGGGGAUUGAUCCCUAGUAUCCACUAUGUUCUGAGAUUGAUGUUGCUACUACUUUGCCAUGCUUAAUGCUUGUCACUAGGGCCCGAGUGCCAUGAUUUCAGAUCUGAAAUUAUUAUGUUGCCACCAAUAGAUGUGUGUUUUAGAUCCGAUCUUGCAAGUUGUAGUUACCUACUAUGUGUUAUGAUCCGGCAACCCCGGAGUGACAAUAACCGGAACCACUCCCGGUGAUGACCAUAGUAUGAGGAGUUCAUGUGUUCACCAAGUGCUAAUGCGUUGGUCCGGUUCUUUAUUAAAAGGAGAACCUUAAUAUCCCAUAGUUUCCUUUUGGACCCCGCUGCCACGGGAGGGAUGGACAAUAGAUGUCAUGCAAGUUCUUUUCCCUAAGCACGUAUGACUUCAUACGGAAUACAUUCCUACAUUAGAUUGACGAACGGGAGCUAGUUACUUAUCUCUCCGUGUUAUAGCUAUUACAUGAUGAAUCACAUCCGGUAUAAUCAUCCAUCACCGAUCCAUUGCCUACGAUUCUUUUACUACUUGUCCUUGCUACGUUACUUUGCUGCUACUGUUGUCGCUACUGCUGUUACUCUGUUGUUACUUGCUACUGAUGUUGUUGAUGUUGCUUGCUACUGCUGUCACUACUGCUGUUACUUUGCUGCUACUUGUUGCAAGACUUUUCUGGAGCCGUUGCCGGGGAAGAAUAGUCCCCCUUCCACGUGGUAUUUACUGGCGCCAUUGAUACAACAAGUUAGGAAUAGUCUGCCGUCAACACAUCUUUUUCUGACACCGUUGCUAUCAUACCACUUUGCUACUUAUACUUUGCUUGCAAACACUAAUCUUUCAGGUGUGGUUGAAAUUGGCAAACUCAGCUGCUAAUACUUGAGAAUAUUCUUUUGCUUCCCCUUGUGUCGAAUCAAUAAAUUUGGAUUGAAUACUCUACCCUCGAAAACUGUUGCGAUCCCCUACACUUGUGGGUUAUCAAGGGCCAAUCUAUUUACUUUCAUGUUAUUUACUAUUCUUGUUGAGUUAACUUCUUAUUCCAACCUCAAAGUAUUAGUUGGCAAGCAUCAUGUGGUGGGGAAAGAUGCAAACAUAUAUAUCCAUACAAAUAUAUUUGAUCAUGAAUUAUUAUUGUUGACAAUUAUCUAUAUGGUAAAUAAAUUAGGAGGCAAAACUUUAAGCCCCUGUCUUUCUUUGUGUUCGAUGGAUGCUAUUUGUUCUAAAAAUAUGCUUUGAGUGUCAACAAUCAUGGAAGACUAUAUGAUAGUUGAGUAUGUGGAAUUUUCUAAAUAAAAUCUCUUACAUAGACCCUUCCCAAAAAUAAGAUGAAUUGCAAUUGUUUGGUGACUGAAAGCAUAAUUUGUUAGUUUUCAAGAAACUUUAUGGUCUACAUUUUAACACGUGAAUAGCUUGUUACUUCAUCAUGAGAAGUUUUAUGAGAUGAGCUACUGUGUAUGAUAUGUAAUGAUGCUAGAAAAAGUGUUUGGAUAUAUCAUUGAUCAAAUUUAUGCACUAUGCUAGCAUUCACACUUCAUAAAUGAUUUCUUUUAUUAUUUACCUACUCGAGGACGAGCAGGAAUAAAGGUCGGGGAUGCUGAUACGUAUCCAACGUAUCUAUAAUUUAUGAAGUAUUCAUGCCAUGUUUACAAUAAUUCUAUAUGGUUUUUGUAUGAUUUUAUUAUAACUAACCCGGACUGAUGCUUUUUUCAGCACAACUACCGUGUUGUUGUUUUUGUGCCCAAAUAAAAGUUCUCGGAAUGGGCUGAAAAAUUACGGAGAAUAUUGUUGGUAAAUAUGAAAAAUACUGGAGCAAAAGGAUACCAGAGAGGAGUCCCGAGGCAACCACAAGCCACCAGGGCACCCCCCUAGGGUGCGCUCCUUGGCUUGUGGGCCCCUCAAGCACUCCCCUGACGUGGUUCGAACGCCAAAUAUUCUUAUAAAAACAGAAACCCCCGAAAAGAAACUUAGAUCGGGAGUUCCUCUGCCGCAAGCCUCCAGAGCCAUGAAAACCCAGUCUUGGCCCUCUUCGGCACCCUGUCGGAGAGGGUCACCAUCACCGGAGACCAUUGAGGAGGAAGAUGGAGGGGCCAUCAUCACCAUGGAGGCCAAGGACUAGAGGAAGAACCUCUCCCCACCUUGGGGGAGGCCAUGGAGGAGGAGGAACAAGGCGGAGACCCUCUCCCCCUCUCUCCCGGUGGUGCCGGAGUGCCACCGGGGGAACCAUCGCCGCGGUGAUCGUCUUCAUCAACAUCACCUUCUUCAUCACCAACCCCAUCUUCUUUUAGCGUUCCACUCCCCCGCGCCCCGCUGUAAUCACCUACUUGAACACGGUUCUCUAUGCCACAUAUUAUGAUCCAAUGAUGUGUUGCCAUCCUAUGAUGUUUUGAGUAGAUUCCCUUUGUCUUAUGGGUUGAUUGAUGAUCUAGAUUGGUUUGACUUGCAUGCUUUAUUAUUGGUGUUGUCCUAUGGUUCUCUCCGUGUCUAGCAAGCAUGAGGGAUUCCCUUUGUAGGGUGUUGUAAUACGUUCAUGAUUCGCUUAUAGUGGGUUGUUUGAGUGACAGAAGCAUAAACCCGAGUAGGUGGGUUGUUGCGAAUGCGAUAAAGGGGACUUGAUGCUUUAAUGCUAUGGUUCGGUUUUACCUUAAUGAUCUUUAGUAGUUGCGGAUGCUUGCUAGAGUUCCAAUCAUAAGUGCAUAUGAUCGAAGUAGAGAAGGUAUGUUAGCUUAUAACUCUCCCUCAUAUAAAAUUGCAAUAAUGAUUACUGAUCUUGUUAACAAUUGCCUAGGACAAUUCCGCACACCGACCCAUCACUAUUCCACACUCGCUAUUUGUAAUAUAUUCUAACUUUAUGAUAACAACACCUAUUUUUAUAUUUUAUUUCUCCGAUGUCAUGCAAAGCUAUUCUCUUCAUACCCACAAUGUAGUUUUAUUUCUCGUUCCAAGUUGGAAGCAAACGUUCGGCGUACGUAGAGUUAUAUCAGUGGCAGAUAGAACUUGAGAGAAUAUUGCUCUUACCUUUAGCUCCUUGUGGGUUCGACGCUCCAUACUUAUCAUUUCCACCUUUUGAAAUUGCUACGAUGAUUCCUUGCACUUGGGGAUUAUCAGGGCGUCGGCAGCGUCUGGGAACAGGUGAUGGCUGAUACGUCUCCAACGUAUCUACAAUUUUUGAUGGUUCCAUGCUAUUAUCUUGUCAACUUUGGAUGUUUUAUAUGCAUGAAUAUGCUAUUUUAUAUCUUUUUUGGGACUAACCUAUUAACUCAAUGCAGAGUGCCAGUUUCUGUUGUUUCCGUGUUUUUGGCCCAUUUUCAGACGAACUCCAAAUGGAAUGAAACUUUACGAUGCUUUUUUUUGGACCGAAAGAGACCCCCGAAGCUUUGGAAGAAGGCCAGAAGAGCCACGAGGGAGUCACAAGCCCUGACGCCGCCACCACCCCCCUAGGUGGUGCCGACCAGGCUUGUAACCUCCUCGUGGGCCCAACCGACGUAAUUCCACCGCCAUAAAUUCCUAUAAAUUCAGAAACCCCCCAAAAGAAACCUAGAUCAGGAGUUGCGCCGCCGCAAGCCUCUGUAGCCACCAAAAACCAAUCUGGAGCCUGUUCUGGCACCCUGUCGGAGGGGCAAUCCAUCUUCGGUGGCCAUCUUCAUCAUCUCGGCGAUCUCCAUGACGAGGAGGGAGUAGUUCUCCCUCGGGGCUGAGGGUAUGUACCAGUAGCUAUGUGUUUGAUCUCUCUCUCUCGUGUUCUUGAGAUGUCUUGGUCUCAAUGUACCAUGGGCUUUGCUACUAUAGUUGGAUCUUAUGAUGUUCUUCCCCCUCUCCUUCUUGUAAUGAAUUGAGUUUAUCCUUUGGAGUUAUCUUNUACAAGGAGAAGGUUGCGUAGUAGACAUCAAGCUCUUUUCUGCCGCCGUUGCCGGGGAGGUUAGCGCUUGAAGGUAUAUCUUUAGAUCUUGCAAUCGAAUCUUUUUGUUUCUUGUUCUUUUGCUAGAAAACUACAAAAAAAAUGGAAUUGAGGAUGUCUCAUAUGCUCCAUCUUUUCAAUGUCUUUCGUGAGCAUGAUGGGAAGGAAAAUUGUGCUCAAGUGCUGAAAGAAGAAUUACAUAGAAUGCUUGGCAUAGAUUAUGUGAAUGAUGAGCAUGAUUGCAAUGUUCUUAGCAUGAAUUCUUUGAAUACCCAUGAUGCUAAUGAUAUGCAAAGCCACAAGCUUGGAGAUGCUAUAUUUGAUGAAGAUGAUCUUUUUAGUUCUUCCACUUUGAAUGAUCAUUGUGAGGAUACUUAUGCUCUGAAGAAGAGGGAUGAUAAAACAUCUCAUACUCUCGAGAACCCCUUUGUUAAAUCUUGCUUUUUCAUUGUGGACACAAUUUGUAGUGCUCAAGUCUUUUACGAUACUCCCACUACUAUUCUUGAGAAUAGAUUUCCUUAUGUGGAGAGUAGUAAAAUUUCUAUGCUUGUAGAUCAUGAAAAGAAUGCUUUAGGUGCUGGUUAUAUUGUUGAAUUCAUUCAUGAUGCUACUGAAAAUUACUAUGAGAGAGGAUGAUAUGCUUCUACUUAUUGCAAUAGUAUCAAGCUUCCUCUCCAUAUGUUGAAAUUUUUGAAGCUAUGCUUGUUCUGCCUUCCUAUGCUAGUUGAUUCUUGCUCCAAUAAAUUGUUUAAUCACAAAAUCCCUAUGCAUAGGAAGUGGGUUAGACUUAAAUGUGCUAGCCAUUUUCUCCAUGAUGCUCUCUUGUGUUUCAAUCCUUACCUUUUAUGUGAGCAUCAUUGAAAUCAAUGCCUAGCUAAGGGCGUUAAACGAUAGCGCUUGUUGGGAGGCAACCCAAUGAAUAAAUUUUUCUUUGCUUUUUGCUUCAUGUUUUGUUUUCUCCACACCAUCAUAAUUAUGUUAUGAUUGUGUCUUUUGUGUUUAUUUUUGUGUUUGUGCCAAGCAAAACCGUUACGAUUAGUCUUGGUGAUGAUUGUUUGAUCAUGCUGGAAAAAGACAGAAACUUUCUGCUCACGAAAAGAAUUUCCAUUUUUAUUCUGUAAGAGAUUUUGAGUUGAUUCUUUUUGCUGCAUAUUCAUAUGCAAUUUAUUCGGAAUUUAGUAAUUGUUCAGAUUUGUUGAAGUACCAGAAGUAUACAAAGUAUACAUAUUGCUACAGACUGGUCUGCUGUUAACAGAUUCUGUUUUUGUUGAGUUGGUUGCUUAUUUUGAUGAAACUAUGGAUAGUAUCGGAGGGUACUAGCCAUGUAAAAGUGAAAAUACAGCAACCCAACACCAAAAUAAGUAGAAUUUAAGUUUGCUACAGUACCUAAGGAAGUGGUGAUUUGCUUUCUUAUACUAAUGAUAUCACGAGUUUCUGUUUAAGUUUCGUGUUGUGAAGUUUUCAAGUUUUGGAUGAAGUUCUUAUGGACAAAAAGAUAAAGAGUGGCAAGAUCUCAAGCUUGGGGAUGCCCAAGGCACCCCAAGAUAUUCAAGGAUGCCGUAAAAGCCUAAGAUUGGGGAUGCCCCGGGAAGGCAUCCCCUCUUUCGUCUUCAAUCCAUCGGUAAUGUUACUUGGAGCUAUAUUUUUAUUCACCACAUGAUAUGUGUUUUGCUUGGAGCGUCUUGUAUCUUAGGAGUCUUUUAUUUUUGUUGUGUCACAAUCUUCCUUCCUUCAAACCUAGAGAGAGAGACAUGCACUCACCGUGAUUUUGUCGAGCUUCACUUAUAUCCUUUGGUAGACAAUUCAGCUCACAUGUGCUUCACUUAUAUAUUUUGAGCUAGAUACUUUUGCUCUGUGUGCUUCACUUAUAUCUUUUAGAGCGCAGCGGUGCGUGUCUUGGUAGUUGAUCUAUGCUUUGAAAGUAGUCUCAAAAUGGGUAGUUAUCCAAAGGGAUACGAAAACUUCCACCUUCAUGUGCAUUGAAUAGUUAGAGAAGUUUGAUUCAUCUCAAUUAGUUUUGAGUUGUGGUUUUGGUAAUAUUGAAGUCAUGCUAGUAAGGUGUUGUGGAUCUAGAAAUACUUGUGUUGAAGUUAGUGAUUCUCGUAGCAUGCACGUAUGGUGAACCGCUAUGUGAUGAAGUCUGAGCAUGAUUAGUCUUUUGAUUGUCAUCCUUUGCGUGGCGGUCGGGAUCGCGCGAUGGUUUAUACCUACCAACCCUUCCCCUAGGAGUAUGCGUUGAAUGCUUUGUUUCGAUUACUAAUAAAACUUUUGCAACAAGUAUAUGAGUUCUUCAUGACUAAUGUUGAGUCCAUGGUUUAGAUGCACUUUCACCUUCCACCAUCACUAUCUUCUUAGUGUCGUGCAACUAUCGCCGGUGCACAAAACUCACCAUUAGCCUCCCUCAAAACAGCCACCAUACCUACCUACUAUGGCUUUUUCAAAGUCAUUCCGAGAUAUAUUGCCAUGCAACUACCACCAUGACAUGUGCCACCACGUCUACAUUGCCAUUGCAUGAUGUUUCCAUUAAUGUCUAUGCCAUGCUAGAUCAUUGCCACGGUACACUACCGAAGGCAUUCCAUAUAGAGUCAUCGUUGCUCUAAGUUUUGAGUUGAAAGUGUGAUGAUCAUCAUUGAUGGAGCAUUGUCCCAUGUGAGGAAAUAAAAGAGGCCAAAGAAGCCCACCAAAAAAAACAAGAGGCCAAAGAGCCCACCAAAUAUAUAUAUAUAUAUAUGAGAGAGAAAAAGAGAGAAGGGACAAUGCUACCACUUUUCCACACUUGUGCAUAUUAAGCACCAUGAUCUUCAUGAUUGAGAGUCUCUCGUUUUGUCACCAUCAUAUAGCUAGUGGGAAAUUCUCAUUAUAUAACUUGGCUUGUAUAUUCCAAUAAUAGGUUUCCUCAAAAUUGCCUUAGUUCUUCGUGAGCAAGCAAGUUGGAUGCACACCCACUAGUUUUCUUUAAGAGCUUUCACAUACUCUUAGCUCUAGUGCAUCAUUUGUAUGGCAAUCCCUACUCAUUCACAUUGAUAUCUAUUGAUGAGCAUCUCCACAGCUCAUUGAUAUGCCUAGUUAAUGUGAUUAUCUUCUCCUUUUUUUGUCUUGCAACCUCCACCACACUCCACACCACUUAUAGUGCUAAAACCAUGGCUCACGCUCAUGUAUUGCGUGAGAGUUGAAAGGGUUUGAGAAAGUGAAGGUGUGAAACAAUUACUUGGCCAAUACCGGGGUUGUGCAUGAUUUAAAUUCGUUGUGCAAUGAUGAUAGAGCAUAGCCAGACUAUACGCUUUUGUAGGGAUAACUUUCUUUUGGCCUUGUUAUUUUGAAAGUUCAUGAUUACCUUGCUAGUUUGCUUGAAUUAUUAUUGUUUCCACGUCGAUAGCAAACUAUUGUUUUGAAUCUAAUGGAUCUGAACAUUCAUGUCACGUGAGAGAAGUUACAAAGUACAACUAUGCUAGGUAGCAUGCAACAUCAAAAAUUCAUUCUUUAUCACUUCCCUACUCGAGGAUGAGCAUGAGUUAAGCUUGGGGAUGCUUGAUACGUCUCCAACGUAUCUAUAAUUUUUGUUGGUUCCAUGCUAUUAUCUUGUCAACUUUGGAUGUUUUAUAUGCAUGAAUAUGCUAUUUUAUAUCUUUUUGGGACUAACCUAUUAACUUAGUGCCAAGUGCCAGUUUCUGUUUUUUCCGUGUUUUUGGCCCAUUUCCACACGGAGUCCAAAUGGAAUGAAACUUUACGAUGAUUUUUUUGGACCAAAAGAGACCCCCGAAGCUUUGGAAGAAGGCCAGAAGAGCCACGAGGGAGUCACAAGCCCCAAAGCCGCCACCACCCCCCUAGGUGGUGGCGACCAGGCUUGUGACCUCCUCGUGGGCCCAACCGACGUAAUUCCACCGCCAUAAAUUCCUAUAAAUUCAGAAACCCCCAAAAAGAAACCUAGAUCGGGAGUUCCGCCGCCGCAAGCCUCUGUAGCCACCAAAAACCAAUCUGGAGCCCGUCCUCGCACCCUGUCGGAGGGGGAAUCCAUCUCCGGUGGCCAUCUUCAUCAUCCCGGCGAUCUCCAUGACAAGGAGGGAGUAGUUCUCCCUCGGGGCUGAGGGUAUGUACCUGUAGCUAUGUGUUUGAUCUCUCUCUCUCGUGUUCUUGAGAUGUCUUGAUCUCGAUGUACCAUGGGCUUUGCUACUAUAGUUGGAUCUUAUGAUGUUCUUCCCCGUAUCCUUCUUGUAAUGAAUUGAGUUUCCCCUUUGGAGUUAUCUUNUACAAGGAGAAGGUUGUGUAGUAGACAUCAAUGGCGCGAGACACAUGACGUCGAUCUAUCCAGGUUUAGGGCCCUCCGGUGAGGUAAAACUCCUAGUCCUGCCGGUGUGACUAUAUGAGAUCACAAUUCAAUGGUUCUCCUUGAGCUGUUCGUGAGGAGGGAGACGAAGUUCUCACUGCCUCGGUGGUAUGUGUCUAAGGAUUCACUAGUUUUCUCCUCCCCUUCUCUCAGGGGACUGGGGUUGGGUUUUAUAGUGCAACCAAAUGUAUACAAUAAUGGGUAGAAACGGAGUGUGGGGUCCGGCCUUCAGCCUCUCCGGCUGGCCGUGGGGCCCGUCGGUUGUCGGGUCUUGUCCUGCGCGGGUCCCGCCGGACGUGUGACGCAGAGGAUAACGCGCCGGCCGUCAGGGAGUUGGUAGGGGUAGGCCCCAGCUACACGGCCGCCUCGCCCGGUCAGCCUAGGGCGUGACCGGUGGCGCUGUAGCCACGUCGAGCCUUGCAUCAUGACGCCUGUAGCCGCGCUAGGUCUAUCAACGCGCACUAUAGCCAUGCACGCCCCUCUGCUGAGGGUAUGCUCUUGUUCGCCGUAUGUUAGUCGGCCGGAUGGGAUGGGCGUUGACCCGUCGACUGCUGCCAGUCGGCCCGCCGUGCGCUGGCCAGGCGGGCCGCCUGUGGCUAGUCAACCAAGGGCGCCUAGCCGGACGGGUCAAACGCCGCUAGCCGAACUGUCACACAGUGGCUAGGCGAACCGCUUGUAGCCAGCCGGCCUAGGGGGGCCAGCCAGCCCGAAUGUCAAGUAGAUGGAUUCCCUCCGCUUUGGUAUACCCAGGGGCCAUAUCCCCGUCAUUAAAACUUAGCCAUUGCAACUUUGUGUACUUCGUUUAUCUCCAAUGACCAGACCAAGACCGCUUUCGGAUCCUCACCCUUAACAAUACUUCAUAUGUAUUCACAAUAUUCAGAUUGCUUUUAUCAUAUUCUUGCUUGUUCUUCGAUUGCUUGGAGGAAGAGACCUUCAUGAUGAGGUUGAUCGUGCUCCCGCGUGAUCAAUAAUCUCUUGAAGUUGGUUUAGUGAUUGCUAAGGCGCAACGUCGUGCACAUUUGUAGUCGGAUCGUCAAAGUCGUCUCCACCAAAUCGGUAGCCACCAUCUCUUUGAAAGAUCGGGACACCCUUGCCUCUAUCAUCUUCAAAUUAGAACACAUAAUGCAUUAAAAGUUGAAUGGGAGAGCUCCUUAAAAAAUUAUUGAUCCAAUCAAAAUCAAUUAACACGACUCUAAAUCAAUGAUCUCAAUUAAUUAUGAGGUCUUACAAAAUAUAAAUCAUAGUGUAUAAUAUACUAAAAAAUUUAAUUAGAGAGUUUUGAAAAAAUUGUUGACCCGUUCAAAAUCAGCUCACACAACUCCAAUUAAAAACCUCAAUAGAAUACGGCCUUCAUAAAACCUCAAUUGAAUAUUUCCGUAACAUAACACAUCACAAGGCAAAAUGAACAUAUAUCUAAAUAACAAAAAUACUUGCAUAAUAUCAUACAUAUAAUAUUAUUUAAUAUGAAGUUAUUAAUAUGGACUAAUAACAUAUGGAUGCUACUAAUGCAAGUUAUUUUCUACUAUGACGAGCCUCAUCUUGAGUGGUUUCUUUGCUUCCAGUCAAUCCCAACAAUGUCUUCACCAGUCCGGAUCCGUCGACUGGGGGGUCGUCCCGUGCAGAGUGGAGGAGGCAAUAGCGGUUCGCGUUGCACUCCGCCGCUCGCGCGAGGACAGCGCCUGACCGACAGAAGGAUUUGUCCGCCGCGACUCUGUAGCAUCUGCACAAAGGGUGCUCGGCUCCUUUGGGGAAUGGCCGGACUACCACCAAAGGUGGAGAAAGAGGUGAGCGGCGAUGAGGACAGUUGUGGCGACGAGAAGAUCCGGCUCGAUCCGUACUGCGUCUUCAACCGGUACUUCCACGACAAGACGGCAAGGGUGUCGGGAAGAACAGAGGCAGCCGUAGAUGAUCUUCACCAUAGCCAAACAUGUAAAAUUUUGAUAGUCCGAUGACAUGUUUAACAAUGAUGGAGUAACUGGACAAUGUGUGUGCGUCGACGUAGUAGUUCGUCUGCGGACGUUUGAAAGAUCGGAUUUGAGGAGUCCGGAGAUGCUCUAAGGCAGAGAAUACACCUAAGUAGCUAGUGGUACUACUUCAGAUGAGGAAGAAAAUGUUAACUAAAUUCCAAAUAUACUGCCGUGCCAUCACACUUUGACAAACACGCACGGCCUUUUUUACACAUAGCUCUAGGUGGCUGCGCCCCUUUCUACUGCAUAUCGAUCAUCUACCAAGAAGAUAUGCACCACUCGAUCUAUAGGGAUCAUGUCACGGCCUUCAAUGGCGGCAUUCGAGCGCACAUUCUUCGGCUCAAGUUGCAUUGUCUCUACGCCACCAUCGAGUGCGCCGUAGAAAACCGAGAUAUAGCGAUCUCCCUGAUAUCUCCGCUUUUGCAAUCCCCAUAAAUAAAUAAUAAUUCAUGUUUGCGAAUGAUGAAGUGCCUGCAAUUUUUACUUCCUGCAUAUCAUAAUAAUUAUAGUGCAAGAAAACUAGUAAACUAGUUCUUUCAACUAUAAUUAUUAUGUUUUUCCUUAACAAUAAUUAUUAUGAUAUACUCCCUUCGUUCUUAAAUAUAAGUUUUUUUAAAGAUUUCACUAAUAGAGUAUAUACGGAUGUAUAUAGACAUACUUUAGAGUGUACAUUGAAUCAUUUUGCUCUGUAUGUAGACCUUUAGUGAAAUCGCUUAAAAGACUUAUAUUUAGAAACGGUGAAAGUAAAUGGAGUAUAAUCAAUUCUACUUCCUCUAAGUCUGAAGGUGAGGACAACACAACCACACAACGCCGCAGUGACAAGCGUUGACUCCGGAUGAGGACCUCGUUGGAGACGGGGACGAUGUUGUGACUAUCAGUGUCUCAAUUGGAAAAAGGGCACACAUGAGAUGAAUUAACAAUACUACCUCCGUUACGGUUUAGAAGACACAUUGAUCACGGUUUAGAUUUCCAGUAUUUUACGGGCAAGAAGAGGAAAAUGAAAAAAAAAUUAAGCAUACAAAUAAAAACAAGAACAAAUGAGAAAAGAAAAAGAAAUGGUGUGUAUUAUCAUUAGAAGGCCUCGCCAUCAGUGAAAAGAAAGAAAGAAAACAGCACUAUCAGUGGGACUAGGGUUAGCUAUAAUUCACAGACUGGAGAGCUCAGACCAUGACGGCAAGUAAAAUGAAUUAAAGGGAGUAGUUUAAUUUGCGUAGAAGAAUAAGAGAUGUGAUCAGCUGAGAAAUGAUGAGAUUAAUCAAGAGGCAAAUCGAAUGAUGAUUUUUCCAACAGGUUUUAUUAGAUAAAAUGUUUGGUCAUGUCUCUAGCCAUUCCAAGAACCAAACUAAAAUAUCCUAAAAUAAAAAUAAAAUAAAAUAACAGUACUAAUAGAUUCUAGCCCAGCAUUUAUUUUUGCACCGAUCUGGACCAAGGGCAGACAGCAGGAUAGUGGUACUAGGAUACAAGGCUGGCACUAUAGAACGUGCAUGGACGUGACGCGAUGUACACAUGUACUGAUCAGGUCGGUGCAUGCAUGCGUGUGACUCAGCGCGAUGGCCCCCUCUUUACAACGCCAAAGGUACGCUUGCCCUCGUGGCCUUGCCAGCCCUCUCCCUUGGCCCUUUUCCCCAAACAUAUCAAAGAAAACCAAACCCGUAAACAUAGCAGUUUGGACCUUAGCCUCCGUGCAUGCGUGGCCACCACCCUAAUUUCGAUACAGCGAUCACCGUACGCAACUUGCUUGCAUCUACAGUACGUACCAGUACUAUAGUUUUGCAAUAGUAUAUUCCCAACCAAGAUCAGAAUGAUGCAGAUCAGUGUUUUGAUUCCUCGAUUUCAUUUUAUUUUCCUGCGUGACGCAAAAGGGCUGCUCGCUUUUGCGUCCUAGCUGUGAAUCUUGUGACCGUUUUGCCCUCCAGAGCCACUAUAUAAGCCCCUCUACCGCAGCACAUUUGCUUCACACAACACAGCCGAUCGCAUACUCUGAUCUGAUCAGUCGCACCAAACCGAGCUAUAGCAUCAGCUCGUCGGAGUUCGGACCGGUCGACUCGGAACUCGUCAUCAAUGGCCGCCGUCCAGGUAGACUGCUCAAUACUGCUUCGUUGCGUUUCGAUCAUGUAGCUUUUGACCUGCUGCCACGGUGCCAUGCCACCUCGAUCUCUUCUGGCACGAGCAACCUGAUCACACGUACGCUGCGUACUGGUACUUCUCUGACAUGAAGGCGUGCAUCAAUGUAAACGCAGGUCCACGCCGCAACCCACGCCAUGCCCGUCGAGGAGGCUCCGGCGCCGGCGGUGGUGGAGGCUGUCGAGCCGGCCGUCGUCGUUGUCGAGGAUACUACCGUGGCGGUGGAGGUCGUCGAGCCGGCCGUCGUCGCGGUCGAGGAGGCUACGGUGGCAGCAGUGGAGAUUGUCGAGCCGGCCGUCGACACAGUCGAGGUGGCAACGGCUGAGGCUGUCGAGCCGGCCGUUGUCGCUGCCGAGGAGGCCGUGAAGGAGGAAGUUGCUGCGCCGGCCGUGACCGAGCUGGCGAAAGAGCCCGAGGCAGCUCCAGCGGAGACCAAGGAGGCCGAGACAGAGGUUGUCCAGCCGGCCGCCGCCGCUGAGGAGGCCCCUGUCACGCCGACAGUGACCGAGACCAAAGAGCCGGAAGCUGCCCCUGCCGAGGGAACAGAGACCGAAGUGGUGGAGCGUGAGGCAGCACCGGCUGAGGCCGAGACCAAGGAACCAGAGAAAGAAGCUGCUCCGGCCGAGACCGAGACCAAGGAACCAGAGCAAGAAGCUGCUCCGGCCGAGACCGAGACCAAAGAGGCAGAGCCAGCCGCUGCCGAGGCCGAGGCCAAAGAGCCGGUGGCAGAGGAGACACCGGCCAAGGAGGAGGCCGCUGUGGCAGUGCAGGAGGAAGCAGCAACUACGGAGGCACCUGUGGAGGCUGCCGUGGCAGCCGAAGCAGCCGUGGAAGAGACAGAAGCACCAGCUGCUGCUGCCGACGUCGAGGCCAAAGCGCCGGUGGCGGAGGCACCGGUCCAGGAGGAGGCAGCGCCCGCAGCCACCGCCGCCGAAGCGUCUUCCGUGCAGGAGGAGGCGGCACCGGCCGAGGCACCCGUGGAUGCACCCGCUGCCGCCGAGGCGGUGCCGGCAGAGGCACCAGCUGCUCAGGCUGCCGCCGCCGCCGACAAGGCCGCCGAGUGAGUUGAUGCGCGCGGGUGCGAUCGUGCUCCUGAGCUAGCCUUUGCCUGGCUUCGCCGUGCGCGUGCCGUGGCAUUGCCAUGGCACGGUACCUUAGUUCGUUUAUUAUUGGAUCCGUAUGUGUGGGCGUAUUUCGUGAGUGGUUGAUCGUCGUCGCGUGGGUGCGCAAUGUACGUCACGUAGCUGCGUACAUGGUCUAGCUAGCAGUCGUAUGUGUGUCGUUCUCAGUUGGCUUCAAUAAUGUGUCAGUGGCGUUCCGGGUCCCACUGUCAGUGAUGUCAUGGGGUCACUGGCUUUGGAGGCUGUUUUCGUCUCUUUGUUUUUUGUUUUUUGUGUUGGUUAAUACAUGCACUAGCUAUUUAUUUGUAUACUGUAUAUGUUGGUACUCCAUCCGUAAAAGAUUUUUGAGUUUUUUUUCCUUUGAGAACCCCUCCGUAAAGAAAUACAGUAUAUGAGUGUUUAGAUCACUAAAGUAGUAAUCUAAAUGAUUUUAUAUUUUUUAGAAAGGAAUACUAAAAAGGCUUGUGAUUUGUGUAAUGCCUCAUCUAUGGGGUCCAUGAUCUGAGCUGCAAUUUAAAAUAAUUAAUUCGGACAUACAUAUUUUUCAUACUAUCCUUGAAAAGGAUCUGGUUCCACUAUCAGCGGUAACGGAAGUUGGGUAUGUGCUCGCCACAAAUGUAAUCCAGG
RNAcentral lists this long non-coding RNA (137345 nucleotides) under Hordeum vulgare. RNAcentral describes it as "long non-coding RNA (HVUL_LNC018407)". The record is from RNAcentral. Lineage: Eukaryota; Viridiplantae; Streptophyta; Magnoliopsida; Poales; Poaceae.